RNAcentral lists this long non-coding RNA (131803 nucleotides) under Durio zibethinus. RNAcentral describes it as "long non-coding RNA (DZIB_LNC002073)". The record is from RNAcentral. Lineage: Eukaryota; Viridiplantae; Streptophyta; Magnoliopsida; Malvales; Malvaceae.
AUUGGUCAAGGCUUAAGCCCACCAAGCUUGGCUCCAUAAGGUUCAAGUAGUUAAGCCUAAAUUAUUUAUUAUUUUAUUUAUUUAUUUUUAUUUUUAUUUUUUUAGAUUUUAUUUUAUUUUAUUUUGAUGAUUAUCUAUGAUUUUUUUAUUUUUGUUUUCAUUUUUUAGUUUAUUUAUCUUUAGUUUUUUAGAUAAUAAUAAGAUAAUAGCUAAAAAAAUAAAAAAUAUAAAUUCUGCCAUGUAUAGGGUGCUGACGAAAUUGCAAUUGGUUUUAGUUUCCUUAUGAUAAAUCUUAUAUUCGAGGAUAAUGCAAAAAUUUAGUCAAAGGUGGAUUUAGAGUUGAUCAAAAACUCUUUUGAGUAAGCCUAUAAAUACAUACUGAUCAGAAGCUUGAGAACACACAUAGAAACGCAGAAAGCAAAAUACUAAAAUUAAGGUCAAGAAAAGCAGUCAUGAAAAUAGUCAAGAAUUUUUAGAGAAAUUUUUGGGGAUUAAAAAGUUUUUUUUGGAAAUUUUUUAGAAAUUUCUAGAUUUCGGUGAAAUUUUUUGACAAAAUUUGAAUUUUUCGGUGACUUUUCGAUGACUUUUCUAGAUUCUGACAAAAUUUUCAAUUUUUGGCAUCCAUUUUUAAGAAAAUCGGUGAACUUUUGGCCAGAUUUGAUGAACCUACCUAGAUUUCAACAACAAUCCCAAAAUCUGAUGAAGGAUUCAACUGGUGUUCUUGAGGGUUUAAAGAGAGAGGGAGAGAAAGAGGAAGAAAAGAAAAAGAGAAGGAGAAAUCUAAGGGAGAAAGACUAGAUCUUGCUAUUUAUACCCUAUCAAAAUGACAUCGUUUUAACAUUAAGAAACCCCCAAGAUCCGGUUGUUUUUUAUUCAAACCAACCCGACCAAAGAGCAACUUGCUUCGUGGACUCGCGUCCCAACCAGACCCUAUAACAAAGCUGAGCCGAGCUGAUUUUCCCAAGUCAUGUUUUUUAGCCACUUUUUGUGUCUGAAUCCGAGCCGCACCAAGUCACUCCAGCCGAGUUGUUUCUAUUUUUUUUUGGUAUUUUUUAAAUUUAUUUUAUUUAGUAUGUUAUUUAUGUGUUUGUUUAUUUUUUUUUUUUUAGUAUUUUUGCAUGAUGAAAUUUGGGAAAAAAUAAAAAAAUAAAAAAAUAAAAUAUUUUUUGAGAAUUUAUAGAAAUUUCAAAUGGUUAAUUUCUAUAAAAUUCUUAGGUGAGAAAUUUUAUCUAAAUUUGUCCCAAAUGGUGGAAUAAUUUAGAUAAAGUUUCAAUAACAAUAAUUAAUAUUUAUUUUCAAUUAAAAUAAAAAAUAAAAAAUAUUAAUAAAAAUUUUGGAAUUAAAUACUAAUUACCCAAUGAUAAGAUCUUUAGAAAUUUCAAAUGAUAAAUUCCUAAGAAAUCUCUAGGUGAGAAAUUUCUCUAAAUUUUGUCCCAAAUGAUGAAAUAAUUUAGAUUAAAUUUCAAUAAAAGUAAUGGUAUUCUUUUUGAAAAAAAAAGUUGGCUGAAAAUAUUUUAUAAUUAUCCAAUGAUGAGAUUUUAAAAAAUUUCAAAAGGUAAAUUCCUAAAAAAUCUCUAGGUGGGAAAUUUCUUUAAAUUUAUCCUAAAUGGUGGAAGAAUUUAAAUGAAAUUUCAAGAAAAAUAAUUGUUAUAUUAUUUUCUUUCCAAAAAAAUAAAUAAAAAGAAUUUCUAAUUAGGCCCAAAUGGUGGAGAAUUUAGAAAUUCAAAAGAGAAGAUAUUUCUAAUUUGGCCCAAAUGGUUGAAUAAUUAGAUAUAUUUUCAAUAAAAAAUAAUUAAAUAACAAAUAAAAGUAAUUAAACUUUUUUCCAACGACGGAGCCUCUUCAAGAAAACAAAUGGGAUUCUUGAAUACUCUUGAGGUGAAAAAAUAUUUUUAAGAAUUCUACCAAAUUGAUAGAGAAAUCUUAAGAAUUAUUUUCAAUAUUCAACAUAAAAACUUAAAACCAUUAGAAUCAAUACCUUAGGAUAAAUUUAAAAUAAAAUGGUACUAUCAUUUAGAUAGGCAUGUAGGGGUGUUACAACCUUCCUCAUAUAUAAUCGAACUUUUGAAUCAUGCUCUAGUUUGUAGACCCGAACUUAUUCUUUUAGGAAGCCUUAAUCAAGCUUAGGAGCUCCUUAAAAUGAUAGAUUCCUUAGGUGGUCAAUCACACAUAGUAUAAAAGAUUAGUGGGGACUCAAUUUAUUAAAUUUAGCUAUAGAUUUAUGAAUCUAUAUGUUAUGACAAAUACAAUAUUUUAGUAAUACAUUUAUUUCUGUUUGAAGACUUUAUAUUAGGCUAGUUUAAAUAUGAACUGACCACAAAUAUAGCAAAUAUUUGGUUCAAGAAACACCAAAUUAUUAAAGUUUACUUUACCAUAAAAAGAAUUAAAAAUAAAAGCAUCAUUGUAAACUGAAAAAACUUUAAGAACACUAAAUGAGUGCAAAUGAUUAUGCUACACAAUAGAUGCUUACAACUUUAAUAAAUACCAUGGAUCACAAAACUAAAAAAAAGAGCCUAUGUGGAAAUGCAUAAUGUGGCAAUUGUGUUUUGCCAAACCUAAAAUCAUCAAACAAUUUAAACAGGAAACGUGGGAAAAUGAGUAGACAUCUAACUACAGAAAAUAUUGUAAUUGCUAGAAGUAAUACAUGUGUUAUUCUUACUUGAAUUCUCCAAAAACUUUUUUGAUAACCAGAGUUUCUAUGUCACUUUCAAAAGUUUAGGCAUAAAAUCAUUAAUAGAUAACUCUAAUAAAUAUAUAAACAGUUAUGAAAUAUCUCUUAAAGAGCAUUACAACUCAAAAACUCAUCAACUUGAAGGACUUAGCUUUCGAUUGUGAUGCCAAUCACAAAUUUUUUACAAAAAAAAAAUUCAAAAUACCUAAAUCUAAUUCUUCAUUUAUUAAAGAAACAACUAAAAAGAACAAUGACAAAUUUAAUUUCACAACUAAAUACUAAUGAAAUUAAAAAAACCUCAAAAUAAAAUUUCUUUAAAAGAGACACAGAAGUAAGCAAAUCAAAAACCUUUUCAUAUUGUUCAGCUAGCAUGGAAUCAGCUUAAUGAAAAGACCAUAUUGGUCUUUACAGUGCCUAUUGCUAUCUUUGGCUCACCCACCUUUAUUCAUUUGUCAUGCCCCUUUCUACCUUGAUAUGCAACAAAUUAAUUUAAUUAAUUGAAAAUGUAAAACAUGCAAAAUUAAGGGAAAAACUCAAAAUUAGUAAAAAAUAUUUUAGACAAUAAAUAUCUUACCAUUCAAACCCAUAUUCUUCUUGAUUUCACAUGAUAAUCUCUAAAAAAAAGCUUUUUAGAUUUUAUAAUCAUUUUUAUUUUUCAAUUGAAUUAGAACCAUUCUAUCAAUCAUAUCCUUUUGCUUUCUUUUCUAAUACGGAAAAUAAUAAGAUAAUUUGAACUAAAAGAGAAAGGGAUAAGGUUAUUGAUUAAAGGAGAAAGAGAAGAUGGAAAAAUAAUGGAUGAAAUGAAAGAGAAAAGGUAAUGUGAAGUAUGAGAAAAAGAGAGAAGUCUAUUGAUUGGAAGAGAAAAAGAAAGAGAUAGGUUAAAUAAGAUAAAGUAGAGUAGGUCAGGUUAUUGAUUAAUUUAUUUUUUUUUAAAAAUCUAAAUUAUAAAAUAAAAGAAAAAAAAGUGAAAGAUGAAAAGAAAAAAUGACACGUCGACAUGCUAUCUUUGCUUCGUUCUCUACAACUUUUAUUGUAUGGAAGUGCCACGUAAAAGCCAACCAUGAGAUGCUUGACUAAUUUCCAAAUCUCCCCAUCCUCUUCUUUAGCAUCUUUUUCAUUUCUACCCAAGCAACUCUUUUCGAAAUCCACAAUGAGUGCUGUCCGGGCUGCAGCCUCUCGAGGAGGUGGGCGUCGCCUAGACCCAUGGCAAAGUUGGACCAUCAAUAAGCCUGCUGUCACAGCCAUGGCUCGUACAUGAGGUCGAACCAACUGCAACUUUGAUGCAGUGGUAGGGGUCAUUGCCAAACUGAUGACUGUGGUGGACUCCUAAAGUGCCAAGGCUGGGGUGCUCCUCCAAACACCCUGGCCGAAUAUGCCCUUAACCAAUUUGUUAACAUGGAUUUCUAUGACAUUUCCCUAGUUUAUGGAUUUAAUAUUCCGAUGCUGUUUGAUCCAACUAAUGGUGGUUGUCACAACAUCUGGUCCACUGCAGACAUUAACGGGCAGUGCCCUAAUGAGUUAAGGGUUCUAAAAUAUUUCAUGAUAUAUACUAAUACCAUAUGAAAGGCUAUAUACGAGGAAUCUGAUGAUUAGAUGCCAAAUUAUGAUACCAAACUUUAGCAUAUUUUCUUGGUCUUUGGUCGUCUAAGGGACCUAACCUAACCUAACCUAACUUUUGAGCACAUGCUCUAAAGUUUUAAAACUUUACACAUGAUCGAUCGAUCUUUAUUUUAUGUCUUUCAAUUAUUUAUCUUAUCUUUUGGUAUACUGAUAUUUCAUGACUAAACAGAAAUUAAGUUGCAUACUAACAGUACUUCUGGGUAGAUUUCAAGUGUUAAUUAGUAGUAUUAAAAAUAUUUACCCUCCCAUUCUGCUAAAAAGAGAGGAAAAAGAAGAAAAAGAAUAGCUUGAUGGUGAGAUUAGUACAGGACGAUUAGCAUAACCUUUUCUGGUACAUGAUCUUCUCAUACUUUUCCCUGAGCAAAUUGUCCUGUCAAACUAGCUUGGCUUUAAUAUUAUUGUAGAAAUAUCAAUAUAAAAUUAAAAUACUACAAAAAAUCCUUGUACUAUGUCCAAACUAGUCACUAUUGUUGCAAUUUAGGGAGCUGUGAUCCUACAGCUUUCGCUAGUUUUUUCAAGGAAAGGUGCCCCGAUGCUUACAGUUACCCUAAAGACGAUGAAACAAGCACAUUUACUUGUCCUGCUGGAAGUGACUACAAAGUAGUAUUCUGUCCUUGAAGAUGUUUUGGCUUCUAAGGACUGCUAUAUAUGUACCAACAAGAAAGCAGCGAACUCCGAGAUUAAUUUAUUUUGUUGGUUAAUUUAGGCAUGAUUGUGUGUGGCAGGAUUUUUUUUUUCUUGUAUCCAUGAUCCAUACUUGUUUGAUAUUAUUGUUUAUAUACGAGUCAAAGAAUGUUUUAUAUUGUAAUCUAUCAUUCAAUUAUCUUAAUCUUUGAAGAUAUUCAUCCUUAAUUAAUUUGAUCACUUGCAACAAAAAAGAGACUCUGGUUCCAAAUUGUCGAUUCUACUUAUGAUCCAAAUGGAAAGAAAGAACUAAUUGGCUCUAAAGUUUUUAUCUUUGGUGCAAUAAAACAAGGUAGAGAGAAAAUAUGAAAAUUUUUUUAUUUUUUAUAUUGUUACAAAACUAUAGUCUAAAGCCAAUGAUCCCUCUUUCUAAGAAUUUUCUUCUUCUUUUUUUGGGUUUUUGUAUUUAUUUUUAACUACUAACAAAAAUUGUUAGAUAUUUUGACUUCAUGAGUCUUUGGUCUAGCCUAUAUGUAUCCCACUCAUAAAUUGCAUUCCACAGAAUAAAGGUUCUUCCAAAAUUAAACUUUUACUUUUCCUCUUUCUCCUGAUGUGAUUUUUUAAGUCAAUUCUUAAUGUUUUAGGUGGAUUCUUUUUAAUUUGUGAUUAAAUAAUUUCAAAAAUAUAUAGUAAAAGAAUUGAAAUUUAUAUGCGUGGUACUCUCUCUCACGAGGGUUAGUCAUCCAAAGAAAUUCUAUCCCCUUCAUUCAUUAAUCUUUGGAGGUAUUUAUUGUCGAGUAAUUUGACACUGAAAAAAUAUAGUAGAGCUUGACACUAGCUUUGAUUAAUUUUGGCCCAAGAAAAAUAAAAGAAAAUUUACUAACUUUCUUAAUAUAUUAGAGUUAGACCUGCAUGGGAUAAUUUUUUAUUUUUUAAAAUUAUAUUUUAAAUAUAAGAGAAGUAAAAUUUUUGUAUUGAGUUUUUAUGGAUAAUAAUAUAUAGAUAAAUAUAAAUGUAUUUAUUUUUUAAUUUAAAUUAUAACUUAAUUAUAGAUAAAUUUAAAUUUUUAUUAAAUUAAAGUAUUAAAUAAUAUCGUUAUUAAUAUAAUAUAUAAGAUAAAUUAAGUAAAUAAUAAAAUAUAUUCUUUUAUAUAUCCUAAGAAGGGUUGAGGUAGAGUAUCUUAAACUUGAUCUCGACUUAAUCCAAAUUCAUUAAAGAGACAAAACUUAACUCAAUUCUUAUUUUAAAAAAUCGCAUUAGUUGAAUUGUGGUUAAUUGAAACCUAUUGAAUUUAGGUUGUUUUAUCAUCUUUACAUAUCCAUUGAUUUUUUUUUCUUUACAAAAUUUAUCUAAUAAAUAGAAUUAAAAAAAUAACAGAAAAAGUUAAAUGGAAUGGCCCAUGAAUUUAUUAAAUUAAGAUGUUAAAUAAUAUUUUUUAAUAAUAUAUAUAAAUAUAGAAUUAAAUAAAUAAUAAAAAAUAUAUUUUUUAAUAAAUAGUAAGAUCAAAGCAUAACAUUUAAAUUCUUGCUCCGACCCGAGCUCAAUUUAGAAAACACUCAAUCCAAUUAUCCUAAAUUAAAGAAAAAAGCACAUUAAUUGGAUCGGAAUGAAUCGAAACCUAUCAAAUAUAGAUUAUUUGAUCAUCUUUUUCUUAGUUGAUUUUUUAUUAUAAAAUUUAUCCGAAAAAAAAGUAAAAGUUAAAAAAAAACCCAAAAAAAGUAAAAAAAUUUAAAAAUCAAAUAAAAUAAAAAAGGAAGGUGUCACAUGGACGUUUAAGACUGGACAAAAUACCUUAAAUUCAUCUCCAACCCGAUCCCAUUUAAAAAAAAAAAAAAACUCGAUCUAACCUUGAUUUUUUUUUUAAAAAAAUGCCCUUAUGUUUAAUUGUUAUGAAUUAAAACUAAUAAAAUACAAAUUGCUUUACCAUCCCUACCUCCAUCAAUUUUUUUAUAAAAUUUAUUUACUAAUAAAUAAAUAAAAUAAAUAAAAGUACAAAAAAUAAAAAGUAGAUUUAAUAAAAAAUUAACAAAAAAGUAAAAAGUAGAAAUUGAGGAAGAGAAGGAUGCUAUGUGGACACUCUUUUCCUUCCCUCAUUCUUUAAAAAAUUAAGUAUAUUAAAUAAAUAAUAAAAUAUAUUUUCUUUAUAUAUCUUAAAGAGGAUUGAGAUAGAACACUCCAAAUCCAAUCCAACUUGAGCAAAAUUAUUUAAAAAAGUAAAACUUAAUUUAAUCUUUAUUUGAAAAAAACUUCUUUGGUUAGAUUGCAACAAAUUAAAACUUAUAGGAUAUAGAUUAUUUUAUUACUCUUGCAUCAUCUAUUUUUCUUUCAAAAUUUAUCUAAUAAAUAAAAUUUUUUUUAAAAAAAGAAAAUGACAAAAAAAGUCAAAUGAGAUUACACUUGAAUUUAUUAAUUUAAAGUAUUAAAUAAUAUUUUUUAAUAAUACAUAUAUAAUUAAAUAAAUAAUAAAAAAUAUUUUUUUAUAUAUAUUGAGGCAAAGGUGUAACAUGAAAAAUCUUGCUCUAAUCCAAGUUCAAUAUACAAAAGCUCAACCCAAUUAUCUUGAACUAAAAGAAAAGUGCAUCAAUUGAAACGAGACGAAUCAAAACCCAUUUAAUACAGGUUAUUUUGUCAUAUUAAUUUCAAUUAACUUUUUUAUUACAAAUUUUAUCUAAUAAAAAGUAAAAGUAGAAAAGUUGAGAAAAAACACGAAAGGAAGCAAAUAAAAAAAAGCACAAACUUUAAAAAAACCAAAAAAAAAAGAGGAUGUGUCAUGUAGACGUUAAAUGAGGCAAAACAUUUUAUAUCAUAAUGUUUAGGUUGGGAGAACCUACCUAUUAGAUACUAAAAUUUAUGGAGUUGCCAUCAAUAUUUUUUUAUCUAGGUGUGAUUGACCAUCUAUGUGAAUCUAUUCUUUUUAAAGUUAUCUUAAAUGUAAACUAAAGUUCUCUGAAAAAAAUAGAUUUUGAUCUGCAUUAUCAAAACUAAGAUUUGGAAGUCGGUUAUAUACAAGAAAGAUAUUAGCACUCCUUUACGCCUAAAAUUUAUAUCAAAUUAAUUAUAUGUUAUCUUACUUAAGCCUUAAUCAAAUAUGACUUUUGUCAUGCUAAUCAAUUCCAAUCCUUUUAUUUAUUUACAUACGAUGGUGGAACAAAAAUUUUAUCAAAAUAUCAAGCAAUCAUACAAUCAUGCAAUAAAUAUUAAAUCAUAUCAUAUAAAAAUUAUCAUGCAAAUAUAUUAUAAAUCAUACCAAAUAUCAUGUAAUAAUAUCAUGCCUAGAUCAUACAAAAAUGUCCUACAAAUACAUUAAUUAUCAUGUAAUAAUAAUAAUCAAGUAAAUAUAUAAUAUCAUAUAAAUAUAUUAUCAUGCAAUAAUAUAAAAUAUCAUAUAAAUAUAUCAAUAACUAUUCAUGUAAAUAUAUAAUCAUGAAAUCAAAUAUAAUUACACAGAUAUAUUAUAUACAAUUAGGCAAUUAUGCACACAAAUAAUAUACAAAUUUGUUAAAUAGAUACAAAAUGCUACUUCAUUUUCUUAAGGGUAAAAAUAUUAAUCAAAAUUUCCUAAUUUAUGCAUGCUAGAUUAAAUUCUUAUUAAGAAAUUUUUUUUUUUCUUUUUUGGGAAAGAUUAAAGAAAGUAGAUGUUUUAAUCUCAUCAUUCUUGGAUAAAUUCAAUUCAAUAGUAUUCUCUUGUCAAUGUUGCAAUAUUAUUCAUAUGUUAAUAGUUUUAGAUGACUUCUCUGAAUGACAGCAUGCCUUAAAACUUUCUAAGUCGGCAAAAAUUAGAAAUUAAAAGAUAACAUAACUUGAAGAAAUUACAAAAAAAUAAAAGAAAAAAUAAAAAUUUAAUCGAAAAUAAUAUUUUCAAAAAUUUAUCAACUAAAUUAUAGUAAAAGUCAUUAGUCAAUUUCUCAUGGAAAAUAGUUUGUUUGAAGCAUGUGAGAGUUCAUAAGAUUUUGUUGUACUAUUAUCCAGAUUUUCAGUUACUGUGCGGACUGAAAAGCUGACAAAAAUGUUGCUAACACCGCAAUUUCCGGGACAGAACGAAAUUUAAAGUAGCGAAUGGAGUGGUCAUCACAACCUACCUUUAGGAACUUGUCAAAAUUGAGGACUACAUAAACUCUAAACCAAAAUGACCAACAAAAGUCAUGUUCCACACAUCAAUUUAUUUUACGCAAAAGACUUCUCAUCAAUGUCCUCUAAUAAUUCUUCUCUUUCUUUUAAUAGUAUUUCUCGAAGACUUUUCUUCGCUCUGUUUUAUUAGUACUGCCAUGCUCUAAUUUUCGCAUCGCAUGAUAACCAUCAAAGAUUAAUACACGAUUUGAAAUAACAAAAGAUUUUUAAAAUAGUAAAAGAUUAAUUAAUUAAGUAUGAUCAUUCAAUUAAAAAUUUAAGAAAUUAAAGAAAAUUAAGUUAAAAUUAAGUUUUGAUAAAAAAAAAUUGAUUAUCCGUGUAAAAAAAAGGACUGCUAUGACUUUUAAGAAAACAUAAAAAUUUUAUUAAGAAAAUGAAUUUGAGCAAUCAGAUGUUCAAUUAGAGCAAUCAAUUUCCCUGCCUAAAAACAAAUUUCAUCAUAAAUUAAAUAACAUUAAAGCAAUCGGAUGCUUAUGUAUGACAUUUAUUUAUGUAUAAAGUAUCUAGAUUAAUAAUUUAAUCUAUAAUUAUUUAAAAAAUAUUUUCUUCAUUAUGUGAUUUUGGUCCACUUGUUCUAAUUUUAAUGAUUUUAAUCCAUAUAUUUUUUAAGAUAAAGAAUAACAAUGUUAAAAAUUUUCUAUUAAAUUGAUUAUAUGAAAUUUUUGUUGAUAAAGUAGUAAGUUAAUCUGUUUAUAAAAAAAAAAAAAAAAGUAGCAUGUUAAUCUGAAAUUUUUUAUCAGAACAUGACAUAUAUUAGUAAGGAAGAACUUUAUUUUUAAUAAAAAAAUAUAAAUACUUUUUUAGAAAUUUUUAAAAAAUGGUACACUGAUCUGAGCGCUAUUUUUAGCUAGUUAUUCAAGGACAGUUUCUAUAUGGACUGCCUAACAACGUAUGAAUCUAAUUCUUGACUAACUUGAGAUCAAGCCAAAUUCUAUUAACAUCAUCACCAUCUCCCAAUGUUUCCAACAAAAUUCUAUCACGCAAUCACAACUGUAAAUCAUCGACAGCAAUGCCACGGCCACCCCACCUCUAUAUAAAUCUCUGCACUUACACUCCAAAACACCACAAAUCCAUCAACAAAAUAUCAGUAGAGCAUAGCCAACUUGUUCACUAAAAUGAUGAGUACAUUAAAUAUGGAUUAUUUUAUUAUCUUUAUCUUAUUGGAUAAAAGUUAUUUUGUUAUUUUUAUUUUAAUUAAUUUUUUAUUAUAAAUUUUAUCUAAUAAAAAGUAAAAGUAAAAAAGUUUAGGAAAAAAGAAAGGAAACCAAAAAAUUAAAAAAACAAAGAAAAAAACGAGACAAUGUGUCAUGGAAAUAUUCAAAAUAGGAUAAAACAUCUUAAAUCCAACUUUCAUUCAAUUUUAUUUAAAAACUGUUCAAUUUGAACUCAAUUAAAAAAUACAUUUAUAUUAAAUUGAUAUAAAUUGAAAUCAAUCGAAUACGAAUUGUUAUAUCAUUUUCAUUUUUAUUAAAUUUUUUAUAAAAUUUAUUUAAUAAAAAUAAAAAAAAUAAAUUUAAUUAAAAAAAGAAUAAAAGAAGGGAGAAGGUGUCACGUGACCACCUCAUUUUUUUUUUUUAAUUCUUUACAAAUUAAUAUAAUGUUAAGUGAACGUCUUCUUAUUGCUUACACCCCUAGGCUCGUAAUUGGUAAAUCUUAUCCCACAAAACAAAAUCAAGUAUUGAAUUUUUUGGAGGUUUCCUCCGAUUAGGAAUUUUACAUUUCCUCGUCAAUUGCGUGAUAUGUUAAAGUCAAGGACGUGAAGUUUCUGCUUUUCUGGAUGCUACUCACAUGCAACAUACAUAGAUAUUGGCCAUUCCUGGACCCAGGUAAUAAUUAAUAAGAAGUUGACAACGAUGCGAUCUUGACUUGUCUCAAGAUGAAAAAAACAAGCGUUAAUUUCAAGGCACGAAUUUUCCACAAAUAUUUUAUUUACGUUCAUAUCAAUAGACCUUAGGAGUCUAAUUGAUUAAAUUUAAAUUUAAUUUAAAAUUUAAAAUUUAAUUUAAAUUCAAUUAAAUUUUAAUUUAAGAUAAAAAUUAAAUUAUUUAAAUUUAUUUGAUUAAAUUUAAUUAAUAUAUAAAAAUAAAUUUAAUUUUUAUAUUUGAUAAAAAAUUAAUUAUUUGUGUUUAAAAUUAAAUUUAAAAUAUUUUAUUAAUUAAAAUAUUUUAAAAUAUAAAAAUUCAAUUAAAUUUAUAAACUAUUCAAAUCAAAUAUAAAAAUAUUUAAAUUUGAUUCAAUUUAUAAAUUAAAUUAUUCAAACUCAAUUUAAUUUAAUAAUUAAUUUAAAUUUAAAUUUUAUUUAAAUUAAACUUAAAUAAUUUAUAAAUAUUAAUAUAUUAUUCAUACCCUUAAUCAACACGCACCGACCGAAAGCCCUUGCUCUUUUAUAAAUCAACCUUUUCCCUCACAAACUCGAUACGAUACAAACUAAUUAUCAAAAUUCCAACAGUACUUCGCCUUUUUCGCAAAAAUGAACUUGAAAAGCCUCUCUCUGUUUUCCUUCUGUUUAAUUGCAGUUUUCUGCUUCACGGUGGCCAAUGCUGCCACUUUUAACAUUCGAAACAACUGCUCCUACACGGUCUGGGCAGCAGCCUUGCCCACCGGUGGUGGAAGGCAGAUGAACAGUGGUGAAGUCUGGGACCUAAAUGUGAACCCCGGUAACACAGGAGGUCGUAUCUGGGCUCGAACUAAUUGCAAAUUUGAUGGAGCCGGGCGUGGCCGAUGCCAAACCGGUGACUGUGGGGGGCUCCUGCAGUGCCAAGAUUAUGGUGAAACCCAAAGACCCUGGCUGAAUUCGCACUAAACCAGUUCAAUAACUUGGAUUUCUUCGAUAUCUCUCUAGUUGAUGGAUUUAAUGUUCCUAUGGAAUUUAGUCCAACUUCUGGAGGGUGCACCAGGGGGAUUAGAUGCACAGCAGAUAUCAUCGGACAGUGCCCUAAUGAGUUGAGAGUCCCAGGAGGGUGCAAUAAUCCUUGCACUGUUUUCAAGACUGAUCAAUACUGUUGCAAUUCUGGGAACUGUGGUCCUACGGAUUUCUCCAAGUUCUUCAAGACAAAGUGCCCUGAUGCUUACAGUUACCCUAAAGAUGAUCAGACCAGUACAUUUACUUGCCCUGGUGGGACUAAUUACAAGGUUGUCUUCUGCCCUUGAACUUAUAUUGCAUAGAUAUAUAUUACUAGUAUUGGCCAUUCGUAUAUGACAUGGUAAAAUAAGCUUCACAAGCUUGUACAUUCAUGGAAUGAUGAGGUUUAUGAAAUGAACGUUUUAUAAGCGUUAUAUAUAUCUAUACUCUACAAAUUUGCUGGUAUAGUCAAUACUCAAUUAGUAGUAUAUUAAAAGACAAAAAAUAAUGCAAGCUUCUUACUCUAAUUGUGAGGCCUUUCUCCAUUGGUUGGAGUAGAAUGAAAAAGCAUCUAGUUGAUCUCAAAGGGGUAUAAUUAAAAUUGUUUUAUGAUAGCAACGUUCUUGGUCUAAUAAGAUGUCGAUUGUGGGAUUAAUGGGAAUUGAAGAUAUUUAUUACGAUUUUGUAUCGGAGAUAAAAGAAAAGAAAAAGAAAUAGAAAAGAUAAAAAUAGUAUACAUUAAGAGAUGGCAUGAAUCAAAUAAAAUUCUAAUAUUUAAUUUUUUAUCUUUAAGUUGCAACACAAUUGACUAGAAAAAUAAAAGUAUCAAGUAUUUGUCUCAAAUGAAAGGGGCUUUUUUUUAUUUAACAUAGCUCCUAAAAGAUUUUUUGUGAGAACUGUCUUGACAAACACUUUUAUUUCAUAGUAUCUGUAGAAAUUCUAUUUUGACUACAUCCAAAUUUUCAAUUUUGAUUUUGUCAAAAUUGUCGAGCUUUGAGCCCAAUAUAUGUUAUUUUGAUUGUGGCUUUGCCCCAACAAAUAUUUUAUUUUUAUUUUUCUUAUUAUUUGUUUGUUUGUUUUUUAAUAAAAACUAAAUAAAUAAAAAAAAGAAAAUCAAAUAAAAUUUUUUGAAAAUCUUGUACAAGAAGCGAGAAAAGAGAAAUUUUGAGAUUUUUUUUUUAACUUACAUGAAAUAAGAAAUCAAAUAAAAAAGGAUUACAGAGCAUCAAAGCUAGGGUCCUGUUAAAUUGAUUUUACCUAAAUUAAAGGGAUUUUAAAAAAUCUUUGAAAAUCCUUAACAAUCAAUGGAACCUUAAAAUUUCUAACUAAAAAAUCACUAUAAAUUGUUCGAAGGCAAACAAAGAACACAAAUGGAAAAAAAAUAUUAUAUGAAAACUCUUGAGAAAAAAAAAAAAGAGGAAAAUCAUUCAAAAAAAAGAUACAAUUUUCUGGCAUUUGAUUUUUUUUUUUUUGAAUUCUUUGCAGAAUCUAAAAUUGUAAGGAUUUAUUUUUGUAAGCUGCGCAGCCUAACCACUUAGUCGAGUCGACUUCAAAUAUUUUAUUUUUAUUUUUAUUUAUUUAUUUAUUUGAUUAUUUAUUAUUCUUUAAAUAUAUUUUUAUAAAAAUAUAUUUAAAUAAAAGCUUUACCGACAGAUUGGAAGAUAAUCAUUUUUUAAAAAAUAGGGUUUUACCAACAUAUUGAAAAAUUUUACAAUCUUUUUUUUAUUUAAAAAAAAUUAAAAUAGAAAAGCCUUACUAAUAGAUUAGAGGGCCAAUAUUUUAUUUUGAAAAUAAGGUUUUCCCAACAUAUGGAAAGUUUUAUAAUUUCCUAAAAAAACUAGUUUUAAAAAAAAUAAAAUAAUAAAAUAAUAUUUUUUGUAUUUUCGCAUAAAAUCCUACUAACUGAUUGGAGGAUAAUUUUUAACAGAAAGUUUUACCAACAGAUUGAAAGAUAUUUCUGACUAUAAAUAUGGUUUAUAAGUAUUUAUUUUUAUAAGCAAAAUUAAGUGAAUCUGAUGAUGAAGUCUAUUCAAAACGUGACAAAUAAUCUUCUUGACUACUCCUGAGGUAAGAAAAUAUUCUUAAAUUAUUACUAACAUAUUUGAGUAAUUUAAGAAAAAUUUUUAAUAUUAAAUUAUUUGAUAAAUUUUAAUUAUGUUUUAAAGCUUGGAUAACUUGAAAUCAGACUGGUACCAUUUUUUAGAUGGGUGCUGUGAUGGUGCUAUAACUUUUUUCAUUAUAACCAUACUCUUGAACCUAAAUUUUAGUUUUAUGGACUAAAAUCUACUAUUUAAAGAUACCUAAGUUAAUCUUAGGACUCAUCUUUUAAUGGAAUAGAUUUUGUCAUGUAACUAAUUACACUUUAACAAAAAAGAUUGAUGGUGACUCCUUUAGUUUAUGUCUAACGAUAGGUCUACAGAUCUAUAUAUUAUAAUAGUUUGACGACUCUAUUGGAGAGAUCGAAAGUUAAGACAGUAAAUGAUUUCUUGUUAUCCAAGCCUAACCUAAUAAAUUUAAGAUUUUUUUCCUCUUGCUUGUAUUUUAUUUAUUUAUUUAUUUUAUAUAUCUUUCAUUCAUUUGCAUAUGUAUAACAUGAACUUUACAAUCGAGUUUUGUCCUUUAUGAAUGAGUAAACUACCUACGCCUUUAUGAGAUUUUAUAUUUUCGCAUCAGCUAAUAAAAAACUCUCACUCAAAUUAAAUCAUUUUCACUUGUAGCCUAUAAUGGGUAAGAAUUGAAAGUGUCUUCCUAGUUUAUAAUAGACAAUAAUAUAAGAAACAAUUUGGAAACCUUUUGAUUGUCAAAUCUUUGAACCAACAUAUAAAUAAACCAUAAAGGUCCAAACCUAAGUUAGAGCCAUACCUUUCUUUAUGUUAAAAAUUCCUAAAUAUGACAUAUGAUGGAAAUUUUAUUCUAUUUGUAAAUUUAUGUAUCGUUUUUUCUAUAUAUAUUAUUGGCAUACUAACCUUUUUAUGUUAUCCUUAGUAUUUAUACAUUUUUCUUUGUAUAUAUUAUAUUCCUAUUAACUCGUUUUUUUACUAUACAUGCAUUCAUAUCAUUAGAUUUAACAUAAAGAGUAAUUGUCACAAAAUAAUUUUAAUAAAAAAAUCUUAAUUACAUCUAUGGAAAGCCUAGCAAGGCUUUUUACUAGCUUGAAAAGAAAGUCCGAAGAGUUGAAGUUUGUAAACAAAAGGCUAAAAAGGGAAGUUCAAGCACUUGAACAAGAAAAUGAUGAAUGAAAAAUUUUGUUCGCUGACCUUAACACAACAUGGUCAUUUACCAACCGAGAAUUGGUCCAACUUUUAAAAGAAAUUAACAGUUGCAAGCAGAGCUACAAGAAAAAGAUGAAACAUUCUUUGAAGCACAAAGGUACAUCUAAAUGCUAAUGGAGUUAUAGUUAAAAUUGAAACACAAAUGAGAGCUGUGAAAGAAGAGUGCGAGCAAUUAAAUGAAGCAUAUGUGAGAAAACAUAAUCAGUUGGAGUCCCUAUGGGACCAAAUCACUAUGGUUACUUACAAAGUUGAGGACAUGGUUAAAAAUAUUGAAAAAUGAAAAACAAGGGUGCCACCAGUAAGAACACAUGGCCAAGAACUGUUAGAUUUUCUUAAUGAAGUGCAAAGCCAGUAUCAACAAAUUAGAGAUUUCUUUCCUCAAUAAAUUCUAAACUUUUCAUGUAUAUAAUAUUGUAUUUGGUAAGAAAUAACUUUUAAUUUAAUAAAGAUUUUCUUUGAUAAUAAUUAUUAUAUAGUUAUAGACAUCUUAUUUUGUUCAAGAAUUUUUUAAAAUUCAUUGGGUUUCAAAUUUUAAUUUUAAUUGUGCAAUUGGGCCUUAAUUGAAAAAGUGAAUUUUAGGCUCAGAGAUUAAGCCAUGAAUUUUAUUUGUAUUUUCAUUUUUUUAGUUUAAUAUUUGAUUUAAUUUUUAUUUUUUUAGUCAAAAGAGACAAAGUCAAUUGGUAAAAAAAAAAGAAAAAAAUAUAAAGGAAAAAAAUGUGAGAUUUUGCAUGAAAAAUCUUAGAUUCAAUUCAAGUCUUGGAUUCUAUCUCAGAUUUUAACUUUAAUGAUUGAAUAAUUUUGGAAAGAUUUGGAGCUCAAUCUAUUGAAAAAGGAAAGAUUACACAGAGAAUAAAAUUUAGAGAGAAAUCAUAAAUUCAGAUAAAUUAAUUUUGUCCAAAUCAAAAGGGAUUUAAUUUUUAUGUAUGUACUUUGAAUAUAACAUCAAAAGGGGGCCCUUUACAGCAAUUGACUUUAAAAUCAAAUAGAAGUCAUUAAAAGAGAGAAAAUUUGAGCAAAAUUUUAAAUUAACAAGGAAGAAACAAUUAAGUAAAAAAUUUUUGCAAGAAGAUCUAAUCGAAGUUUUUGGAAAGAAGGCUAAGAUUUAUAAUAAGAAACAUUAAUUUUUGAAAGGUGAAAAAUUAUUAGAACCCAUGAUCUAUUGAGGUAAUGUUUACUUACUUUUUUUUAUGAUUUUUUCAUAACUAAUAUUUUUGAAAAAUUAUUAGAACCCCAUUUCAUCUGAGGCGUGCAUCCAAAUUUUCAGUUUCGAUUUUGUCAAAAUUGUUAGGCUUUAAGCCUAAUGUAUGUUACUUUGAUAUGGGCUUUGCUGAACUAAUAUUUUAUUUUUAUUUGUUUGUUUAUUCUUUCAUAAAAACUAAAUAAAUAAAAAAGAAAAGAAAAAAAAUCAAACAAAAUAUUUUGGAAAUCCUAUACAAGAAUCGGGCAAAAAAAAAUUUUUGGGAUUUUUUCUUAACCUGUAUGAAAUAGAAAAUCAAAUAAAAAAAGAUCACAAAGCAUCAAAGAUAGUGUUUCUAUUAAAUUGAUUUUACCUGAAUUAAAAGGAUUAAAAAAUCUUUGAAAAUCUUUGAUAAUCAAUGAAACCCUAAAAUUUAUGACUAGAAAAUCCCUAUAAAUUGUUCUAAGGCAAACAAAGAACACAAAAGGAGGAAAAAUUAUAUGAAAACUCUUGAGAAAAAAAGGUGAGAAAAAUCAUUCAAAAAAAAAAUGAUUUCAGGUAGUAAGCCUUUUUUUUUUUUAAUUUUUUACAGAAUCUAAAAUUAUGAGGACUUAUUCUAUUAAGCUCUACAACCUAGCCGCUUAAUCGAGCCAACUCCAGGUUUUUUUUUCUUAUUUAUUUAUUUGAUUAUUUAUUAUUCUUUAAAUAUAUUUUAUAAAAACAUAUUUAAAUAAAAAUCUUACCAACAGAUUGGAAAGCAAUCAUUUUUUUUAAUAGAGUUUUACUAACAUAUUGAAAAACUUUACAACCUUUUUUUAUUUCAAAAAAAUAAAAAUAAAAAGCCUUACUAACAAAUUAGAGGGCUAAUAUUUUAUUUUCAAAAUAAAGUGUUACUAACAUAUUGGAAAGCCUUAUAAUUUCCUAAAAACAAUCAAGUUUUAAAAUAAUAAAAUAAUAUUUUUUAAUCUUUUUGCAUAAAAUCCUACUAACAGAUUGGGGGAUAAUUUUCAAUAAAAAGUCUUAUCAAUAGAUUGAAAGAUAUUUUUAACUACAAACUCAGUUUUAUAGGUAUUUAUUUCUAAAAGCAAAAUUAAGUGAAUCUGAUGACGAUAUCUCUUCAAAAUGUGAUAAAUAUUCUCCUUGAAGACUACUGAGGUGAGAAAAUAUUCUUAAAUUAUUAUCAACAUAUUAAAGUAAUUUAAGAAAAUUUUUUAAUAUUAAAUUAUUUGAUAAAUUUUAAAUAUGUUUUAAGGUUUGGAUAACUUGAAAUCAAACUGGUACUAUCUUUUGGAUAGGUGUUAUGAAAAUGUUAUAACUUUCUUCAUGCAUAACUAUACUAUUGGACUUAAAUUUUAGUUUCGUGGACUAGAAUCUACUAUUUAAAAAUACCUAAGUUAAUUUUAUGAGUCUUUUUUAAAUGAGACAGAUUUUAUCAAGUGACCAAUCACACUUUAACAAAAAAAGAUUGGUUGCGACUCUUUUAGUCUAUGUUUAGUAGUAGCUCUAUAAAUCUAUACGUUAUGACAAUAUAAAAUAAUUCCUAGUUUAGUGAUAAAAAUAGUUUAAUCCAUUGAAUUGUCACACUUUUAUAAGCUCUUUUAGAAAUUGAAAGUCAUGAUCAUUUUAGAUUGAAAGCUUUUUUCUUUAUAUGUCAAUGGUACUAUAUAUUUAACUUAAUUAUUCGAAUAGACCAAUUUGAUUAUUCUUAAUAAUUUAUUUGUAAAUUAAAACAUAUUUUAAAAUUCUAUUUUUUUAAAUAAAAAAUCACAAUUUGAGAAUAUGAGAAUGAAUAAGUGUCAAGAUUUGAUUCAUUUGAAUUUUUGAUUUAUUAGAUGUUACUUUUUAAUGAUAGUCGUAUAGAGCACAAGCAAAUAGAUUAAACAUCAAAUUUAUACUAUUAAUUUAGAGAAAUUAUCAAAUACGUGAAAUUUUUUAACUCAACAAUUAUGGUUAAAAUAAUAAAAUAUAUCUCUUAGUGUAUAUUUAAAAAAUAAAAAAAAUUUAAUUUAAAAAAUAAGUAUAAUAUGUAUCACCAUCUUAUCCUACUUGUGGAAUUAAAAAUUUUAUUUUCAAUAUAUCAUAUAAUUUUCAUUAAUUUAUACUUUAUCAAAAUGUAUACUACUAAAUAAAUGAAAAAUUAUUUAAUAUUCUAUUAUUGGAGUUUUUUAAUUCUAAGUUGACAAAAUGACAUAUGUCCCACUUUUUUAAAUUAAGUUUUUUUUUUAUUUUUUAAAUAAACACUUAAAAGAUAUAUAUCAUCCUAUUAAUCCCACAUAUGAAGUUAAAUAUUUUUUAUUGUCAUUAUAUUUGAUAAUUUCUCUAAAUAAAUAAAUAUAUAUUUAUGCAAAUAUACAUAUAGAGUAAUAUCAAUGUCUUUUUUAUAUAAUUAAUUUAGGGAAAUUGAUAUCUUAUAAUUUUUUUAAUAUUGUUAAUAAGGUAUGAGUGCAUUUAUGAUGGCAGGAAUUUAUUUAAUAUACAAUGCUCUCAUUGCCGGUCAUUUCUCUUUAGCCCUUGGAAGAAAAUUCAGUGGAAUUAAGUCCAAAAUUUCUUAAUUAAAGCGUGCGGGCUUAAAUUUCCUUCAUUGCCAAGUGUAAAAACUUUUUUCUAUUUUGGUGAAAAUGAUUCGAAGGUAGAUAAGUUUUAAGUUGUAAACUUGGGAUUAAACCUUUCAACUUCAAUAGCCGCUUUCCCUCUUGCAAGUUGCAAUUACUUGUUCAUUUGGCUAGCUAUAAGUGGACUCUCUAGACUAUGGACGGCGUGCGCUUGACUUGGCUCAAGUCGGCAAAAGUAGACAAUAAGAGAUAAAUAACAAAAAAAAAAAAUUUUUAAAUAAAGUAAAAAUGGCAUUCAAACAUAAUUUUUACAAAUAAAUCAAAGUAAAUUGCAGUGAAAAAGAUUAGUCAAUUUCUUAUGGAAAAUAGUUUGUUUGAUGUAUGUGAGAGUUCAUAAGAUUUUGUUGUACUUUUCUCCAGAUUUUCAGUUACGGUGCAGACUAAAAAAGCUGAGAAAAAUGUUGAUGACACCGCAAUUAACGGGACAGAACGAAAUUUAAUGCGGUCAAUGCGGAGGAUUUUAGACAAUAAUAUUAAAUUUUUUGACAUUAAGUGAAUAAUAAUAAUUAGAUCUAAAAAAUUAAUAUAAAUCAUUAAUUUUUUAAUUAUAAAAAUAAUUAUUUAUCUGUUAACCUAUUAAUCUCAUUUUAAUUAAUUACAUUAAAUAUUAUUCAUUAAAUAAAAUUAAAAAAAAUAAAUAAAUACAUUUAUUUAAAAUUCUUUAAAAAAAGGAUAAAAUAAUAUAAUAUUUAAAAAAUUUAAUUGAAAAUUGGUUAAUAUAAAAAUGUGAGAAUUAUUGUAAAUUGAUAAAUAAAAAGUGUUAGAAGUGUCGUAACACAUUAAGAGAGAGUUAUGAUAAUUUUAUACAUAAUAAAAGUAAAAACAAACAUAAAAAAAUAUUAUUAUAAUAUAGAUAAUUAAGUUGAUAACGUAAAAAAAUUAUUAUCUUAAAUCCAAAAAUUAAUUCUAAAACAAUAAAUAAGUAUUAAUGAAAAAAUGUAAGAAUAAUCAUAAAAUUAAUAUCAUUUAACGUAAAAUGAAUUAAAAGUGUCGUAAUACCCUAACAAAGAAUUGUAAUAAUUAUAAAUGUAAUAAAAAUAAUAUAUAUAAAAAGAUAUUAUUGUAAUAAAAAUAAUUAAAUUUGUAAUAUAAAAGAAAUAUUGUUACAAAUAAAAAAAAUAAUUUUAAACCAAAAAAUAAAAGUUAAUGUAAAAAAGUAAGAAUAAUUGUAAAAUUAAUAUUAUUUGACAUAAAAUGGUUAUAAGUAUUGUUACACUUCAAUAAAACAUUGUGAUAAUUCUAAACAUAAUGAAAAAUAUAAGUGUAAAAAAAAUUAUUAAAACAUAAAUAAUUAAAUUGGUAAUAUAAAAAAAAUUAGUAUUAUAAAUAAAAAUAAUAAUCUUACACUAUAAAAAUAGGUGUUAACAUAAAAAAAUAAGAAUAAUCAUUAAAAUUGGUAUUUUUUAUGUAAAAUGGUUAAUCAUGUCAUAACACCUUUAAGAAAAAGUUAUAAUAAACAUAAACGUAAUAAAAGAUAACAAAAAGCAUAAAAAGAUAUUAUUAUAAUAUAAAUAAUUAAAUCGAUAACAUAAAAAAUUUAUUAUUAUAAAUUCAAAAUUAAAAAAAAAAGUGUUUUAACUUUAAAAAGUUAGGGUAAUUGUAAAAUUAGAAUUAUUUUGCCCAAAAGUGUGUUAAAAGUGUUGUAAUAUAAAAAGGUAAGAAUAGUUGUAAAAUUGGUGUCACUUGACUUAAAAUAUAUUAGAAUUGUCGUAACACCUUGACAAAGAGUUAUAAUAAAUUUAAACGUAAUAAAAAAUAAGAAUAAGUGUAAAAAAUAUAUUGUUAUAACAUAAAUAAUAUUUUUGGCAAUGUAAAAAAAUUAUUAUUACAAAUAAUUAAUAAUUCUAAACAAAAAAAAGUGUUAGUAUAAAAAAAAUGUGAGAGUAAUCAUAAAAUUAGUAUUAUUUAGAGUAAAAUGAUUAAAAGUAUUGUAACACCUUUAAAAAAAAAAAAGUAGUAAUAGUUUUAAACAAAAUGAAAGGUAACAACAAGCAUAAAAAGAUGUUACUAGAAGAUAAAUAAUUAAAUUAGCAAUACAAAAGAACUAUUAUUACAAAUAAGAAAUAAUUUUAAAUAAAAAGUUAAGAGUUAAUGUAAAAUGGUGAGAAUUAUCGUAAAAUUGAUAUUAUUUAACGUAAAAUAGUUAGAAAUAUCGUUCCACUUUAAGAAAAUUUUGCAAUAAUUCUAAACGGAAUAAAAAUAAUAAUAAAUGUAAAAAUAUAUUAUUGAAACGUAAUAAAUUAGUAACAUGAAAAAAAUUAGUAGUAUAAAUAAAAAAUAAUAAUUCAAUUAAAAAAUAAGUGUUAACUUAAAAAUGUGAAAAUAAUCGUAAAAUUGAUAUCGUUCGGCAUAAAAUAUAUUAGAACUGUCGUAAUACUUUAAGAAAAACUUAUGAUUAUUCUAAAUAUAAUAAAAGAUAAGAAUAAGCGUAAAAGAUUUUAUUGUAGCAUAAAUAUAAGUUGACAAUAUAAAAAAUUAUUAUUAUAAAUAAAAGUAAUUCUAAAAAAAAAAAUGCAUGUUAGCAUAAAAAAGUGUUAUAAUUGAAAUUUUGGAAUCAUUCAAUGUAAAAUAUGUUACAAUGUCAUAACAUAAAAUUAUAAGAAUAGUUGUAAAAUUAGUAUCAUUUGGCAUAAAUUGGAUUAUAAGUGUCAUAACACCUUAAAAAAAAUUGUGAUAAUUUUAAACAUAAUAAAAAGUAUGAAUAAGUAUAAAAAAAUAUUAUUGCAACAUAAAUAAUAUUUUUGGCAAUAUAAAAAAAUUAUUAUUACAAAUAAAUAAUAAUUUUAAACUAAAAAAUAAGUGUUAAUAUAAAAAAGGUGGAAGUAAUUGUAACAUUGAUAUUAUUUGGCGUAAAAUAAUUAAACGUAUCAUAACACCUUUAAGAAAAAGUUAUGAUAAUUUUAAACAUAAUGAAAUAUAACAACAAGUGUAAAAAAAAAAAUUUAUUAUAACAUAAAUAAUUAACUUGAUAAUGUAAAAAAAUUAUUAUUAUUAUAAAUAAAAAAUAAUUUUUAAAAAAUAAGAGUUAACAUAAAAUGGUGAGAAUAAUCAUAAAAUUGAUAUUAUUUUAUGUAAAAUAGUUUGAAAUAUUGUUACACCUUAACAAAAAAAUUAUAAUAAUUUUAAACGUAAUGAAAAGUAACAACAAACAUAAAAAGAUAUUAUUGAAACUUAAUAAAUUUAUAACAUAAAAAAAAUUAGUAUUAUAAAUAAAAAUAAUUCUAAAUAAAAAAAUUAAGUGUUAAAGUAAAAAAAAAUGAUCAUUAAAUUGGUAUAAUUUGGUGUAAAAUACGUUUAAAGUGUUAUAAUACUUAAAAUAAAGUUGUGAUAAUUAAUUCUAAAUAUAAUAAAAUGUAACAACAAGUAUAAUAAAUUUUAUUAUAACGUAAAUAAUUAAAUUGACAACAUAAAAUAUUAUUAUUAUAAAUAAAAAAUAAUUUUAAACCUAAAAAAAGUUUUAACGUAAAAAUGUAAGAGUAAUCGUAAUAUUGAUAUAAUUUUACAUAAAAUGUGUUAAAGUAUUGUAAUGUAAAAAAGUGAGAAUAGUCAUAAAAUUAGUAUCAUUUUGUAUAAAAUAGGUUAAAACUAUCAUAACACCCUAAGAAAGAAUUUAGAUAAUUCUAAACAUAAUGAAAUAAAUGAACAAGUAUAAAAGAAAUAUUAUUUUAACAUAAAUAAUUAAAUUGACAACAUAAAAAAUUAUUAUUAUAAAUAAAAAAAUAAUUCAAUAAAAAAUAAGUGUUUACAUAAAAAUGUGAAAAUAACUAUAAAAUUUGUAUCAUUUAACAUAUUGUAUAUUAGAAAUGUUGUAACACUAUUAAAAAAAAGUUAUGAUAAUUCUAAAUGUAAUAAAAGAUAAAAACAAAUGUAAAAAUAUAUUAUUAUAACAUAAAUAAUUAAAUUGGCAACGCAAAAAAUUAAUAUUAUAAAUAAAACGUAAUUCUAAACCAAAUAAUAAGUGUUAACAUAAAAAAAGUAAAAAUAAUAAAAAUAAUCAUAAAAUUGAUAUCAUUUGAUGUCGUAAUUUUUACAAAGAGUUAUAAUAAUUCUAAAUGAAACAAAAAGUAAAAACAAGCGUAACAAGAAAUUAAAGUAAAUAAUUAACUUAACAAUGUAAAAGAAUUGAUAUUUUUAAAUUAAAAGAUUCUAAAUAAAAAAAUUGUUAACAUAAAAAGAUGAAAAUAAUCAUAAAAUUCAUAUCAUUGGAUGUUAAAAUGAGUUUGAAAUGAUUUAUCCUUGAAAAACAUUGUAAUAAUUCUAAAUGUAAUGAUAAAAAAAGUAUAAAAAUAUAUUAUUAAACGUAAAUAAUUAAGUUAGUUUUGUAAAAUAAAUUUAUAUUAUAAAAUUAAAAAUAUAUAAUCUCUUAUUUGUUAAAUUAAUAAAUUAAAAAAAUUAUGUACUUUUUUAACAUUUACUUGUUAACUUUUUUUUUUUUAUUAUUUUAAGUUAUAUUAUUAUUAUAAUUUAUUAUGAUAUAUCAUGAGAUAUUAUGAUAUCUUAUGACCUUAGAAUAAAAUCAAUAUAUUACGAUAUUACCGUAGAUAAAUCCGUGAAUGGAGUGGUCAUCAGCACAACCUUAUCUCUUUUAGGAACUAGUCAAAGUUGAGGACUAUAUAACUCUAAACCAAAAUGACUAACGAAAAGUCAUGCUCCAUGCAUCAAUUUAUUUUACCCAAAAGGCUAAUAUGUUUUUCUCAUCAAACAAACUAUUCUUUUUAUAGUAUUUCUCCAAGACUUUUCUUCUCUCUGUGUUUUUAAUACAGCCAUAUUCAUAAUUUCCGCGUCGCAGAAUAACCAUCAAAGAUUAAUCUACAAUUUGAAAGAACAUAAUAUUUUUAAAAUGGUUGAAGAUUAUUUGAUUAAGAAUGAUAAUUUAAUUAAUAGUUUAAGAAAUUAAAUAAAAAAAUAGAAUUAAGUUUUGAUAAAGAGCAAUUGAUUAUCUAUAUAAUAAAAUAGACUGCUCAUGAUCUCUAAGAAAACAAAAAAAUAGAUGUUAAGAAAAUGAAUUUAGACAGUCAGAUAUCUAGAGAGGAGUCUAUUGCUCUACUUUAAAAGAGUUUUUAUUAUAAAAUAACACUAAAGCACUCAGAUGCUCAUGUAUGGCAUUCGAUUGUUUUAAUUUGAAAAAGUAUAUUUUAUGAAGAAUGAAAAUGUUUUUUUAAGGACAUUUAUUCAACUAAAAAACAAUCUUUUACUAUAAAAGAUAAAUAAUUAUAUCUAUAAUUAUUCAAAAAAUGCAUUUUUAAUUAAAGAAAGUGAUGGUUGAUUGAAUCAACUUAAUUAAAGGGUCCAAAACGCUUAAAAUUAUAUAAUUUAAUUCUUUAAAACAUAACAUCAAAGUCUAAAUAUGAUAUUUCUAUUAUCUUAAUUAUAUGAUUUUGGUCCAUUCGUUCUAAUUUUAAUGAAUUUAACCCAUAUAUUUUAAAGAUAAAGAGUAUCAAUGUUAAAAAAUUUCUAUUAAAUUGAUUAUAUGAAAAUUUUGUUGAUAAAGUAGCAUGUUAAUCGGUUUAUUAAAAAAAUAAAAAGUGGCAUGCUAAUCUGAUUUCUUUUUUUUAUUAGCACAUGAAAUACAAUAGUAAGGAAGAACUUUAUUUUUAAUAAAAAAAUAUAAAAACUUUUUUUAGAAUUUUUUUAAAAAUAAUACACUGCACUGAACCCUAUUUUUAGCUAGGUAUUCAUGGACAAUUUCCAUAUGAACUGCCUAACAAUGAAUGAAUCUAAUUCUUGACUUGACUUGGGAUCAAGCCACAUCCUAUUAACAUCAUCACCAUCUCGCAAUGUUUCCAACAAAAUUCUAUCACGCAAUUACACCUGUAAAUCAUCAACAGCAAUGCCACCGCCGCCCCACCUCUAUAAAAAUCUCCGCACUUUCACUCCAAAACACCGCAAACCCAUCAACAAAAUAUCAGUAGAGCAUAGCCAACUUGUUCACCAAAAUGAUGAGUUCCUUCAAAACCUUACCAACCCUUUCUUUCCUCUUUGUGACCCUCUUCAGCUUAGCCCAUGCAGCCACAUUUGAUAUCAGAAACAACUGCCCUUACACCGUCUGGGCUGCAGCGGUGCCAGGCGGUGGCAGAAGAAUGAACCGUGGUGAAACAUGGCAAAUCAGUGCAGCCCCUGGAACCACACAAGCCCGCAUUUGGGCUCGAACCAACUGCCAGUUCGAUGCUUCCGGGAACGGCAAGUGUGAGACAGGUGAUUGUGGCGGUCUCUUGGAAUGCAAGGGCUAUGGUUCAGCCCCUAACACACUAGCUGAAUAUGCGAUAGGUCAAUUCGCUAACCAAGACUUUAUUGAUAUCUCUAACAUUGAUGGCUUUAACGUUCCUAUGGAGUUCAGCUCAAACUCUCCAGGGUGCACAAGAGUUAUCAGGUGUACAGCAGACAUUGUCGGGCAGUGUCCGAAUGAGUUGAAGGUUCCUGGAGGAUGUAACGGGCCUUGUCCAGUGUUCAAGACUGAGGAGCACUGCUGCAAUUCUGGUAACUGUAGCCCUACAAACUUCUCCAGGUUUUUCAAGGAAAGGUGCCCAGAUGCUUACAGUUACCCCAAGGAUGACCCCACGAGCUUGUUUACUUGCCCCACUGGUACUAACUACAAGGUUAUAUUCUGCCCCUGAAGGGUUGGAAUGGUUUUAAAUCGUCUACACACAAAAUAUAUAGCUUAUCCGGUAUCAAUAGCAAUAUGUGGAAUAAAGGCAUAUGAAUGCCAUUUGAGCACAUUCCUUGAUGUGCAAAUGUUCUCACUUGUAAUAAAUAUUUAUCUGAUCAUAAAUUAAUGAAAAUUGGGGAUUUCCUUUUUCUUUUUCUUUUUGAGUUUUGGAUCAAUUCAAUAUUUUAUGAAAGGAUUUUCCCUUGAUUUUGAUUUUAUGUUCUUCUGUCUUUGUUUUUUUUUCUUUUAGAAUUCUAUUUUAUAACCUGGAUUCCUUAUUGUGCUUGUCAUUACACAUUACCUUAAUUUUCUAUCAUCAUUUUAUUUUAAUUAAUUCUUUUCUAAAUUAUCUUUGCUUUUUUCAUUUUUUAUUUAUAAACAAAUGAAAACUUUUAUAUUGUAAAAUUUUUUAAUUACAAUCUCUUUUGUAAAUAAUAAUAAUAAUGUAAUCUGCACUCGGCCCAAAAAAAAAAAUGUUUAUCUAAUCUAAUCUGCUCAUUCAAUAAAUACACAAUUAAUUUCUGGGCUGAAGCCUCAUCAGAUAUUGUCUAGUGUCUAUCUGUCUACUGACUCGACCUAGUUCGCCUAUAGCAGAAAACCGUGGCACCAGGCUCAGCCAGGGCUUGCAUCUGGGCCUUACUAAUUGCAUCUUGGGUGUCAAUGGACUGCAAGAGGUGGUCCUUGAAACCCAAAAAAGUAAAGCGUUUAACCAAAAUUAUCUUCGACUUUUUAUUAAUAAAUUUGGUUUCUUAAAAUUUACCAUAUAUGUAUGAAGCACUUUAUCUUUUUAAGGCAUUAUAAACGCCAUUUCAUGAUAUUAAUUUUUCUUAUAAACCAAUUUCCCCACCAUAUACCAAAUAAUUUGAUAUAUGUAUCAGAAAUGGAAAGUUGUUGAAGUUUGAUAAAUCAAGAAAUUAAGGAUAGCAAACCUAAUAAGCUUGAAAUAAAAAUAUUUGAAAGAUCAUCAAAGACAAAAAUAUACCUUUCUCUUUGCAAGCAAAAAUUGUACGGAAAAUUUGGGUUGAUUCAACCGGGCUCGAACACGGAUAGCAUGUCCAGGUAACCAUUAGUGUAGUAUGUGGCUACAACUAAACAAGACCUUUUUUUUUUAUAUAGUUUUAAUUUAUUCUUAAAUUUUUUGUCCAACUAUUUACUUAAUUGAAAAAAAAUUACUCCUAUAAAUUAUUUUAAAUUUAUAAUCUUUAAAUGUAAAUUUCAAUAAUAUAUCAACCGAUUCUAAAUCAAUUGACAACAAUUAGGAUUUCAAAUCCUAAGAAAGUUACAUAAUUUAUGUAAGAAUAUUUAGUCAACAAUUACGAGAUCAAUAGAUAUUGUUAAAAGUUAUAAAAUCUAUUGAUAAAAUAUUAAAUUUUUAGUAAUUAUAAUUUAAUUUUUAAUAAUUUAAGUAUAAAAAAAAAUAAAGAAUAUCGUUAUCAUUACAUAAUUUAUUUACACUUAAAAUCUUUAUCAAUGUUCAGGUUGGUUGGAAUAUCUUUAUCAUUAGACUAGGCCUAUUUCAUCAAUCAUUAUUUUAUUUCAUUCAAAAAAUAUUUCAAAAAUAAAAAUGAUUUUUGAAUGAAAAAUUUAAAACACAAUUGCGAAGUUAAUUACAGGGUUGUAUUUUGCCGCAGAGGCUCUCCUCAUCUGGAGAUGGUUGGAAGCAAGAGCCAAGAGUAAUGGUCUCUCCCCUCUCGGAGUUAAUUGCAGUGCCUCGGCGCUUGGAAAUAAAAAUAAAGUUUUUUGAUAAUGAAUAUGUUGUCGUGUUUGUAUUUCUUUUGUUUCCCGAUCGUGUUUUAUUUGAUGCGACGGUGAAAAGAAAUAAAGAUAUCCUUGUUUGAUUCACUCUAUUGAACUAAAAAUUUGGUUUUUCAGCCACACAAAACAAUUGGCAAUCAACCUCAAAGUUGAGUAGAGAUAAGGGGUGAGGUAGAUUUAUGAAGAGUCUAUCCAUGUAUAGUAAUAUCAACGUCUUUUUAAUAUAAUUAAUUUAGGGAAAUUGAUAUCUUAUAAUUUUCUUGAAUGCAUUUAUGAUAGCAGGUAUUUAUUUAAUAAACAAUGCUCUCAUUGCCGGUCAUUUCUCUUUAGCCCUUGGAAGAAAAUUCAGUGGAAUUAAGUCCAAAAUUUCUUAAUUAAAGCAUGCUGGCUUAAAUUUCCUUCAUUGCCAAGUGUAAAAACUUUUUUCUAUUUUGGUGAAAAAGAUUCGAAGGUAGAUAAGUUUUAAGUUUACAACUUAAAACUUGGGAUUAAACCUUUCAACUUCAAUAGUCACUUUCCCUCUUGCAAGUUGCAAGUAAUUGUUCAUUUGGCUAGCUAUAAGUGGACUCUCUGGACUAUGGACAGCGUGCGCUUGACUGUCUAAAGUCGGCAAAAGUAGACAACAAAAGAUAAAAAUAACGAAAAUUUUUUUAAAAAAAUAAAGUAAAAAUGACAUCCCAAUAUAAUUUUUACAAAUAAAUCAAAAUAAAUUGUAGUGAAAAAGAUUAGUCGAUUUCUUAUGGAAAAUAGUUUGUUUGAUGCAUGUGAGAGUUCAUAAGAUUUUGUUGUACUUUUCUCCAGAUUUUCAGUUACGCUGGAGACUGAAAAGCUGUGAAAAAUGUUGCUGACACCUCAAUUAACGUGACAGAACGAUAUUUAAAGCAGUCAAUGCGGAGGAUUUUAGACAAUAAGAUUAAAGUUGUUGACCUUAAUUGAAUAAUAAUAAUUAGAUAUAAAAAAUUAAUAUAAAUCAUUAAUUUUUUAAUUAUAAAAAUACUUAAUUAUCUGUUAACCUAUUAAUCUAAUUUUAAUUAAUUACAUUAAAUAUUAUUCAUUAAAUAAAAUUAAAAAAUAUUUAAUAAAUAAAUACAAUUUGUUUAAAAUUCUUAAAAAAAAAGACAAGAUAAUAUAAUAUUUAAAAAAUUUUAAUUGAAAAUUGGUUAAUAUAAAAAGGUGAGAAUUAUCAUAAAAUUAAUAUUAUUUAGUAAAAAAUAUGUUAGAAGUAUCGUAAUACUUUAAGAGAUAUUUGUAAUAAUUUUAAACAUAAUGAAAGUAAAAUCAAAUGCAAAAAAAUAUAUAUUAUUGGAAUGUAAAUAAUUAAGUUAACAAUGUAAAAAAAUUAUUAUCUUAAAUCCAAAAAUUAAUUCUAAAACAAUAAAUAAGUGUUAACAUAAAAAUAUAAGAAUAAUCAUAAAAUUAAUAUCAUUUAACGUAAAAUAAGUUAAAAGUAUCAUAACACCCUAACAAAGAGUUGUAAUAAUUAUAAACGUAAUAAAAAGUAAUAACAAGUAUAAAAAGAUAUUAUUGUAACAAAAAUAAUUAAAUUGGUAAUAUAAAAGAAAUAUUAUUACAAAUAAAAAAAUAAUUUUAAACCAAAAUAUAAAAGUUAAUAUAAAAAAGUAAGAAUAAUCAUAAAAUUAGUAUUAUUUGACAUAAAAUAGUUACAAGUAUUGUUAUACCUUAAUAAAACAUUGUGAUAAUUCUAAAUGUAAUGAAAAGUAAUAAGUGUAAAAAAUAUUAUAAAAACAUAAAUAAUUAAUUUAAUAAUAUAAAAAAAUUAGUAUUAUUAAUAAAAAUAAUAAUCUUACACCAAAAAAUAUGUGUUAACGUAAAAAGAUAAAAAUAAUCAUAAAAUUGAUAUUUUUUAUGUAAAAUGGUUAGACGUGUCGUAAUACCUUUAAAAAAAAGUUAUGAUAAACUUAAACAUAAUAAAAGAUAACAAUAAGCGUAAAAAUAUAUUAUUAUAAUGUAAAUAAUUAAGUUAACAACAUAAAAAAUUAUAAACAAAAAAAUGUUUUAAUGUAAAAAAGUAAGAGGAAUUAUAAAAUUAGAAUCAUUUGUCGUAAAAAUAUGUUAAAAGUGUUGUAAUGUAAAAAAAUAAGAAUAAUUAUAAAAUUAGUGUCACUUAGCAUAAAUUGGAUUAGAAUUCUCGUAACAUAUUGACAAAAAGUUAUAAUAAAUUUAAACGUAAUAAAAAAUAAGAACAAGUGUAAAACAUAUGUUGUUAUAACAUAAAUAAUAUUUUUGACAAAGUAAAAGAAUUAUUAUUACAAAUAAUUAAUAAUUCUAAACCAAAAAAAUAAGUGUUAGUAUAAAAAAAAGGUGAAAGUAAUCAUAAAAUUAGUAUUAUUUGACGUAAAAUGGUUAAAAGAAUUAUAACACCUUUAAGAAAAAAGUUAUAAUAUUUUUAAACAUAAUAAAGGGUAACAACAAGUGUAAAAAGAUAUUAUUAUAAUAUAAAUAAUUAAAUUAGCAACAUAAAAGAACUAUUAUUACAAAUAAGAAAUAAUUUUAAGUAAAAAAUUAAGAGUUAAUAUAAAACGGUGAGAAUUAUCGUAAAAUUGAUAUUAUUUAACAUAAAAUAGUUAGAAAUAUCGUUACACUUUUAAAAAAAAUUGUAAUAAUUCUAAACAUAAUGAAAAGUAACAACAAAUGUAAAAAGUUAUUAUUGAAAUGUAAUAAAUUAGUAGCAUAAAAAAUUGGUAUUAUAAAUAAAAAAUAAUAAUUCAAUCAAAAAAUAAGUGUUAAUGUAAAAAUAUGAGAAUAAUUAUAAAAUUGGUAUCAUUUAACGUAAAAAUAUUAGAUGUGUCAAAAUGCCUACAAAAAACUUGUGAUUAUUCUAAAUAUAACUAAAGGUAAAAAUAAAUGUAAAAGAUUUUAUUGUAACAUAAAUAUAAGUUAACAAUAUAAAAAAAUUAUUUUUAUACAUGAAAGUAAUUCUAAACAAAAAAAUGCAUAUUAGCGUAAAAUGUAAGAAUAAUUAAAAAAUUAAAAUUAUUUGGUGUAAAAUAUGUUACAAUAUCGUAACAUGAAAUGAUAAGAAUUGUUGUUAAAUUGGUGUCAUUUAAUGUAAAUUGGAUUAGAAGUGUCAUAAUACCUUAACAAAAAGUUGUAAUAAUUUUAAACAUAAUAAAAAGUAAGAAUAAGUAUAAAAAAAAAUAUUAUUGUAACAUAAAUAAUUUUUUUUUGCAAUAUAAAAAAUUUAUUAUUACAAAUAAAUAAUAAUUCUAAACCAAAAAAUAAGUGUUAAUAUAAAAAAAAAAAGUGAAAGCAAUUGUAAAAUUGAUUUCAUUUGGCAUAAAAUAAUUAAAAGUAUCGUAACACCUUUAAAAAAAAAUUAUGAUAUUCUUAAACGUCAUGAAAAAUAACAAUAAGAGUAAAAAAUAUAUUAUUAUAACAUAAAUAAUUAAGUUGAUAAAUAUAAAAAAAUUAUUAUUGUAAAUAAAAAAUAAUUUUUAAAAAAUAAGAGUUAACAUAAAAUGGUGAGAAUAAUCAUAAAAUCGAUAUUAUUUUGUAUAAAAUACUUUGAAGUAUCGUUACACCAUAACAAAAAAAUUAUAAUAAUUUUAAACAUAAUAAAAAAUAACAAAAAACAUAAAAAGAUAUUAUUGAAACUUAAUAAAUUUGUAACGUAAAAAAAUUAGUAUUAUAAAUAAAAAUAAUUCUAAAUAAAAAAUUAAGUGUUAAAGUAAAAAAAUAAAAAUGAUUGUUAAAUUGGUAUAAUUUGGGGGAAAAUAUGUUUAAAGUGUUGUAAUACUUAAGAAAAAAUUAUGAUAAUUCUAACUAUAAUAAAGUACAAGCGUUAUAGAUUUUAUUGUAACGUAAAUAAUUAAAUUGACAAUAUAAAAUAUUAUUAUAAAUAAAAAAUAAUUUUAAACCUAAAAAUAAGUGCUAACGUAAAAAUGUAAGAAUAAUCGUAAAAUUGAUAUAAUUUCACAUAAAAUGUAUUAAAAGUAUUGUAAUGUAAAAAAAUGAGAAUAGUCAUAAAAUUAGUAUCUAUAAACUAAGUUAGAACUAUUAUAACACCUUAAGAAAGAGUUGUGAUAAUUCUAAAUGUAAUGAAAUACAUGAAUAAGUAUAAAAAAAUUUAUUUUAACAUAAAUAAUUAAGUUGACAACAUAAAAAAUUAUUAUUAUAAAUAAAAAAUAAUUCAACAAAAAAUAAUUGUUUACAUAAAAAUGUGAGAAUAGUUAUAAAAUUUGUAUCAUUUAGCAUAAAGUAUAUUAGAAAUGUUGUAAACCAAUAGAAAAAAGUUAUGAUAAUUCUAAACGUAAUAUAAGAUAAGAACAAAUGUAAAAACAUAUUAUUAUAACAUAAAUAAUUAAAUUGGUAACGUAAAAAAUUAUUAUUAUAAAUAAAAAGAAAUUCAAAACCAAAAAACAGAUGUUAACGUAAAAAAGUAAAAAUAAUCAUAAAAUUGAUAUUAUUUGACGUCAUAAUACCUUUAGAAAGAGUUAUAAUAAUUUUAAACAAAACAAAAAGUAAAAACAAGUAUAACAAGAAAUUAAAGUAAAUAAUUAACUUAACAAUCUAAAAGAAUUGAUAUUUUUAAAUUAAAAGUUUCUAAAUAAAAAAAUUGUUAACGUAAAAAAAUUAAAAUAAUCAUAAAAUUCAUAUCAUUAGAUGUAAAAUGAGUUCGAAAUGAUUUAUACUCAAAAAAUAUUUUAAUAAUUCUAAAUGUAAUGAUAAAAAAGUAUAAAAAUAUAUUAUUUAACGAAAAUAAUUAAAUUAAAAUAAAUUGAUAUUAUAAAAUUAAAAAAUAUAUAGUUUUUUAUUUGUUAAAUUAAUAAAUUAAAUAAAAUUAUGUAUAUUUUUUAAUGUUUACCUGUUAACUUUUUUUUUUAAGUUAUAUUAUUCUUAUAAUUUAUUAUGAUAUAUCAUAAUAAUAUUUUAUUAGGAAUUAUUCAAGGUAUUUUCUUGCGUAUUAUGCCCUUAAUAAUCCAUAGAAAAUAUAUGAAAUGGAUUCUUAAAGGCGUUUUUAGGUGAAAGGCCUUCAAUAAUCCAAUAAAUAAGUUUUUAAUAGAAAUUAUUGAAAGUGAUUUUUUUCAAAAAUACCUUCAAUAAUCUACACACAAUAUUUGGUACGGAUUCUUGAAGGUAUUUUUUUUCUCAAAACGCCUUUAAUAUUUCACACAAUAUAUUUUUAAGUGGGAUUAUUGAAUGUGAUUUUGGUUAAAAAUGCCUUCAAUAACAUGUUGUUAUGAUGAUUCAAUGCGUUUUUCUUGUUAAAAAUACAUUCAUUAAUCGUAUUAAAAAAAUAUUUUUGAUAUUGUAUAUGUCAAGUUAGUUGUAGGUUUAUGCCUAAAAAAUAUUUGAUUUAUAUAUGUGAUACUACAAAUUACAUUUUGAAAUUUACAUAAUGAACAUUGUUGUAUUUCAAUAAAUUGACCACAUAUCCGAAAUUAAAACUGAUAACGUUGCCAUAUUAAUAUACUUUUCUAAAAUAAUCGUACUCAAUAAUAUAUUAAGUACACAUAGUGUAUUCAUAUUAAGUAUAUCAAUAAUAUUAAACCAAUUCCCUAAUGUACAAACUUAAAGUUUCCAUUCAACAUGGCAUGUUAAACACAUUAUAACAAUUUGUUCCUCAUAUUUACAUUUAACCAACAAUGUCUAACCUCAAGGUUUAUCAACAUUGAUAAAUGAUAAUACAUACUCACACCAUUCUUUACAGACUUCAUCCAGCUCCUCUUCCAUGAAGCUUUCUUUACUCUCCUACUAAAAAAAAAUCAUAAGUAAAUGUUAAUAAAUGAGAACAUAAUGAACCGUUUUAUUUUUAUGAAGAUAUAAUGAGUUUAUGAAAUUUAUACUAACCUUAAAGGUGUGGUCAUAAAAUCAUUUAAUACUAUCUCACGCAUAAAAUGAAGGAAUAAUAUCCACAUUCAGUAUUACCGAGUUAUGAGGUACCUGAAAAUUAAAUUGAAUGGGUUUAAGAAACAUUUAUCUACACAAACUUAGUAUAAAAGAAUAAAUUUGACAUUUAUCGAUAAUGACACCCAUUUCGAUUUCUUUUUCUUCUUAUCAAAUGCAAAUAUUACCCUAAAUUGAAAAGAAAUAAUUUACUUAAUACAUAAAUAAAAUUACUUAUGAAGAAAUAUAAGAUAUAUAAUAUAAUAAAGUGUAAUACCUCUUUAUAAAAGUUUGAAUAUCAAGGUUAGGCACCGUCGUUGGAUUAACUGAAUUAAGUAAAUAUGAUGUUAAGGAUUUGGUGUCAAUGAAAAUAAGCACUCAAUGAUGACUGUAAAAUAAUAACAAUGAUUUUACACAUCAAAUUAGAUUUGGGUAAUGUUGCAAUAAUUAAGGUUGAAAUAUAACUUACUGCGCAUUAUAAAUGAGCAAAUAAUAAUCAACCGAUCUUUUCAUGUAUUCAAUCACAUGAUUAGCACGAUAAGCAACUGUGCUACUUCGCUCACUAAUGAAGUUGGGAUCAACGAAUCUAAAUCUGUUGGUCAACUCUUUCCCCUUGAGCUCUCUAUAUAGGAAGCUGCAUGACAACAAUCAAUACUACUAGUUAGUAUUACACCCUAAUAUAGAUUAAUACAUAUUGAAUGUGCAUAUUUGUAUUUAUAAGCUAACCUUAUAUAAGCAACAAUAUCAACAGCUGAUAAUUCAUCCAGUUCAUCAAAUUCUUUAACCUCCUUCGGACCAAUGAAAAAAAAUGAUGGUUUAUCAAAUAAUCUUUUCUCAGAUUCAAUGGUUAUGAAGUUUCCUCCGGAUAAAUGCUCCAAUGAAUAUUUGGAUAACUCAUCCAUAGUAGCCUGAGCAAGGGUCAUACCGUAAGUUUCAACAUCCUACUACAAUAUUUAAUGAAAUAUAAGUAUUAAAACCAAAUUAAUAAAUAUAAUAAAUAAAUUAAUAUUAAAAUUAUAAACAAAAUCAUACUUCUUGGGUGGUAGCGGAAGAUAGGUUCGUUUCCUUACUUACAACGGAAGCUUGUCCUACGUGAAUGAUGCUACCAGACUGGCCUACUGGAAUAUUAUGUUGCAUUGCUGCCAACAUAGACUCCAAAGCAACGAGUCUUUGUUGUUGCUUUUUGAGGCAUUGCUCAUGGUCAUCAAUUUGUUACUGUUAUUGCUCAAUGAUUACUUCAUAUUGUGUAUUUCUCAUUCGUGAGGUUUUACGUUGAUUACUAAAAAAUUUUGAUGGCAAGACAAAUUUACCAACCCCUCGAACGUGACCAGGCCUGUCUUUAGCACUUAAUGCUAAAGACAAAAGAUCUUUGUCAUACUAGAUUAUCAGUUCACUAGAUUUGACUUUGGUAGCAUAAUCAUCUUGAAAGACAAUAAUAAGAUGGACUGUAACAACAAAUCUAUAUAAGCUAGUAUACAGUCAUACAUACAACCACAAUGCCAAUCAUACAUUAUAUUAAAAAAAGUAGUUAUACAUAUAAUUUUUUUUGCCAUUUCUUCGAUUGCUUCAUCUGUAAAUGAUCUAUCAUUCCAUAGAUGUCUUUGUUUCUAGACAUCUCAUCUGAAAACUUCGGUGCUAGAACUCGCUGAUUCUUAUUAAAUUACCGUAAUACAAGAAUCAGAAUGCAUGAAAUAAAUGUUCAUAAAUAUUUAUUAAUGAUGUUAAAACAAGUGUACGAAUACAUAUAAGCUCAUACUUCAUAUUUACAUAUCUCUUUCUCAUUGUCUGAUGAUGAUAUUAUUGUUUAGCCCGAAUGUUUUGUUGCUUUUCUUUGAUUUUCUACAAAAGAAAUAAAUUACAUCAAUCACAUAUGAAGAUCAAAGGCUAUAUUGCAUAAAGGCUUAUAAACAAUAUUUUUGGUAAUGGGUUUGCGUACUAAAAAAUCUUCUAAAAGUCGAUAUUGAACAAAAUUUAUCCAAUCUUCAACACUUAUCACAUCUUUAUAUGCCGUAAGUGGAGCAGCCAAUACAUCACCUUGAUCAACCAAAGGUAAAUAUAUUGGAUUGUCAAUCUGCUUUUAAAGUUUCUGAAUAUUUUUUCAGUAGAUUGCAACAUAAUCCUUUUACAGUCAAUUGAGAUGUCAAACGUUUCCUAAAUUAUUUAACACAAUUAGUAAGAACACAUUGAAUUUCAAUUAAAUGAUCAUUUAACAAAUUUUAUGAAAUAGUUGAAUAAACAUACCACAAUUGACUGCCAUAUAUCAUCUUUUAGAUCAUCAAAAACUCAUCGUCAAUCGGUGUACGUAAUUGAAAUUCUACGACGGACGAUGGCUCCAAUAUGAGUAACCAACUUGGCAACUUCUUCAGACACAGGCCGUUCACUUUGAUUGAAAUCAACAUGAAUUUUUGUGUCACUCACUUUAAUUUAUUUAUUUGGGCCCCUUCUUUUUUUUUUUUUGGGCUACAGGUGUGUCUUUUACAUGUUUAAUAGAAGGAGAAUGAUGUUGUUCAAAUACUAUAAUACCUUCGAUUUUGAUCAUAAUUAUAUGAAUUACACAAAAUGACUAUAUAAAUUUAACACUGUACGUAAUUAAAUGCAACCAAUACCAUACUAUGUAUAAAAACAUCAUUCAACAAACAAAUCAACAAUGUGCUUAGACACAUCUUUCAGCAAACCACUCAGAAAUACCAUUCAUCAAAACAUUCAAAAAUACUAUUUAGCAAACUAUUCAACAUACGAUUUAGCAUACCAAUAUCAUACAAUACCAUUCAGCAAAACAAUAUCACAUAAUACCAUUCGACAAAAUAAUAUCACAUAACAAGGUUCAGCAAAUCACAUUAUUAAUAGAAAACUACAUAACAAUAACAUACAUAUAAUGAUAGGUGCUUGGACGACUAUGCUUAUGGUGAAAUGAAUAAAAAUAUAUAUCCAUAUGUAAAUAGUAAUGAACCAAAAAAAAAUAACUUUAUCAAAUAAUAUAAAUAAUAUAAUAAAAAAAUUACAAAGAUAUACUAGUUAACAGAAAGGUGAGCACUAGUGAUUUGUUGAAGGUCAAUUAUGACGAUAAGGAUAAAGAAAUCAAAAGUCUGAUAGAAAUGUGUUUAUGGGCUUGGUUUGGUUGAUUAAUGUAGCUUUUAAUUGUUUUCUGUACUAACAGCUUUUGAGUCCAAUGUCCAAGAUAGGGAAUGAAUAUAAAAUUUAUUAUUGAAGGUAUUUUUUACUAAAAGAUGCCUCUAGUAAUCUAAAAAAUAAUUUUCAAAGAAAAUUAUUAAAGGUAUUUUUCUUAAAAAAAAAAACCAAAAACGCCUUUGAUAAUUUUGAAAAAAAAAUUUGAAGGCAUUUUCAAUAAACAACCGCCUUCAAUAAUUAUGUACAAAAAUUAAAAAAAAUUAGGGAAGGCAUUUCUCUAGAAUAAACGCUUUCACUAACCAUCUCAAAAUUUGAGUUAUGGAAUGUUGAAGACGUUUUUCACUAGAAGACGCUUUUAAUAAUCUCAAAAAUUUUAAGAGAAACUUAUUGAAGGCAUUUGUUCUCAAGAAACGCCUUUAAUAAUUAUGUACUUAAAUUAGAAGCAAUUAUUGAAGGUGUUUUUCAAGAAUAAACACAUUCACUAACCAUCUCAAAAUUUGAGUUGUGAAAUAUUGAAGGCAUUUUUCACUGGAAGACGUCUUUAAUAAUCUCAAAAAUUUUAAGAAAAAAUUAUUGAAGGCGUUUGUUCUAAAAAACCACCUUCAAUAAUUAUGCACGUAAAUUAGUAAUCUAAAAAAUAAUUUUUAAAAGAAAUUAUUAAAGGUAUUUUUCCUCAAAAAAUGCCUUUGAUAAUUCUAAAAAAAAUUAUUCAAGGUAUUUUUCAGUAAACAACCACCUUCAAUAUUUACGUAUAAAAAUUAAAAAUAAUUAGUGAAGGUAUUUCGCUAGAAUAAACGCCUUCACUAACCGUCUCAAAAUUUGAGUUAUGAAAUAUUAAAUGCGUUUUUCACUGGAAGAAGCCUUUAAUAAUCUCAAAAAUUUUUAAAAAAAAUUAUUGAAGCUGUUUGUUCUCAAAAAAUACCUUUAAUAAUUAUGUACGUAAAUUAGAAGAAAUUAGUGAUGACGUUUUUCUCGAAUAAAUACCUUAUUUAACCGUCUCAAAAUUUAAGUUGUGAAAUAUUGAAGACAUUUUUCACUGAAAGAUGCCUUUAAUAAUCCCAAAAAUUUUAAGAAAAAAUUAUUGAAGGUGUUUGUUCUCAAAAAACGCUUUCAAUAAUUAUGCACAUAAAUUAGAAAGAAUUAGUGAAGAUAUUUUUCUAGAAUAAACGCCUUCACUAACCAUCUCAAAAUUUGAGUUAUAAAAUAUUGAAGGUAUUUUUCAUUGAAAGACGUCUUUAAUAAUCUCUAAAUUUUUUUAAAAAAAUUAUUAAAAGCGUUUGUUCUUAAAAAAUAUCUUCAAUAAUUAUGCAUGUAAAUUAGAAUGAAUGAGUGAAGGCAUUUUUCUACAAUAAGUACCUCCACUAACUGUCUCAAAAUUUGAGUUGUGAAAUAUUAAAGGCGUUUUUCAUUGAAAGACGCCUUUAAUAAUUCAAAAAAUUUUAAGAGAAAAUUAUUGAAGGCGUUUGUUUUCAAGAUAUGCCUUCACUAACCAUCCUAAAAUUGAGUAAUGGAACAUUGAAUAUAUUUUUCAGUAGAAGAAGCCUUCAAUAAAUUUCUUAAAAAAAAAAAUUAGUCAAGGCAUAUUUCUGGAAUAAACGCCUUCAAUGACCCCUUCAAAUUUUAGAAGUUUAAUAUUAAAGGCGUUUUGUACAGAAGAUGCCUUUAAUAAGCCAAACGAUUUUUUAAAAAAAAUUAUUGAAUGCAUUUUUGGUAAAAAAUUACCUUCACUGAUAUUCAAGGAUAAAAAGAAGAGAAUUAUUGAAGACGUAUUAUUGCAAAAAAAUACCUUCAAUAAAUACACCAAAAAAAUUAGAUGAAAUUUUUGAAGGCAUUUUUGGGGCGUAAACGCCUUUAAUAAUCCUAAACUAGUAUACUAUGACUUUGUUGAUGGCGCCUAUAAUAUAUUCAAAAAAUAUUUAGGAGAAAAUUAUUUAAGGCAUUUUUUUUAGUAAACGCCUUCAAUAAUCCUGUCCAAUAAAAUUGUCCUUAAACUUAACACAUCUAAUCACCAACUUGAAGCUUCAUCUUCAUUAUUUUACUAUUUAUCUUUCCAGACCAAUUACAAUUUAUUUUUCUUUUCCUUCAAUUUUUACUAUUUGAACAUUGUCUUUUAGAACCCUAUUUUGACUAUUCAUCAGUUAUUUACUGAUAUUUUUACUUAAUUUGACUAUUCCUUUAGCUUUUGCAAUUGGCAAUUUUCAUUUUGGUUUAAACAAUUUUCUCCAAAACCCACAUUUCUCAAAUACCCAUUUAUCAUUAUCCACUUCCAUUUCCCUUUCAUUUUUUUUUUUUUUUUGGGUUUCCUCUGUACCUGUUUUACCUUAUUUCAACCCCAACUACAAAAACUCUUGGGUACUGUUUACGUUAGUAGCAGAUUUUAACAUUCAUAAUAUUAAGUACCUAAUAAAAUACUUCACAACAAGAAGUUUUCAUUUUCUAUAAGUACCGAUCUCGUUAUUAUCUUUUGUUUAAAACAUAAUAAAUUUAAAUAUUUGACAUGUUCAUUUUCAUAUAAAUUAUUUAUAUGCAUUUGAUCUGAUAAUGUAACAAGUACUAAAUGGAUAAGAGUUGGAUGUAAAAUUCAAGGUUAAGUCAAGAGUAUAGAGAUGGAGUGAAAAAUUUUCUUAAAUUUGCAUUUGAGAAUACAAGUGAAAAUGAUAUGAUAUUAUGCCCAUGUGUGAAGUGUGAUAAUAUAGAUUGGCAAAUGCGUCAAGUUGUUUUUGAAUAUUUAAUUUGUAUUGAAUUUCUCUCAGGAUAUAUUAAUUGGUAUUUUCAUGGAGAGUCUAUACCAUCAAGGUUUUCUACUAUAGUUCCUUUAAUUUCAAGGGCUCUCCAACAUAACAUGAUCCUUUUAUAGCAGAUGACAUUAAAGGUAUGUUACGAGAUGCUUUUAACAUUAAUAACCAAUAUUUUCGUAAUCUUUUUCCCUAAAAUGAUGGAUUUAAUCCAAUAUUGAAAUAAAUGAAUUUGGUGAACUUGGGAUAGGUGUAGGUGACCAACAACCUAGAGGAGAAGCAUCAAAGUUUUAUAGGUUGCUUAAGGAUAUGAAUGAAGAACUUUAUGAGGGCUCGAAGCAUUCAAGGUUAUCUUUUUAUGUUCAUCUUUUCACUUGAAAUGCUUAUAUGGAUGGACAGAAAACUCUCUAACUUUAUUAUUAAAGUUUAUGAAAAAAAUGUUUUCUUUUGCAAAAAUCUCUAAAUCUUGUAAGGAAUCAAAAAAGAUGAUCAAUGAUUUAGGUCUCGGAUAUGAAAAAAUUCAUAGUUGUCUCAAUGAUUGCAUGUUGUAGUGGGGUGAUAGAAAAAAUCAAGAAUCUUGUCAUGUGUGUGGUAUUUCUUAUUGGGUGGACAAAAACCCCGAUGAAAGGUUGAAUGAGGAUGGUGAUGAGGUCAGUGUCAAAAAGAAGCUUAUUAAAAUUUUACGCUAUUUUUCAUUAAUACCAAGAUUUCAAUGACUCUUUAUGUCUUCUAAAAUUGUAGAUUCAAUGAGGGGCAUCAUGAAAAAUAGACAGAUGAUGGAUAAUUGAGGCAUCUUGUAAAAUUUUUGGCAUGAAAAUCAUUUUAUUCUAGGUUUUCAGACUUUGUAUCUGAUCCUCAAAAUGUUAUACUUGGACUAGCAUCUAAUGGACUCAACUCGUUUAAAAAUGAUAAAUAUUUUUUAUAGUACUUGGCUAGUUUUAUUGAUUCCUUACACUUUAUCACCAUGAAUUGCUAUGAAGCAAUAGUUAUUUAUAUUAUCUAUGAUAAUUCUUGAGAAAAAAGAUCCGAGUAAUAAUAUAAACAUCUACUUACAACCUCAUAUUAAAGAGUUAAAAUAGUUAUGAGAAGGAAUUGAGACCUAUAAUGCAUCAAAAAAAGAGAACUUUAAUAUGUGUGCUAUUUUAUUAUGGACUAUCAACGAUUUUUCUACUUAUGUAAAUUUAUCUGGUUGGAGUAUAAAAGGUCAUUAUGGUUGUCCAUGUUAUGCUGCACAGACAUAUUCGAAGUGGUUAUCUAAUGAAAAAAAGUUUUGUUACAUGGGACAUUGUCGAUAAUUAGAUAAUAAUCAUCGAUUUAGAUUUUAAAAUUAUCGUUUUGAUGGAACUGAAGAGUUGAAAAGAUCACUUUUACCCAUUAGUGGGUCUAAUAUCUUGUCAAAGUUAAAAGAUAUCAAUUUCACUUAUGAAAAAAUGACUCCAUCAAAUAAAAGAGUGAGGGACAUCUUUGAAGGUGUCUAGCCUCAUAUUACGCAAAUUGGUGAUAUUGAUAUUGAUGUUGUUGAUCUUAAUGUUCAAAGUGAUGAAGAGGAUGAUGAAGAAUAUGACCCUAAUGAGUAUGAGUUUUGAAAAAAAGAAGUAUAUUUUUUUAGUUGUCUUAUUGAAAAAAUAAUUUAUUAUGCCAUAACCUUGAUUUGAUGCACAUAGAGAAGAGUGUUUGCAAAAAUUUUAUCAGAACAAUUCUCAAUGUGAAUAGAAGAUCAAAGGAUAACUUAAAGAGUCCGCUUGACCUAGUUGAUAUAGAGAUUCACCUUGACCUUCAUCCGAAGUCGCUUCUUAAUAGCAAAUAUUGAUUACCUGCUGCUUGUUUUGGGAUUUCUAAAUCUGAAAAAAGAUGUGUUUUGUAAGGUUUUAAAAAAUGUCAAAGUUUCGGAUGGCUAUGUGUCAAAUAUAUCGAGAUGUGUGAAUCUGAAAGAGCAAAAACUUUCUUCAUUGAAGUUACAUGAUUAUCACAUUUUGAUGCAAAACUUACUUCCAAUUGUUUUACGUUCAUCAAUGUCAAAAGCACGUCACUUCUGUGGUAAUUGAAUUAAGUAAUAUAUUUAAAUCUCUAUAUGAGAAAUGUAUGAAUGUGGAAAAGCUUGACAAACUUCAAGAUCAAGUUGUGAUUACUUUAUACCAUUUAGAGAAGAUUUUCUCUGAAAACUUUUUUACUAUUAUGAUACAUUUGGUUAUCCACCUUCCAUAUAAAGCAAAAGUCGAUGGGUCGAUUUAUUAUCAAUGGAUGUAUCUUAUCGAAAGGUAUUAUUGUUUAAUGGAUUGAUUAAGUUUUUAUUGAUGAUCAUGCUACUCUAGUUAAAAAGAUAUAUGACUCAUAUUUGAUGCGAUAGGUUUUUGGGGAGGUUAAAGUCUUAUUGUUGUAACAAACGCUAUCCGAAAGGUUCUAUUGCUGAAAGAUAUUUAACAAAAAAAUGUAUGAUAUUUUGUUCUCAUUAUUUGAAAGAUAUUGAAAUGAGAUUUAAUAGACCAUCGAGAAAUGUCGGUAUACAGCAACAUGACUCUGCCUACAAGUAUCUUUUUCAAAGUUUUGGACAACUAAUAGGUAAAGCUGAAAUGGUGGAGUUAGAUGAUAAAUCUUGAGCACAAGUACAUCGAUAUGUUCUUUUUCAUCAUGACAUUAUUGAAUUGUGUCGCAUGUAAGUUUUUUAACAAAGAAAUUAUUCAUUACAUUAAGCAUAAUUUAUUGUAUUUUUUUAUUGUUAAUACUUUAUCAUGAUGCUUUAUAGUGAUUAUAAAAAUAAUUUGAGAGCUCUUACACAUUAUCGACGAUCAAACCCUUGAGAGCUUGAUAAGUUAUUCGUCGAAAACUUUCAUGAAUGGUUAGGAGCAACUAUAAGUAAUACCAUACUUCCAUUUAUGACAAAUCUACAUAGAAUGCUUUGGUAUAAUUAACAUUAAUAACAUAUAUAUAUUUAUUCCACUUUUAUAGGUUUGGAGUGAAAGGCUUGUUAGUGAAAAGGUGAAGUGCCUUUCACAAGGUCUGAAUAGGAUUGUGAAACGAUACAAAGGUUUCAUCAUCAAUGGAUUUAGAUUUCACACUAAAUCCCAUGAGAGAUUUAGCAGUACAUAAAAUUCAAGAGUUGUUACUUAAUCAACUACUAGCUAUGCUAGUACUAGGGACACAAACUCUUUAGAGGAAAAUGUUGACUAUUAUGGCAUGAUUAAUGACAUCAUUGAGUUGGAUUAUUAUGGCAUGUGGAAAGUUAUCUUAUUUCAGUGUGAUUGGAUUGAUGUAAAUGGUGUGAGAGGUAUUAAGACUAUUAUGUUAUGAAUAGGCCAAAAUAUAAAUAUAUGAUAUUUGUAUUUCUACAAUAUACCUAAUUAUUUUUUAUGACAGAAAGAGAACAUAUUGGGAUUGGUAGCAGAAAGCAACAAAAAUAUAGCCACACAAGUGGAUCAAAAAGUUUUGCAAAAAUGAACUUUUUGUGCCGUUGAAAGGUAAAUAUACAAAUUAAUAUUUGUUAUACUAUUUUAAUAGUUUUGAUAGUUUCAAUACAUGACAUUAAAUUUAUCGAAAUGUUUGAACUUAGCUGAAACGGAUGAUAUGUAUGAAAAAGUUAUUGUUUACAUCUAUUUUGGUAAAAUUACAAAUUUUUUGUUAUUGUUCAAUUUAAAUAGUUUGGAUAGCUUCAAUACUUUAUAUUAAACUUGUCCAAUUUAUUGAACUUGGUUUCUAUAGUUGACAUGGGUGAAAAAGUUAUCGUUUAUGUCUAUUUGGGACUAUUUUUGCCUUUAAAAGGCAAAAUUACAAAUUAAAACUUUUGGAUGGCUUUCAACAGUUUGAAUGGCUUCGAUCCAUGAUAUUAAAUUUGUUCAAAUAAUUGAAUUUGGCUGCCAUGAUCAAAAUGUGUGAAAUGCCAAAAUGCUUUUAUGUACGUUUAUGUCUAUUUAAGACAAUUGUGUUAUGAAGGGGCCAAAAUAUAAAUACAUGAUAUUAAGAUUAUUCAAAAUUUUUGAACUUGAUUGACAAGUAUGAUAUGCAUGAACAAGUUGUGGUUGAUAUGUAUCAUAUCAAAUAGCAUAUAUUUUUAUAUAAGAGAUUGAGAUGGGCGAUAAAAUUGGACGUGUGAAAUUUUUUCGCCUAACACACAUAAAAAAAGAUGGAUCUUACAUGGAUCUUAAAACAUAAGAAAUUAUGGUAAUUUGUAACAUCUACUUUAAUAAAAGUAAAUAUUUACUCUUUUUAACAUAUUAUCAAUUAAUCAUUAAACUUGAUAAUUGUAUAUGACUAAUUUACAGGAGCAAACGAAAAAGAAAAUAGCUGUUGAGAUUGCAGUAGCAUAUGAUGACUCUCUCAACAUGUAAAAAUUGAAAAAUCGGAUAUUCAUAAAAGUUGCUAGAAAAAAAAGGCAUGGACGGGUCGAGGCCUUGGAUUGGGUCCAACACCAUCUACUUACUACGGACGUAGCUCUGAGCAAUUUAUAUUCUCAACAAGUUAGUCUUCACGAGAUAUUUCGAUAUUGAGAGAAGAGUUGCAAACUAUAUAACAACGUUUCCAGCAAUUGGAAACAGAAAGAGAACAGGAGCGUACCAAAAUUGAGGAAGAACAUGCUAGAAUGGAGCAACAGCGUGCAAAAUUUUUGCAGUUGCAUUAUCGAUUCAAUUAUCUUAUGGAUUUAGUGCAACAACAAUUUCUAGGAACUAAUCUCAGUGGUCUUCCAACUUAGGUAUUAUAUUUAGUAAAUAUUUAUAUUUUUUAAUAUCAAAAUAGCUUAUAAUGAAGUGUUAAAAAUUGUAUGCUAUUAUUCAGUAGGUUUUUGAGCACGCUAGUGACCAAGGUAAAAAAAUUAUUUCAUCAGUUAACAGCCUUCAAAAUUUAUGCAGUCAUCAAUUUCAUACAUUUUAAUUUUAAUUUUAUUAAUGUAUUAAAAAAAUUUGAAUAUUAUUAUACUAAUUAUUAAAUUUUGUGUUAAUUAGAUGCAUAUUUGAACGUGAAUUAAGUUUAUAUUAAUUUCAAUAUCUGAAUUUAAGCUCAUUUAUAAAAAAUAAUAAAUUAACAAAAAUUUUUUGUUUAAAAAAAUAUAUUUUUUAAUUUCGUGAUGUUUGUGUUCAAGAAUAUUGCUAAAUGAAUAAUUUAGUGGCAUUUGUUCUAUAAAAUGCCACUAAAAGUAGCAGUGCUAUUGCUAGAAACUGUGCUAAAUUAUCGGUAUUUUUUUGAAACAAAUGCCACCAAAGUAACGAUAUUUUUUUUGAUAAAAAUAUCACUAAAUUAACGGCGUAUCAAAAAUACAAAUGUCGCUAAUAUAGCAACGUUUUUCAUAUACAAAUGUCGCUAAUAUAAUGAUAUUUUUUAGAUACAAAUGUCAUUAAAAUAGUGAUAUUUUUUAGAUAUAAACGUGCUAAUGUAGUGGUGUUUUAUAAAAAAAUGUUGCUAUUUUUCGUGAGGCGUUUAUAGCCGACAUUUUGACUGGUGUUUUUCGCAAACAUCAUAAAUCUUUUAAUAACGUUUAUAAAUGUUACUAAAUAUAAAAAAAAAAUGUCACUAAAAAUCAAAACCCUUGUAAUGCCUAAAUGAAGUGGUCAUCAGCACAACCUUAUCUCUUUAGGAACUUGUCAAAGUUGAGGACUAUAUAAUUCUAAACCUAAAUGACUAAAAAAAAGUCAUGCCCCACGCAUCAAUUUAUUUUACCCAAAAGGCUAAUAUGUUUUUCUCAUCAAACAAACUAUUAUUUUCAUAGUAUUUCUCGAAUUCGCUCCGUGUUUUUAAUACAGCUAUAUUCAUAAUUUCAGCAUCGCAGAAUAACCAUCAAAGAUCAAUCUACAAUUUGAAAAAAUAUAUAUUUUUAAAAUAGUAGAAGAUUAUUUGAUUAAGAAUGAUAAUUUAAUUAAUAAUUUAAGAAAUUAAAUAAAAAAUAGAAUUAAGUUUUGAUAAAGAGCAAUUGAUUAUCUAUAUAAUAAAAUAGACUGCUCAUGAUCUCUGAGAAAACAAAAAAGUAUAUGUUAAGAAAAUGAAUUUAGACAGUAUAUCUAGUUAGAGCAGCUUAUUGAUCUACUUGAAAAGAUUUUUUAUUAUAAAAUAACACUAAAGCAGUCAAAUGCUCAUGUAUAGCAUUCGAUUGUUUUUAUUUGAAAAAGCAUAUUUUAUGAAGAGAAAAUGUUUUUUUAAUGACAUUUAUUCAUCUAAAAAGCAAUCUUUUACUAUAAAAGAUAAAUAAUGAUAUCUAUAAUUAUUAAAAAAAUGUUUAUUUAAUUAAAGAAAGUUACGGUUGAUUGAAACAACUUAAUUAAAGGGUCCAAAACACUUAAAAUUAUAUAAUUUAAUUCUUUAAAACAUAACAUCAGAGUCUAAAUAUGAUAUUUCUAUUGUCUUAGUUAUGUGAUUUUGGUCCAUUCGUUCUAAUUUUAAUAAAUUUAAUCCAUGUAUUUUAAAGAUAAAGAAUAUCAAUGUUAAAAAUUUUCUAUUAAAUUGAUUAUAUGAAAUUUUUGUUGAUAAAGUAGCAUGUUAAUCUGUUUAUAAAAAAAAAAAAAAGUAGCAGGCUAAUCUGAUUUCUUUUUUUUAUCAGCAUAUGACAUACAUUAGUAAGGAAGAACUUUAUUUUUAAUAAAAAAAUAUAAAAACAUUUUUUAAAAUUUUUUAAAAAAUAAUACACUGCACUGAACCCUAUUUUUAGCUAGGUAUUCAUGGACAAUUGCCAUAUGAACUGCCUAACAAUGAAUGAAUCUAAUUCUUGGCUUGACUUGGGAUCAAGCCAAAUCCUAUUAACAUCAUCGCCAUCUCACAAUGUUUCCAACAAAAUUCUAUCACGCAAUUACACUUGUAAAUCGUCAACAACAAUGCCAUGGCCGCCCUACCUCUAUAAAAAUCUGCGCACUUUCACUCCGAAACAUCGCAAACCCAGCAACAAAAUAUCAGUAGAGCAUAGCCAACUUGUUCACCAAAAUGAUGAGUUCCUCAAAACCUUACCAUCCCUUGAAAUCUUCGUGAAUCUGGAGUCUUUGCAAAACUUAAAAUUUUCAUGAAUCUGAAUCUUUGAAAAUUUUGCAUCAUUUAUAAACUUUUAAAAUUUUUACGAAACUUGAAAUUUUUGUAAAUCUUUACAAAUCUUGACUUUUGACAAAUUUUGAAAUCAUUACGAAUAUUUUGCGAAUCUUGGAGUAUUUGAAAUUUUUUAUUUUUGUUAUAAAAUCUUGUGAAUAUUUAUUGUUUGUGGACUUUUGAAUUUUUAAAUUAUGAAUAUUUGAAUUUCAAAUUAACUAAAAUUUUUCUGAACCUAAGUGAAUGAAUGUCUUUUAACAUUAUCUAUUUUAAAGUUGUUUAGCGUCUAAGGAGCCAAUUUCCUAUUUUAAAAUUGUUUAACUUUAGUAUAGAAGAGUCCAUUUCUUAAUUUAAAUUUGUUUAUCUUUGUAUAGAAGAGUUUAGUUUAUUAAAUAUCUAUUUAGAGGAGUUAUUAGAACUUUUAAGUUUUAUGCCUAUGUUUAGAUAAAGUCUUUAAAAUUUUUCAAAAAUCGCAUCCUCUUAAAAUUACUUGAGUUGAACCAGAUUCAAUGGUUAUUUAUAUCUUUACAUCAAUUCUAUUUCAAAGGAAUAUGUAAAGAAGGGGUAACUGUAAACAUCCUAUUUUGUCCAGGGCCUACAUCCAAAUUCUCGAUUUCGAUUUUGUUGAAAUUAUCGAGAUUUGAGGCCAAUAUAUAUUACUUUGAUGUGGGCUUUGCCCUAACAAAUAUUUUAUUUUUAUUUUUAUUUGUUUGUUUAUUCUUUAAUAAAAACUAAAUAAAUAAAUAAAUAAAAAAGAAAAUCAAACCGAAUUUUCUAGAAGUCCUAUACAAGAAUCAAGAAAGAAUUUUUGAGAUUUUUUCUUAACCUAUAUGAAAUAAAAAAUCAAACAAAAAAAGAUCACAGAGUAUCAAAGCUAUGGUUUUUAUUAAAUUGAUUUUAACUAAAGUAAAGGGAUUUAAAAAAUAUUUGAAAAUCCUUGACAAUCAAUGGAAUCCUAAAAUUUUUUACUAGAAAAUUCUUAUAAAUUGUUCUAAGGCAGACAAAGAACACAAAAGGAGAAAAAAUUUAUACAAAAACUUUUAAGAAAAAAAAAGAUACAAUUUCGGGUAGUAAGUUUUUUUUUUUUUUUUUGAAUUCUUUGAAAAAUCUGAAAUUAUGAGGAUAUAUUCUAGUAAGCCACGCAACCUAGCUACUUAGCCAAGCCAACUUCAGGUUUUUUUUAUUUUAUUUUUAUUUAUUUAACUAUUUUAUUUAUUUAUUUAUUUGAUUAUAUAUUAUUCUUUAAAUAUGUUUUAUAAAAACAUAUUUAAAUAAAAACAUUACUAAUAGAUUGGAAGGUAAUCAUUUUUUUUAAAUAAGAUUUUACUAACAUAUCGAAAAACCUUAUAACUUUUUUUAUUUAAAAAAAAAAUAAAAAUAAAAAGCUUUACUAACAGAUUGGAGAGUUAAUAUUUUAUUUUCAAAAUAAAGUUUUACCAACAUAUUGGAAAGCCUUAUAAUUUCUUUAAAAAAAUCAAGUUUAAAAAAUAAUAAAAUAAUAUUUCUUGUCUUUUUAUAUAUCCUAUCAACAGAUUGGAGGAUAAUUUUUAACAAAAAAUCUUAUCAACAGAUUAAGGGAUAUUUCUAAUUAUAAACCUGAUUUAUAAGUAUUUAUUUCUAAAAGCAAAAUUAAAUGAAUUUGACGACGUAACCUUUUCAAAACUCGAUAAAUAUUCUUCUUGAAUACCACUGAGGUGAGAAAAUAUUCUUAAAUUAUUACCAAUAUAUUGGAGUAAUUUAAGAAAAAUUUUUAAUAUUAAGUUAUUUGAUAAAUUUUAAAUAUAUUUUAAGGUUUAGAUAAUUUGAAAUCAAAUUGGUAUGAUCUUUUGGAUGGGUGUUGUAAAUGUACUAUAACUUUUCUCAUACAUAAACAUACUAUCGGACUUAAAUUUUGAUUUCGUAUAUUAUAAUUUACUAUUUAAAAAUACUUAAAUUAAUUUUAAAACUUCUCUUUAAGUGUGACAGAUUUUGUCAAGUGACUAAUCACACCUUAAUAAAAAAAUUGAUGAUAACUCAUUUAUAAGUCCACGAAUUUAUAUGUUAAACAGUAUAAAAUAAUUCUUAAUUUGGCGAUAAAAAUAGUUUAAUCCAUUCAAUUGUCACACAUUUAUAAGCUCUUUUAGAAAUUGAAAGUCAUGAUAUUCAUAGACCGAAAGUUUUUUUUUUUAUAUAUGUCAAUGGUACUAUUUAUUUAAAUUAAUUAUUCGAAUAGACCAAUUUGAUUAUUCUUAAUAAUUUAUUUAUAAAUGUAAACAAAUUUUAAAAUUUUAUAUUUUUUAAUAAAAAAAUCACAAUUUGAGAAUACGAGAAUGAAUAAGUGUCGAGAUUUGAUUCAUUUGAAUUUUUGAUUUGUUAAAUAUUAUUUUUUAAUGAUAGUCAUAUAAAACACAAGCAAUUGGAUUAAACAUCAAAUUUAUAGUAUUAAUUUAGAGAAAUUAUCAAAUAUGUGAAAAUUUUUAACUCCACAAUUAUGGUUAAAAUAAUAACAUAUAUCUGUUAGUGUAUAUUUAAAAAAUAAAAAAGUUAAUUUAAAAAAAAAGUAAAAUAUGUAUCAUCAUCUUAAUCUUACUUGUGGAGUUAAAAAAACUCCACUUUCAAUAUAUCAGAUAAUUUUUUAUUAAUUUAUACUUUAUCAAAAUGUGUAUACUAUUAAAUAAAUAAAAAAUUAUUUGAUACACUAUCAUUAGAGUUUUUUAAUUCUACAAGUAAGAUUAACAAAAUGACAUAUGUUUCACUUUUUUAAAUUAAGUUUUUUUUUUAUUUUUUAAAUAGAUACUAAAAGAUAUAUAUUAUCUUAUUAACCUCACACGUGAAGUUAAAAUAUUUUAUUAUCAUUAUAUUUGAUAAUUUUUAAAAAUAAAUAUAUAUGUAAAUAUACAUAUGUAGUAAUAUCAACGUCUUUUUUAUAUAAUUAAUUUAGGAAAAUUGAUAUCUUAUAAUUUUUCAAAUAAAUAUAUAUAUGUAAAUAUACAUAUAUAGUAACAUCAACGUCUUUUUUAUAUAAUUAAUUUAGGGAAAUUGAUAUCUUAUAAUUUUUUUUUAAUAUUUUUAUUAAGGUGUGGGUGCAUUUAUGAUGGUAGGUAUUUAUUUAAUGUACGACGCUCACAUUGCCGGUCAUUUCUCUUAAGCCCUUGGAAGAAAAUUCAGUGGAAUAAAGUCCAAAAUUUCUUAAUUAAUGCAUGCUGGCUUAAAUUUCCUUCAUUGCCAUGUAAGAACUUUUUUCUAUUUUGGUGAAAAAGAUUCGAAGGUGGAUAAGUUUUAAGUUGCAAACUUAAAACUUGGGAUUAAACUUUUCAACUUCAAUUGUCACUUUCCCUCCUGCAAGUUGCAAUUAAUUGUUCAUUUGGCUAGCUAUAAGUGGACUCUGUGGACUAUGGACAGCGUGCGCUGGACUUGUCUCGAGUCGGCAAAAGUAGACAAUAAAAGAUAAAUAACGAAAAAUAUUUUUAAAAAUUAAAGUUGUUCAAAAAAUUUAAACACAAUUACGAAGUUGUUCAAAUCUAAGUAUCAAGGAUUAAGUUCAUAUUUAAUGUAUAAAAUAAUAAAUAGUAUAAAAUGAUAAUUAUUUAUAUUAUAUUUAAUUUAUAUAUAAAAAUAAAUUUAUAGUGAGAAUUAAUUAUAUUUUUAGUAUAAAAUAAUUUAAUUCACUCAAAAUAAAAAAAAUUAUUUUUAAUUCAUAAGAUUAAAUUUAUAUAUCUUAUUAUAUUUUUAAAAAUUAUAUCAAUAAUUUAAAUUAUAUAAAUUUUAAAAAAUAAUAUUUUUGAUCAAUCAAUAAAUUAUUCUAUUCUAAUUAUUACAUAUAUCAAAUAUAAAAUAAAAUUUAUUAUUUAAUCUAAUUAUAUUUAUAAUAUUAUUUUAUCAUAUUUUCUGUAUAUUAAAUAUAUCAUAAAUCCAUAAUGUCAUGCACUGAGCAUUUUGAUUUAGCAUAUAUUUUCUAAUUAAAAAACUAAGUUGAAUUUUCUCAUUUCUUAAUAUAUAAAAAAAAAAAACAUAUCACCAUAGAUUGAAUCCCAUUUUCUUAAGUUAAAAUAUAAUUGGCCUUAUCUUCAUUAAGAUUUCGAAGUGAUUAAGUAGCCGCCUUCACCUUUAUUAAAAGCAAUGUGCCACUUGCCAUUAUUUCUAUCAAGCCAAAAGCCACCCUAAUUUCUAUAUAAACCUCCCUUCAUUAUAAACAAAUCCACACGUAAAAGCCAACCAUGAGAUGCUUGACCAAUUUCCAAAUCUCCUCAAUCCUCUUCUUCAGCAUCUUUUUCAUUUCCACCCAAGCAGCUCUUUUUGAAAUCCGCAAUGAGUGCUCCUACACUGUCUGGGCUGCAGCCUCUCCUGGAGGUGGGCGCCGCCUAGACCCAUGGCAAAGUUGGACCAUCAAUGUGCCUGCUGGCACAGCCAUGGCUCGUAUCUGGGGUCGAACCAACUGCAACUUUGAUGGCAGUGGUAGGGGUCAUUGCCAAACUGGUGACUGUGGUGGACUCCUACAGUGCCAAGGCUGGGGUGCUCCUCCAAACACCCUGGCCGAAUAUGCCCUUAACCAAUUUGGUAGCAUGGAUUUCUAUGACAUCUCCCUAGUUGAUGGGUUUAAUAUCCCCAUGGUGUUUGGUCCAACUAAUGGUGGUUGUCACAACAUCCGAUGCACUGCAGACAUUAACGGGCAGUGCCCUAAUGAAUUAAGGGCUCCCGGUGGGUGCAAUAACCCAUGCACAGUGUUUAAGACUAAUGAAUUUUGUUGCACUCAAGGGUACGGAACCUGUGGGCCGACCAAUUUCUCAAGGUUUUUCAAAAGCAGGUGCCCUGAUUCGUACAGUUACCCUCAGGAUGAUCCUUCAAGCACCUUUACUUGCCCUGGUGGUGCCAAUUACAGGGUUGUAUUUUGCCCCAGAGGCUCUCCUCAUCUGGAGAUGGUUGGAAGCAAGAGCCAAGAGUAAUGGUCUCUCCCUUCUUGGAGUUAAUUGCAAUGCCUCGGCGCUUGGAAAUAAAAAAAUAAAGUUUUUAGAUAAUGAAUAUGUUGUCGUGUUUGUAUUUCUUUUGUUUCCCGAUUGUGUUUUAUUUGAUGCAACGGCGAAAAGAAAUAAAGAUAUCCUUGUUUGAUUCAUUCUAUUGUGCCAAAUAUUUGGUUUUCAACCACACAAAACAACAACCAACCUCAAAGUUGAGUAGAGGAGAUAAGGGGUGAGGUAGAUUUAUGAAGAGUCUAUGCACAAUGCUUUUGUGAAAUUUGUUAUUCUUUGAAUUUAAAGUUUAAUUCAAUUAAUUAAUACAUUAAUUUUAAAAAAAUAAAUUUAAAAUUUAAAUUUCAACAUUUAUAAUUUUUUUUUUCAUCCAAUGCUACUUUUGAAGAAGAAUUGUUAUUGUUUUGGUACAAUAUGUUCCAAAAUUUCUAUGUUCUAAAAUUGACAUAUACUAAUACUAUAUGAAAGGCUAUACACGAGGAAUCUGAUGAUUGGAUGCCUAUUUAUGAUACCAAACUUUAGCAUAUUUUCUUGGUCUUUGGUCGUCUUUCGUGAUAAGGGGACCUAACAUAUCCUAACUUUUGAGCACAUGCUCUAAAGUUUUAAAACUUUACACAUGAUCGAUCCUUAUUUUAUGUCUCUCAAUUAUUUAUCAUAUCUUUCGGUAAACUGAUAUUUUAUGACUCGACAGAAAUUAAGAAGCAAGCUAACAGUACUUAUGGGAAGAUUUCAUGUGUUAAUUAGUAGUAUUAAAAAUAUUUACCAUCCCAUUCAGCUAAAAAGAGAGGAAAAGAAGAAAAAGAUUAGCUUGAUGGUGAGACUAUUAUAGGAUGAUUGGCAUAACUUUUUCUGGUUCAAGGUCCUUUCAUACUUUUCCCUGCGCAAAUUAUCUUGUCAAACUAGCUUGGCUUGAAUAUUAUUGUAGAAAUAUCAAAAUAAAAUUAAAUUACAUAUAAAAAAAUAAUAUUUAAUUUGAUUCGAUAAAUAAAAGAGAAAAUUUUAAUAUAAACUUAGAGAUUACCAAUAACAUAAAACUCUCAAAAACAAUCAUAAAUUUCAAAUCUUAAAACAAAUUUAGUUUGCACACUUUUUGCUCUUAAACGCUUGAAAUACUUUUUAUUUCAUGUAAUUCGAUUUUUUUGUCAGAAUUUCUUCACAUUCUUAUAAACUCAUCUCUCUCAUAAAAAUCACAUAAAAAUUCCUAUUUAUUAAGAAUUCUAUCUAUUAAAUAUGUUUAUCAUUUAAAUAAAUAAACACUAAAACAAACUAAUUUCAAUUAGAAUUUAGUUCCCAAUGUUAAUCAUUAUUUUAAUUUCUGAACAAUGGAUAAUUUUGUUGUUUGAUGAUUAAGAAAAUGACAUCCAUUCACUACAAUACCAUGUUGCUUAUGAAUGCAUGAUGAUAUUGAUAAACGAUUAUCCUUUAAUGAUUAAGAAAAUGACAUCCACUCACUAUAUGCAUGAUGAUACUGACAACCGGUUAUCAUUUGAUGAUUAAGAAAAUGACAUCCAUUCACUAUAUGCAUGAUGAUACUGACAACCGGUUAUCAUUUGAUGAUUAAGAAAAUGACAUCCAUUCACUAUAUGCAUGAUGAUCCUGAUAAAAGAUUACCAUGUUUUGUUCCUUAAACACAAAAAAAAAAAGAAAAAAGGUUUUGUUCUCUAUCCUCGGUUGUCAUAUACUUAUAGGCGGCCACUUGGAGAUUAAACUGAUGUAGGGACUCUAGAGCCUAGAGCACAUGGCUCCAAAAUAUUUUAAUUUUCCUGUCAACAACGAUUCACUGGCAAACCCAUUGUUGGAUCCACUUGUUCACAUCAACAUGAAUUCACCCACAAGGAGUUGAUGCAAUUGGCCACCUGUCGGUCCAAAUCAUGGCAUGCUACAUAGCUGUCUUUUGAAAUUCCACAGCGUACGGUGGAUCAGUACAAUAACAUUCCACGGACCUGUUUACAGCUGACCCCCUAAUUACCGGUUUCGAUUUACUGUUGUCCGGACUAAAACUAUAAUCUCGGAUUUUACAUUUUUUACUGCAGAUGUAAAAAAUAAAUGCUUAUCUGGUUGUAGAUGCUAAUUGUUAGAACGUGUUUGUUUCCCGGUAAAAGGUUUAUUGAGAAAGAUACCCAAGAAACAGGGCAAAAAAUAUAAAAUCUCCAGCAUCUAUCGCUCUCUGGGUCUGGGAUCUGUCUCUGUCAAUCAAUAUUCUUUCCCAGUCUCUCUUCGCUGCAAACAUGCCUCAAGGAACGCUUGAAGUUCUUCUUGUUGGUGCCAAGGGUCUUGAGAACACAGAUUUUCUUUGUGAGUUUUCUUUUUCUUUUAAUCUGAAUCUUAUUGGUAUUAUUACUAUUUGUUCAUGGUCUUAUUCAAUUUCAAUCUUGUCUACCAAGAUCUGGGUACAUUUUAAUAGUUUUAGGCGUUUCUGUUACGAUCAUGACGAUUUCGAUCAGAUCACGACCAUUUAGCCAAGGAUUGAUCGAAGUUUUUCUUUUCACAUUUAUAUUUCCAUUGACAAACAGCGAAAAGAGUGGUUGUAGAUUUAUUACUUGAAUCGAUUGUUUAUAUUAGUUUGAUUUUCAUGCUUCGAGUUACGAUCAAACAUAUGUAAGGGUCAUUUGUGUUGAAACUAUUUGGUCUGAAACCCUGUUUUUGUUGCUUAUAUUUGUAUGUUUUUGCUAAUGAUUUUGAGAAUUAAAAUUUGGAAACCAACAGGUAACAUGGAUCCUUAUGUGCUUCUCAUUUGCCGUACCCAGGAGCAGAAAAGUAGUGUUGCAUCAGGUUGGGGCUUAGAUUAGUCUAAAUUCAGUAACAUUGUUUCUCUUGUGUUGGCUAAUAGAUCAACUAUCAUGAUUCAAAAUUCGUUCUUGGAUUGUAAAUAUAUAGGAACUAAUAGAGUUAGAAAGAAAUAACUUUCUCAGGAAAAGGGUCUGAUCCGGAGUGGAACGAGAAUUUUGUAUUCAAUGUGUCCGAAGGUGUUUCAGAACUCAAAUUGAAAAUAAUGGACAGUGACUGUGGUUCUCAGGAUGAUUUCGUUGGAGAAGUAACGUGAGUAUUACUAAAUUCUCAAAUGAUUUGUGACAAUUAUCAGCAAAAAAACUCAAAAAGUCAAGUAAAACUUGCCUUGAUUACACAUAUUUCAUAAGAUUAUAUAGUGAAAUGCUUUUGAAGAAGAGGAAAAGAUCCAAGCUUUUUUUGAAGUUCUUGUUUGAACCUUGAGCAAUGAAAUAUAGAUUUCGAACUUAGGCUCACGAGUCAGGAACUAGGUAAGUUUUUAAUUAGUUAAACUUGUUUUUUUUUUUAUAUUUGCAGCAUUCCUCUGGAGCCUGUAUUUGUGGAAGGAAACCUGCCCCCAGCUGCAUAUAAUGUUGUCAAGGAUGAAGAAUAUCGUGGGGAGAUGAGACUUGGCCUAACUUUCACCCCCGAGGUAUUUUUCUUUUGCUUGUUGUCUUCAAUUACAUUUCCAUUUGACUACUAGAAGAUGAAACCAGCCUUACAGCAUUCAGCAUUGCUUCAACAUUGAUUUAUAACCAUCCGCAGACAAGAAGGCAAAUGAGUAUCAAACUCUUGAUCACUCUGCUCUUAACAAAUCACAAAUAUGAAUGAAAUAUUUUAUUCAGCUCUGCAAAGGGCUCCUUUCCGUUCCAUUUUUGGGUUUUCUUUUGCCCUUUCUGAAUUGAACUGGACGAUUAUUCUCAGAUAGCAAAAAUUUCCAUUGCUCCAUAACAGGAACGUCAUACCGGGGAAUUUCAAGUUGAAGAAUCUUUUGAAGGGUGGAAGCAGUCUUCAUACACGGACUAGGCCACUAGUGGUUUCCAUCUUAAUUUCUGGUUUCAAGAACUUAUUCUGAAGCUUGAUUUAGAACUACAUUUGGUUGAAUGUUGUUAAUUGUGUGCUUCUUUACAAUCAAAUUGAUUAAGUCAUUUUGGACUUUUACUAAUAAUAUUUAAAAAGUUAAUAAGAUGUUUUAGGCCCCCCAAAAAAAUGGUGAGCAUGCAACGAAAAUUGUGUUAGAAAUUCCUGUGGGAUAUAUUAUCUUUUCCUCAAAUCAUUACCAUAGUGACAAAUUAAGGUUAAGUUUCAAGGAAAUAACCUGAGGCUGACAGUUUGAUUUAAAAAAAAAAUUGUUUCUCCAACAAACAGGCUUUAGGCUUUAAAUUUAACGCCAUGAAAAUCUUAAAAUAACUCAAAAAUUAAAAGAUACUUGGAAGGUAGAUUACUGUGCUUGAAGAUACUUCUUAAUUCUAAAGAUCAUCCAAAAUGAUGUAAUGUGACAACAAAAUACUAUUUGAUAAACCAAAAGCUUUUUCCUUUUUUUUUCUUCUAAACGUGCAUGCCAAAAUACAAAAGCUAGCACACCAAGAAGUCAAAACCAUGAAGGUGUCAGUUCAAACAGAAUAUCUAACAGGAACUUGUCUUUAGCAAACCUUUAUAUCUAGGACUUUACCUUGCCUGGUAAUUCCUUUUCCCCUUCCUGUAAGGUUGUUAAGCACCAACUCUACUGUGAGUAGGUAAGCUUACGUUACCGGGAGGGCAGGAAUGAAGGAUUCAAAGGGAACUGUUGUUGCAUAACAGGUUGUGCCAUGGAAUCUAGUGAUGAAAUAUCGCUUUGAAAAACGUUGGACAAGCCAUAAUCUGGCAGUGCAAAGUUGCCAUCUGUUUGGGUGCCAGAACUGCCAAACUGUUGGUGGAAGAAACUCUGAAAAGCAAAACUAUCCUCAGCAGGACUAGAAUCUGUAACGGUCAUGAAUGCAAACUCAAAGCAUGGACCAGACCAAGACUUCCCAAAUGGAAUUGCAGAUUGUAGCCCUGGCUUCUCAUUAUUCAUUUCUGUAGGAGCAGUUUGGUUUUGAUGAGUAUCUUUGCUCUUGUUUGAGGACUCGACAUGAAACAUAGUGGCACCGUAUGUAAAGUCAUGACCUUCAAGUGCCAUUCUCGGUCUAGUCUCAGGUUGUUGAGGUGUUUUAUCUGUCAGAUUCGCUGAAGUCAAAUCCACAUUCCGAAUGGCUCUGCUAUUACAAGACCUUCGAGCAGCAAUUUUGAGAACUUGUUCGCUAGACAAUGAUUUUGCCACCAACUGAGAUGCAUAACCAGCAAGUCGUGUUGAAGACAGAUUAGGCACACUGCCCUCCUUCUUCUUAGACCCAAUUGAGUUAAACACAGUUUCUCUAAAGCUGCUAUGUUCAAUUCUUCUUUCAGCUAGAUUCUUCUCUUGCUUGAUAUUAGCAAUAGGCGUUGAAACAAACCAUUCAUUGAAUGCAACCUCUGAUGGUAUUGCACCUGUAAGAGUCUUCAUUGCAAAUUCUAGGCAUGGGUCAGAACAAAACAAUUGUUGUAGUUCUGACUUGCUGUCACUGUCCUUAUGAGUUCCCAACAUUUUUGGUCGCUCUCCAAGAAUUGUCCUGUAUUCAUGAGGCCUUAUUUUAUUGAUUUCUGGAUUGGCUGCUGCUGCAGAAGCUGGAUUUGGGAGCUUGGCGUUAGGGCCAAUGUUUAGCAGCCAAAUUGCUUUAUCCACCAAAAAACAUGGUGGUUUCGGUUCAUUUUUUCCAGACUUUUUAGUUGCAUUCGGAAUAGCUACUUCAGUGGACACUAUAUUGGUCACCAGCUCAGGUUCAAGCCUAGCAAGUCAUUUUGACAACCAACGAGGCAAGUCAAGCUCUUUCAUCUUCUUGAACUUGCUCAAGUUCUUAGUUUCUAUGUUGCUUCUCUUGCUUUCCACCCCUUUUUUGCCUAGAUUCUUCUCUAGCAGGACAUUAGAAGUUGGAGUUGAAACAAGCCCUUCACUGGCAACAUCCUUGAGCAGUAUUGUACCUCUAAGAGUAUUGAUUGUAAAUUCUAGGCACGGGUCUGAACAAAAGAAAGGCUGUACUUCUGACUUAGUGUCACUAGUCUUCUCAGUCUCCAACAUUUGUGAUUGCUUUCCAAGAACAUCUUUGUCUUCACUGGGCUUUAUGGUCUUCUUCACUGAGCCCCAAUGUGAUUUAAUUGUUGAAUAAGCAGAGGCUUGCUUUGCUACCUCUGCAUUUGAGAGAAUAUUUAGCUGCGGAGGUGCUUCAUUCUCCAUAACACAUGGAACACUAGCUUCAUUUUGGCAAGGCUUUACAGGUUCAAGGCCAUUAGCCACCACCUGAGGUUCAAGACAAGCAAGUCGAUUUGAUAAGCCACAAGGCAUAUCAAGCUCUGUCUUAUUCUUGGACUUACCAAACUUCUUAGAGUUUAUGUUGCUCCUCUUCUCUGUUUCACUUUUGAGCAGGUUCUUCACUUGCAGGACAUCAUCUGCAGCAGUAGAAACAAGCACGUUAUUGGCAGAGACUAUUUUACCCUGUUUUCUAUUGGAAGCUUUUGGAGCUACCAAGCUGCUCCAACUUGAUUUUUCUGCAGUCUCAGGAUUCCUUUUAAGUGCAGUCUCUACCAAACCCUUUCUUUGAGGAAUCUGAAGUAUGGAAGCUGUAGCAAGCCCAGUUUCAGUAUAAUCCUUCUUACUCUGGCCUUUCUCAAAGGUCUCAGCUUCUAGGUCAGAUAAGAUACUCCCAUCAGAUGUCUCCUCACCUGCAGCAACAUGUUUUGCAUUCAGAAGCAAUGAAUCCCACAUAUGAUUGGCUUGGAAACAACUUCCUGCUCAUGACUUGGGUGGUUUAUAAAUUUUCCACUCCUCACCUCUAAAGAGUUGGCGCCUGGUGGCAGGAUGCUUCACUUUCUGCCUUUUAGCUGCUGGGAGUUGCUAAAAUAGACAGAAGAAAUGGAUAAAAACAAUCAGCUAAUUAAAAUUUCCACCCGCAUAUCUCCCAAAAGAAAAAAUGUGGUUCUGAAGGAAAUCCCAACUGGACAUUGGUUGAAAAUAGAGUCUACAAACAGGUAGAUGAGGCAUCAAACUUGAAUCACAGGUCAUAAGAUGAUGAACCUUGACAAUGAAUAGUUUGCAGGUGCUUAUUCGUUUCUGAAUAUUCCCAUAUGUUAUCUGUAACCUAAGGAAAACCUUUAUAGGAAGCUUACUUGUCUCUGAAUCUCUUCCACUUUUAAUAUGAGCUUACUUGUCUUAUCCUAUUCUGCCCAUAAUCUUGUAGAAAAAACAUGACCUUCCCUCUACUCUAUGUAAAUUUUAAAGCAAACUACGUCAUUUAAUAAAUGAUAAUGGAAUUUUAGUUCGAUACAGCAUGCAUCAUUGGAAUUAUGUACCUAAAUCAAGCAGGUAAAAAUUGGACAAGAGACAAUGGAAUUAGGAUUAAAACGGACAUAGCAACUAUAUGCAGAAGCUAAGUGCAAACUUACUGAUUUAUCUUUAUUAAUUAAAUUUUGAUCAUCACCAUGCUUUUUCAGUACAGAAGCAUCUCUACUGAUCCCUCCAGUUUCUAGAUAGCGAAGAACAGCCUUUUUGGAGCGAAAAACACAUCCACUAGCUGUAUCAGUGUAAUACUGUAGCAUUCAUAAUUGUUACUGAUCAAUAUUCAUAAAUAGUAUGUAUGUCCAAAGAACUACGUUAAAAACUCCAUAUAUAAGCAGCAGUUGGUUCAUUAUGCUGUCAAGGCAAAGCUUGAAGCAAUAUGAGCACAAGAAUAGGGACAUACUUUUUUGGUACGUGUCAUAAAAUUGAGGACAUGAAAAAGUCACAUAUGUCCAUGUGUAAGAAUCUAAAAGGGAGGCUUGGGGGACAGCAAGAGUUAAAGUAACUCCAUACCGGAUCUCUUCUGACCCCAUUUGCAUUCCUUCUAAUCUUGACUUCCUUAAUCCAUCCUGCUGGUAAAUCAUCCACUGUUGAUCUCUUAAUCAAAACCUAGAUUUACAAAAACCACAACAGCAUAUCUCAUUCAGUAGCUGUAGCAAUGGAAUAAAUUUCUGUAUCUCAUAAAUGAUAUCCCAAAAUGCCACUUAUGUGUAUUUUAAUGAAGCACUUUAAUGUAUGCACUAAAAUGCAACCAAUCUCUCUCUCUCUCUAAAAACAAAUAAAUAGACAGAUAGAAACAACAACACCAAAAUGGUAGCAAAAGAUUUUUUAAGAACCAAGUUUGCUUGUAGAGCACGAGGCUCUUUUCUUUUGCUUAGAUUUGCUACUUUUCUGCUCUGCAUGAUUAAGAAAUCGGAACACCUCUGGCUUGGAAUGGAAUCUAAAUCCAGUUGAUGGAUCAACAUAUAUCUGCAACAAAAAAAAAGUUCAAUUAAAAAUAAAAUUGAGGUAUUACAGAAAGAAGAAACGAGCUUAAAGUUCCUCAUGUUAGUAGAUGCUUCGUACAUGCAACAUAAGUAAAUUAAAGAUGUAAAAGAGAAUUUCAAAUAACAAUCUCAUGCGAUAUGAUAUCUGCAUAAAAGAUCUAAUUCAGAUGUCAAUGGGGAAUUGGACAAGCCAUUCCUGCUUAUUGAAGUGGUAGCCAUUGAUGUAUCAUGUAUAGCUGCAUAACAGGAAUACCCAGCAGAAACGGUAAAGGGUAGUAAUGGAAAAAUAAUCUGCCGGAUUGCAGAUAAUACAAUACUACAAAUUCCAUGUGGUACUAGGAGAUAGAAAAGCACCAUGAUUCUUCUGCAUAAAAGAAAAUCAAAUUUCAUACCUUAUAGUAUUUCCCAAUUUUUGCACCACUCUUAUGGGCUUUCACCUCCAUGAACCAAUUCUUAGGUAACCAUUCAGGAUGUUCAUUUGCCUUUACAGCAACCUGUAUGAUGAUUAAAUAAUUAAAAGUAAAAAAAAGGGAAAAGGGCAGACAACUAAUAGAUUAUCUAAACUCACUUUCAUGUAACCAUUUGCUGAGGGCAAUUUCACAGAUAAGACUGCAAUUGUUUCUUUCAUACCACAACUUCAGUUAGGAGAAAGGUAAAGGCUAAAUUAGUUGUUUCAGGAGGCAAAUAGAUUUUGUAUAAUCUAACAGUAUCUAUUGGUUGCACUAAGAAGGAAAUGGUGGAGAAAAGAUGACUUUUUGGAAAUGUUACCAUAAAUAAUUUAUUGUACAAGACAGGAUAGCUUCUUAAUAAGCACUUUAAGACUAAGUCUCUCUCUGUCUCUUUCCAAACAAAUAAAUAGAUGGAUUGAAAAAAAAAAAAAUUCCCAGACAAGGUAGAAAACAAAAUGGUAGCAAAAGAAUUUUUUGAGAACCAACUUUGCUUGUAGAGUGCGAGGCUUUAUUCUUUGGUAUAGAUUUGCUGCUUUUCAGCUCUACAUUUUUAAUAAAUCCAAACACCUCUGGCUUGGAAUAGAAUCUGCGUCCGGUUGAUGGAUCAACAUAUAUCUGCCACAAGAAAGCAGCUCAGUACAAAAUAAAAUUUAAAUCCACAAAAAGAAAAAAGAGAACUCCUCAGGUUAGUAAAUGUGUAGUCCAUGCAGAAAAAAAAAUUAAAUCAAAGACCUAAAUUGAGUUUCAAGUAAUAAUCGUCAUUAUAUGUGUCUGUAUGGAAGGUCUAAUUCACAUGCCACUGAGAUACAGGACAAGCCAUUCACACUUAUUGAAGUGGUGGCCAUGUGUAUCAGCAUAAAAGGAAUACCCAGCAGAACCAGCUAAGAAUAGUAAUGAAAAAGUAUCUGCUGAUAAUAGAGUAUUACAAAUCCAAUGUGGUAACUGGAAGAUAUAAAAGCACCAUGGUUCCUAAGCAUCAAAGCAAAAAAAAAUACCUUGUAGGAUUUUCCAACUUUUUUACCACUCUUAUGGACUUUCACCUCCAUGAAACAAUUCUUUAGCAACCAGUCAGGAUGUUCAUUUGCUGUUGCUGCAGUCUGCAUGAUGAUUGAAUAAAAGAAUAAAACAGGAGGAAAACAAAGGGCAGUUAAUUAAUUAAUACAUUAUCUAAACUCAAUGUGACCAUUUGCUGAUGGCAUUUUAAUUUGCUUUAAAGUUGGCUGCUGGUCAUCACAUUGAGUGAUUCCUGUUUUAGUAUAGCAAACAAGGUCAUCCUUGGUAAAGCAUUUUGACUGGUUGCCAAGUUUACAUAAUGCUGCAAUAGGAAACAAUAAUUAUAGUAACAAAAGCAUGUUAUCAGAUUUGGGUAAAUAGACAGCUUAUUUCUACAUAUUACCAUUUGUUUUAUUUAAGAAGUGGCAUUCAUCAAUGAUUUGCAUUGCUCAAUUAUUUUGCCAAGAAGACAAGAAACAGGGAGAAAUCUUGACACCUUAUCAUCAACUAUUUAAGCCUUACCCUAAAAAAUCAAUGUUUCAGCGCCACAAAUCACCUACAUUGUUUCCUAUUUUCAUUUUCCUUAACUUUUUGUCACGAAAAAACGAAAAGAAAAUCAGUCCAAUGCCUUAAAAAAUUCCCCAUGCAGAACAAAAUCCAUCCGUCCUUACGCAAAAGUUACUGUCAACAAUUCAAUAAACUCCCAUUUUCAUGCAAUGCAUCACUAAAAUGCUAUAUGAACAGAAGCAACCUCAAUCCUUCAGCUUUCAAAACUUAUAAUCCAUCCACAGGCAACCCGCAUUUCUUCCACUAACCCCCGAAUUCCACAUGCACAUAUCAAGAUAUAUCAUUUGACUGCAUUUCUUUCACAUGCAACUAAAAACAACCGAUCAUCAACUAAUAAAAGCUCCAUAAUCUUAACCUCAAACUUCAACAGUUCAUAUCUGCCUUACUUCACUAAAAUUAUUCAAAAACAGCUAGCUUUUUUAAGUAAACAAUUAAAUUAGAGACAAAAAUAGAACCUAAAAAACCCUAAAUUGAAAUAAUAAAAGUACAAAUUCGAUUAUAUAGUUAAAUAACCGUGAUUCUACGGCCUGUCUUUUGGAAUUUGAACUGUAGGGUCCAGCCCGCCGGCAGCCAGUCUGGUGAAGUUUUCGCUGUCACUAUCACCGGAAACUAGAUUUUCCGGCGACCAAUAAAAUCUUUUUUUUUUUCCUGAGUAGUAGUAGUUUAUUUCAGAGGUUUUGGAGUCUCUGUCUGAUCAAGUAAGUAAAAAAAAGUGGAAGUGAAUUGUCAACCUGCCCGACAUAAGAAGACUGACGAGGAUAAUGCGACGGAAAAUCAACACGUGCUUUUUUGUUAUUUUUAUUUUCAGUUAAAAAUCUUUAAAACAAUUAAGGUGAAAAAAUUUUUUGAUUCAGGUGAUUUUUUACUGUCAGUGGUCUGUUAGCGGAGGUUGAGUUGGCAAAUCAUUUACUGUCAAACUUUUCUAUUAUUAAAAUUUUCCAAAAGAAAACUACAAAUAAAACAAUUUUACCAUUUUCUCUCUCAUUUUAUCGGAUUAUCUUUGAUUUUUAUUAAAAGAAUUUAAUUUUGAUGUUAUUUUUAUAAUAUUAUGUUAAAUUAAAAUUUUAAAAAAAGUUUUAAAAAUUUUGAAUUUCAAACUUUACAAAUUUUUUUUUGAAAAUUUUUAUAAUUUUAUGUUUUUAUUAAAAAUAAUGAUUAAAGUUGAAGAAUAUUUAACUAUUAUUUAAAAUUAAAUCUAUAUACAAUACACUAUUUUUAUUAAAUUAAAAAUAUAUAUUAAUUCAAUUUUUAAUAAUAUACAAACAAAAGGGUAGUUUGGGGAAAGCAGGUGAAAGGGCUUUCGGCGGUUAUGUCCCUAACUAAGUUUUUGCUUAUUUAUUUACGAGGACGUCACUCCUUUUGUCAACCAAACACGACAGUCAAAGAAAGGGAAAUUGAAGCCAAGGAAACUUCUACCAAAGCCAAAGGUGCUCUGUCUUUCUCCUUUUUACGAUCUUCGGUCCGUUGAUUUUCUUUUUUUUGAUGAAACGAUUAAUAAAAAAAAUCCCUUUCAAAUCACAAUUUUGAUUGUCAAAGUCAGGUUUUUAAUGGGUGUCCAUGUUGAUAACUUGAUUAUAAUAUGGAAUCAAAGAUUGGGUUACUAGAUUUUGAUUCGAAUUUGAUAUGGGUUUGGAAAGAUUCAGCCGUUGAAGUUUUUUAACUGGAAAUUAGGUAAGAUUAACUGGGUCAGUAUUAAAAGAAGUAGCAAACCUCAAAAGCUGUGGAAAUAAUAAACUUUAACUAUUUAUUUAUAGAUUGGAAUCGAAUAUUUGUUUUUGAUUGUGAAAUGAUUCUUUCUUAUUAGGUCAAAGUUGAAAUUUGAUUCAUGUUACCUUUGCUAACAUAAAAGAUUGGAAAUUUGUUAAGUUUCUGAUGGUGGAUUUCUCUAUUUUCUUUAUUUGGUUGAAGUUAUAGAAUAAGCAUAUGGGUAGUUAUACUGAUAAGCAUUUAGGGUUUUAAGCUUUGUUUUUGCUUUUUUUUUUUUUUGGUCUCCAGCAUUUGAGACGUUCAGAAGGUUAAGAAGGUCUUGAGUGAUGGCAUUGCAAGAGAAGUUAGAUAGAUUUAAUAAGCAGCAGGAGAAGUGUCAGUCGAUGCUCUCCAACAUUGCCGCAAAAUCGGCAUCUUCUAGGGUCACCACAACUCCAAAACCUUCACCUGUGGCUGCCUCCCCCUAUCCCAGUUCAAGACCCUCUGCAUCUGCUCCCGUCAAAUUCUCAAAUGAUACCGAGAGGCUUCAGCACAUUAACAGCAUUCGGAAAGCUCCUGUUGGAGCUCAGAUGAAGCGUGUCAUUGACCUUCUUUAUCAGGUUCUUUAAACCUUCUUUUUUUAAUUUAAAAUUUAUGCGCCUGAUGCAAAUAAUUAGAGUGUUAUGCCUUGUUAACAUUUGUCAAUGAUCUUUAUUGUUGCAAGUAUCCUUGUCAAAGUCAUGGUUUGCUGGCUCAGAGGAUAAAUCUGUUAUGGAGAAAAAUUGCUUUUGUUGAGUAUCAUUGAUGGAAAUGUGUAUAAAAAUAUGAAAUAAAGGAGAAAUUCUCUUGUUCAUUAUGUGCCUGCUUUAGUUUUUUAAAGUUUCUUGCUUCUGAUAAUGGUCCUGAUUAGCAUGUGCCUUCUGCUGCUAUUUUCUUCUGUUAUUCUCAUCCUAUUGUGGCUAUGAUAGUUUUACCCUGCAUUUCUCAUGGUUGUUGAUGCAAGUAAAAUUUGAUAAUGCUUUAGCAAUUUUUUAGAGUAGUGAAUGUAAGUGUUUUUGGGGUCAGAGUUUGAGAUAGUAACCAGUAGGUCAGUGCUCCUAUAGCAGCAUUGUUGUAUACUUUUGUAGCCUUUUUGCAUUGAACAUGUAGGUGUUCUUUGCUGUAUUGGAAAUAUUAUUUCUACCCUCCAGUAAGAGAAGCUCAGUUGUGGGAUUCUACUAUAUCAUUGAUUUCUUCAAGCAGUUUGAUUUUAUAUCAGAGAAGAGUGGGAGACUUAAGAUUGUAUAUGGUAUUCACUUUGUGAGAUCUGGAAAAAAUGGUAGUUGCUGUCAGUGUGGACUUUUUACAUGUAUCUUUGUUUCUGCUGACAUUACUAUCAAUUAUUGAACAGACAAUAGUGCUUAGUAAGGAGCUGAAAUUUUUAACUAUCUCCAAGCUGUAAAGUAUGUAUUCAUGGUUGCAGAAAAGGGAGGCUUACACACCAGAGCAGAUCAAUGAAGCAUGUUAUGUUGAUGUGAAUGGAAACAAAGACGUCUUUGAGGGCUUGAGGAAAAACCCAAAAGUGAAGUAUGAUGGGAAGCGCUUCUCUUACAAGGUGACAUUUACUUGGUCGCUGCUGUGACCUUUUGAUAGACUUAUUCUUUUUUGGCUUCAGCAUCUAUAUCAUAAUAAGCAUUUUUCCUAUUGCUUAGUCUCUUCAUAAUGGAUUACAAUUUUGUACAUGUUAUCCUUACAGGCCAAGCAUGAUGUAAAAAACAAGAAUGAACUUCUUGUUUUGAUUCGGAAAUUUAUAGAAGGCAUUGCUGUUAUUGAUCUCAAGGAUGCAUACCCAAAUGUGAUGGAGGACUUGCAGGUAUAAUUGAGCUGCAGAUUUUCCUUCACUUUCUAUUUACUCCUAUGUCCGUAUGUAAGUUUCCAUAAGGGGUCUUAUUUUUUACUUUCAAUUUACAUAAUUGUAUUGAAGCCUUUAUUAACUUAAUACUUUAGUUUCUUUUGAUCUGAUUCUUUAUUAUUAUUUCUUUCUAACAAUUAAAUGCGAUAAAAGCAAAGAGUGCAACACCAUAUUAAUGCAUAAAGUGGGAGAAACUGUUAUGCACAUAACCUAGAAUUGAAAAGCUUUAAGUUUUGAAAUUUACUAUUGAUAGGAAGGGUAUUAUAUAAUUAAAUGCAUCACAAACUUGUAAUUCAACUCUUUUUUAAUAAUUAUUAUAUUGAGAAAUUUCUCAAUGAAACUAUGCUUGGAUACUUUGGUGGGUUGGUUGUUAAUUUCCUCAUAAAAGGGUCAUUGAUUUAGGAGAUUUUCCCAACAGUUCUGUUAAUUGUUGGAUGUAAAUGAUUCAGAUGGUUAUUUUCUAUUGUUCUCAUUAUACUUAUGUUGUUUUGGCUUUUAAGAAAAGCCUUUCACUCAAAAAUCUACUUGUUUAUGAGUGCUUAAUUUCUCCUACUAAAUAAUUCAUUAUGUUGGCACAAAUUCAUUUAAAAAGUACUGAUAAAUUUAGUAGUUUCUGUUGCAACGGCUACUUAUAGUUGUUCUUUUUGUAGGCUCUAAAAGCUGCCGGUCAUAUUUGGCUGCUAUCAAAUUUUGACUCACAGGAGGACAUUGCCUUCCCGAAUGAUCCCAGGGUACCUAUUAAGGUGGAUGACGACCUUAAAGAGUUAUUUCGGUCUAUUGAAUUGCCACGAGACAUGCUUGACAUUGAGAAAGAUCUCCAGAAGAAUGGAAUGAAACCUGCUACCAACACAGCAAAAAGGAGGGCUGCUGCACAAGUGCAGGGCAUUUCCUCCAAGCCCAAGCCCAGGCAGAAACACAAGGAGUUCUCCAAGAAGGCAAAGCUAACAAAUGCACAUCUUCCAGAACUUUUCCAGAGUCUCAAAAAUUCUUGAAGCCAGACAUAGAUUUACUAUGGGGUCAGUGGAGCAGCUGGAUUAUUUACUUUUUUUAAUGGUGAACAAUGGAUUAAUGGUUAAACAAAUAUAAUAUAUCUGUGCUAUAUAAACUCCCACUCUCCAACAAUCACCGAGAAUGCUAUGCUACUCUAGACUUCCAAAAUCCGACUAAAUUGAAAUGAGGGCUAUCGAUGUAGAUCAAACUAGCAAUUCUUGUUUCUUGUAUCUAGCAACACAAUUGAUCCAAUUGUUACUCUUGUAAUAAUAAUAACAGUAAUUACAUUUUCUUAAUGUUUGAUUAAUUUUUGCAGGCUUUGAAACUUCGAAGUGGAAUUUUGGUAUCCUUGUUUGUAAAAUGAAAAGCCUAUUGGUCCAACUUUUUUUUUAAUGAGAAAGCCUAUUGGUUUCACUAAUUACAGAAGGACAUGUAGAUUUAGAUUUAGACUCAGUUAUUUCUAGUAAGAUCCGAGGGUUUGCAUUCCCGCAUCAGACAGAGAAAUAUACAUGGUUAUUCUUCAUAAUUCAAAAGCUUCAGAAAAGCUGCCUGAGACCAUGUAUCAAAAUCAAAAGAUCCUGUUCUUCCAUAGUUGCAUUUCUUGUUAACUAGAACGUUAUACUAAUAUUAUGGAAAUACGGCAACACCAUCCCUUGUUUUUUUCCUUUUCAAAGACUGACGAUUCAUCUUUGAGUCUUUGGAUAAUUAGAAACACCAAACGUCUGAAAAAAACAGCUAGCACGCAUGCAUGCAUGCAUGAUAGUUAUGUUUCAAGAGAAACUAAUGUCUCUGUUUGAAAGUCUGAUUUUCUUGUCCCAGUCCAAAAAUGUAAUGAACAUGUAGCUUGUGACAGGAACAGAGUACCAGGUACCCGAUACGUCUCUUAUACAAAAUUCUUGUAUGAAAGCAACUUGUUUUCGACAAUCCAAUCUGUUAUGUCCAAUUCUACAGAUAGGGAUGUGUGUGUGUGUGUGUGUGUGUGUGUGUGUAUCUUGCUUCUCUUUUGGGUUCUUGCUCCUGAUUUGAAAUUCAUAGAUUUUGAGGUCCCAUUGACUGAUAAUUUACGUCUGUCAACUUGUUAUUUUGGCUGGACUUUUGCUUGCUAAUUCAACUCUUCCAUAUAAUAGAAAAUAGAACUUUAUCAUAUUGAUAGCAAUUCGAAUGUAUGAUAAGUAAAACCUUCCAUGUUCCCAUUUUUUUUCUAUCAUGGAAGUAACAUCAAGAAAGCCAACAAAAUGUGGGUUUGACCCUUGAACCAAUAAACGGUUAAGAUGUAUAAAUUAGCAACUAAAAUAUUCUUUUCAUUCUUCUUGUUUUUUAGGUUUUUUUUUUUUUAAAGGCAGAAGAACCAAAAUUGCCCCACCAUUCACCGUGCGGAAUGAUGCUGAAACAAUUCAACAGUUCUUCCUUCAAAUAUAAAUAUAAUUAGUACUUUUAGUCGGUGGCCAUUACCAAUUUAAUAGGCCAUCUGUUGAAUUCAACUUCAAUCCAGAGUACAUAUUCAAGGAUUAUUGGUUACUUCUUCUUCACCAAGGUCUGACCUUGCAAAAGACUUCCUUGCCUGCAAUUCAUGAUUGCAGAACAAAUUUAUUCUACUAAAAAUAUAUACUCCAUUCAAGUACCUUGCAAGAGUGCAGCUUCCUGGGAAAUAAAAAUCCAGCUAUUUACAAUACAUGACUUCACAUCUCUGAUAAUCAAACAAAUACAAUUGCAGUUUCAGCAAAAAGUUUGCAUUCUUUUUCUCAAACUGUAUCUAUUAUACAUUUCUAUCAAGAAAAGGGAAAAAAAAAAAACAAAAAACUGCAGUGUAAGCUGCCUAAAUUUUGUAUAACUAAAUAUAUAUUUAGGAUCUGCAAAAAAUAGACAAAUCAGUUGUGGAGGGGGUUUGGUCCCCCUGGAACUGUUCGAUAGGAAGCUUCAUGAAUUGGUUGACUCUUUGUUGCUUUGGAUGCCUCAGGAGACUUUGCAGGGAAAUGCCAUGUGGAGAAUUCUGUCUUGGUUGUUUGCUCAGCUUCACUGCUUAGGCUUCUAUGGAUGUAGCGGCAACUUGAGGGGUGGAUGGCAGCUAGUAUGAUCAUAAAGAACAUAAAUGAGAAUUUGGGACUCCAAAUCCUCAUGAUUUUAAUGAUGAGAAAGGGGAGAACAGAUGAUGAGAUGAACUGCAAGAAGUUUAUGGGAUUGAGUUUGCUCACUUAUUAAAGAGGCAGGUAUGAAGUCUAUUAAUAUGAGAUCAAGGCAUCAAGCAACCAGUGGUGACGAUGUAACCAAAACUAGGAAUUAGUUCUUUUGUAAUGGCUGAAAUACCCUUCAUCUUUGGCUAAAUCUGCCUUCAUGUUAUAAAUUCUCCACCCAAAACUACAGUAGGAAAUUAGUAGUAGGUGUGAUUUGUUUCUUCACUUGCAUUGACGAAUUAUCCUUUGGCAUUUUAAAUUCUGAUAUCGAUAGUACCCUCAAAUUACAUGCACCAAUUUAAAUUCAGACUGUUUCUAUUAUAUUUAAAUCUCAUUACAUUAUUUACAAAGAGCAAGAAUAUAAUGAUUUCAGCUUAUUUAUAUAAGAUAUAGUUGAACUUAAUAUCUGUGUUUACACAAAUUUUAUUUUAAUUUAUUCUUUUUUUCACCGAAAAAAAUCUAUUCGUCAUACUUGUAUUUAAAAUUAAUCUGCACUAUUUUUUUAUUUUAUAAUGCAAUUUUUUUUGUUUAAGAUUCAUUUAAUAAUAUGAUACACAUUUUAUAAUCGAAUUCUUAAAAAUUUAAGUAUAAAAUAAUACCAGAAUGCGAUAAAAAAUUUUCCCACCAUACCAUGGAAUGAACCCUUAAAAAAUAAAAGAAAGGAAACAGAUAUUACAGCAGAGACGACAGGCUAAAUUGGUCCAUUUGCGUCUGGUGGAGUGCUAACUUGAAAAACCGUAUCUAAAGGGCUGCUGUAGGCGUUGACUUUACAUUAAUUUGGAUCGCACUAAUACCAAUUUGGGUUUUGUUAAUUUAUUUCGAGCUCAAGAUUAAUUAUUGGUGGUUCUUUCUUAAGGUGAUAUCAUCGACACGUGGCAGCACGAUUGCCGUUCCCAGUAGUUUUCUUCAUCACAUAUAAUUGCUUCUAAGUGAUUGGUACUAUUUCAGUUGGAGUAAGAAAGGCUAGCCAUCAAAUAAUUAUUAUAGGAUGGUCCAUGAGGAGUUAUUGAUCUUGUCUAAGACAGACGGGAGUUCUAUGUUGACACAUUCCUGUCAAGGGUUCCAUUUCUUAAGCAUUUGAAAUUUGUCCCAAUAAUUAGUGGCAGUUUGAUUAAGCAUGAUAAGUGACGAAAAUUGAGAUGGAACCAAAAGUUUUGGUUCAAAUUAGUUGGUAGGACAUCAAAACUUACGAUUGGAAUGAAUAUAUUUCAUGUGGAAAAUUGUUUAUGGGGAUUAUAUAAAGUGAAAAAAGGAAGAAAGUCGUAGUGACACAUCAGCUGACAAGAUUUUAUUGCUCAAAAGGAGACAAUUUUCCUGGAAAGAGAAAUGGAAAAUAUUAUGAGAUUGUGAUAUAGAAUGAUUGUGAUUUUGAAGAUUGCUGCUUAAUUCUUUUUUUUUUCAAGUAGGCCUGUUUGAAUGGAAACGAAAUUAUGAAUUUUCCAUGCAACAGAAUGUGAUCAUUUUACCCUUCCAGGGUUUCUUUGAAACAUUAUGAAAACCGCACCAACCCAUUGGAAUUUAAGCAUGAUCAGGACAUUUAAAGAGGUUACUUUCUUCAAGCUCCAUCUACAAAGCCUUAGGUAUCUUCAGCUCUAGAUGGAUAUGCCCUUUCCCGACUGCCCUUGUAGGCUGGUUUCAUAACAGGCAAUUAGAUGAAACUUUUGUUGAUGCUCCCAUUUUAGGUCCAAAUGGGGCCCCAAAUUAAUUAUCCAUUAAAUAGGUGGACCAAGGCACAUUUGAUUUUGAUGGGAUCCAUACCUGUAAAUUCCUUAUGCACAUUCUCUCUGCUCACCUGGUUAGGCAUUUUUUUGUCUGGGAUGUAGCGUUUGUCAUCAGCCAGAAACAAAAAAAAGGGGAUAGAAAUAACCUGGACCAGAUUGUAGAUUAUGAUCUUUAACUUUUUGUGUGCCUGAGGCAUCAGCCUGAUCUGAAAGACAUAAAUAUGCAUAAACAAGCAAUUUCCCAAAGUAAAAUUUGCCUAACUUCAUCUCACAAAGAUAAAAGAGUAGGGUUCACGCUGUUAUCAGUUGCCCAACUUGAUUUCUUGAAAGGACAUCAUUACCUAGUGAAUUAUUUCUUGUCCAUUUGUCUCUUUGAAUCCAAGGUCAUGACAUCUAUCUAUCUUCUCUUUGGAUUACAGUUACAUCAGAUUAAAUAUUUUCAUUAGAGUUAAUCAACAAUCUGAAAGCAUACUGUCAAUCUGAGGUAGAGUGAGAACUGUUUAUAAGAGACUGGAAAUCAAUGCUUUGAUCAUUUUAAAUUGACUGAAGAUAUUGUUUUUCACCGUCAACUCUCAAGAAUUUGAAAAGAUUGGAUUGUUAACAGCUGAACAUAAUAAAUUUUUCCACAUAUGUAGAAGAAUAUAGCGGCAACACGCCUUAUUCCUAUUUCUUUUUUAGAAUAUGUCCACAUUUUGGAUUGUGAGCGAUUAAUAUUCAUAAGCGAUUUUACACUAGAAAACUCAAAGAUUUCAGUAAAAAUUAACUGAAAUCCCCAUAUAUAUAUAUAUAUAUAUGUAUAUAUAUAUUGAAAAAUUAUUGAUGUAAUUUUUUAUUUGGUGAUGGGAAGAUCCGAUGGAAACUGAAAAUAAGGAUAUAUGACCUGUUAAAAAAAAUCAACGUGUACCAAAAAUUAUACUUUGAGACAAGCUCUUAUGUUCAAGUGCUAGAUUUGCUAGAAUAUGUCCACAUUUUGGAUUGUAAGCAAUUAAUAUUCAUAAGCGAUCUCACACUUUUACCUUGUACUCAGGUGCUUGAGAUAUAUGCUUCUUCAAAAGAUGGUGAACAAUCUGAAAGUGCAAUUCAUGUGGUGCACAAGAAGGGAUUGCCUAACCUGCAUUCAUCAAGGAAAAUUCUUCAGAUAACAUCACUGCUGCUAAUAUUUUGACACAAUUAUACAUCCAUUUUAAGUAAUUCAAAAUUUUUUAAGGACUUGAGAAAAAGUCAAAGUAAUCAAUCAAAAAUUCUAAAUUACCUAAUUAUCCAAAUUCCAUUGUUUAAAAACAAACAUGAGCCUAAUUGUAUUUUCCUGAUAGUAAAUGUGUGCAAUUAUCGCCAUUUGUACCUUAUCAUGAGUUUCUACACAGCCCAGACCCACUGUAUCAAUGAAGGCAUGUUCCCUUUUCAAAACAAGCUGAGAUAUUCAACGAACCUGCGUAAUCAAGCACAAUUUAGGUCUGAGUUGAUUCAUAAAUAAUUUAGGCCCGAGUUGAAAUCUACCUUGUUUACAACAAAUAUGAGAAUGAAAAAGCUAACCUCCUUCAAAAUUGUUGCAGAAAACAAUGACUGCCUUUGAAGCAGCAAACAAUCAACAAUUUUCUCUACAUCUUUCCAGAAUCCCAGGUCUAAUAAAUGGUCAGCUUCAUCAAGUAUAAGCAUUUUUAGUCCCAUCAACCGCACAGACAAGGUAGACUUGUUCUCAUCGUGAUACAGCAACCCCCCCGGUGUUGCAACAAUUAACUGCAGAAAGUUUCAACUCAACUAAUUAGCAAAGGUUUAUCUUCUAGCAUUUUUUUGGUUUCUUUCUUUUACCAGCUCUCGAACCUAGCUCUUAAGGCUUAAAUGUCAAGCACCUAACCAUUUAGGACAAGAGGAGAGCCAGUUAUCUUCUAGCAUUAGGAUGUAGAAGAUUCUAGAAUAAUUUUAUAAUGCUAAAAUAAUUACCAGGCAUAAAACAUAGGCUAACCUGGCAUGGGUCUGAUUCUAUACGUUUCUGAUCAACUUUGAAACACGUUCCUCCAACUAGAGUCAGAACACCUAUGCCAUCACGAUGCUUCAGCAGAGCAUUUGCUUCAGCAGCUAGCUAACUUGCAAGUUCUGUUGUGGGGCAAAGAAUGAGAACAAAUAUUGGAGGCUCCCGUUGAAUGGCAUUAGUACUAGCCACCUUCAAAACUGUUUCAAUUGCAGGAGGCUGUUUGUCUUUAACGGAAGAAUUGGAAGAACAGAGAAUCAACAAGUUCAUUAAUAACAACUCAGGGCUGGUAGUAUACCAGAAAAGCUGCAGUUUUUCCUGUGCCAGUUUUAGCUUUGACCAAAGUAUCUAUGCCUGCUCCACAUUAGAAUAGGGAUUGUCACUUAAAAUGUUUUACUUGUAUCAAACAAAUAGAGCAUCAUGUUUAAAGGAAUAUAAUAUGAAUGACAACAGAGUUAUAGAAAGUACUUUACCAUAACUAUUCGGAAAGCACUAACCCUGCAGAAGAAUUUUAUACACAAAGGACCAUGUGACACUCAGUACAUCUCAUACAAGCAUAGAACAGUCUUCCAGGCAUAAAAGCAACAGUGAUAAUCUCUAAUGUUAAUUUUUUGUUUCCCUAUCUUCAAAUUCCUAUGUUUUGUAUGCCUUCACUGAAUCACCUUUCUAAUCCUGCAUUUUCUACACUAGUGACUUUAAUACCUAAUGUCACAUGUUGAGCUUCCAAAAUGUGAUAUGUUCUUGACAACAACAACAAACUAAGCCUUAUAUCCCAUAACUCUGGGGGUAAUAUGCUCUUGACAAUUUAAGAAAUUCCCCAUCAAUGUUAAUAUUCCAGUGGAAGUACCUAUUAUGCAUUAAAGGCUACCAAGGCGCAAAGCAUGAACAACUUACUAUCAAAACGAAUGUAAAAUUGAAAACCAGUAAGUUCCACGAAAAUGAUGAUAAAAUCACACAAUGGCCAAAUAAGCAAUAACACACACCCUCAAAGCAAACAGAAAGAGUUGCUUCCUGUGCUCAAGUUAUCUGAAAAUAUCCAGCAGCAGAAAGUGCCAUGACUGUCAAUGGGGAUAUACCACACUCAUCAAAUCUGUAGAAACAAAAACCCACAGAUUCACCAUUACAAAAACAAACUAUACAUAAAUCUAUAUUUCAAAUUCUCUCACUAGAACAAAAGAAAAACCAGUCGAACAUCUUAGCUUACCUUUUUUGACUAUAAAUUGUUUCUCCCUCCCCUCCUUCUCUUCAUUUUCGUAGCUCCACUUGCUCUGAAAAAUUACUCUCCUUCCCAAGUUCCUUCCCAAGUUCCUUUAGUGGAACUCUCUUCCUUAUUUUCAUAUCACGUUUCCCCAUCAAUGCACCACUCCCCAACUUCCUAACAUCCCUGCAACCACCCACUCCUUCCACUUCAUCUUCCAAAUCCAAAUCUGAUUCAUCAUCACUCGUUAAGCUCUCGUUCCUCCUAAACCUCCUCUUCUCCAAACGAUUCUACUCUUUAUAAACUUCCUAAUAGUAUAACGAUUCACACUCUUGCUUUUACAACCAUGACCACCAUGACCAAAACACUUCAAGAAAUUAUCAUUUGCAACGAAAUGUUAAUUAGAAGAACUCUCAUUCUUCUUGAACCACCUCUGUUCUAUAUUAUGCCCUGAAUGUUUCAAAGAAUCAUCCCUUGAACCAAUGUGAUUCCGAUUAAAAGAACUCUCAUUUACUCUAAAUUUCCAGUUUCUCUGAACUGAAUAACUCCUACUCUUAACAGAAUUAUUACCAUUGACAAUACUUAAUUUCCCAUUUUCUCUACAAGUAUCAGAUAUCAGUUUCCAAGCACCGUUAAUUUCUUGCUGUUGCGUUGAAUCGUGGCCGUUCCUGUUCCUGUGGUGUCAACGUACCGUCGUUUUCGUUCUACAAAUACCCUGCCACUUCUUUAAUGAACGGAUCAGCUAGGGCUUUGAUGUGGUUGUUGGGGUUCAUGGGCUUAUAUUUGGGAGGAUUUGAUCGAGUUUCCCGGCUAGUUUGGCUCGGAUUUGAGAUCGAAUUCUGGCUUGAUAAAGGAUGGAAGAGUCUUUUCUCUUUCUCCUGAGCUUCUUGCUUAGGCAGCAGGAAAAAGUCCGUGACCGCUUCCUAGAGUGAAAAUAUGGGUUUAGAGGAAAACCAAGAGAGUUUUGAAACGUUGGGAAUUAGUUUUAAACCGGUGGAAUGGGUGAAAAUAUAUUCAUAUAUUAAUAAAUUUAUAUAUAAUAAAUUUUUUUUUAAAUGAUAAUGUAAAUUAUAAAUAUUAUUAACAUAACUUAUAUAGUUAUUUUUUUAUUUAAAUUGUAUAUUUUAAUAUAAUAAAAUAAUUUAAUUGCAUAUUGAAUAUUUUUAUGUAAUGUUUAUCAAAUUUUUUUAAAAAAAUUCAAACUGUAAUUUAAUUCAUCAUCACUCGAUAAGCUCUCGUUCCUCCUAGACCUCCUCUUCUCCAAACCUACUCUUCAGAAACUUUCUAAUAGUAUGACAAUUCACAUUCUCCCUUUUACCACCAAGACCACCAUAACCAAAACAAAUUAUCAUUUGAAACGAAAUCAGAUUCAUGUUGAUUAGAAGAACUGUCAUUCUUUUUAAACCAUCUCUAUUCUAUAUUACGGCCUGAAUGCUUAAAAAAAUAAUCCCUUGAAUUGAAGCCUUCUGAUUAAAAUAACUCUCAUUUACUCUAAAUUUCCAUUUACUCUAAUUAUUACUAUUUACACCACUUAAUUUCGUUUUUUCUCUACAAUUAUCAGAUAUCAGCUUCCUUACAUCAAGCGUUGAAUGGAUUAAUCCUGACCGUUGAUUUCUUGCUGUUGCAAUGAAUCAUAGUCGUUCCUGUUCCAGUAAUGUCAACGAAUCGUAGUUUUUGUUCGACAAAUAUUCUGCCACUUCUUUCAUGAACCGAUCAGCUAGGGCUUUGAUGUGGUCGUUAGGGCUCAUGACUUAUAUUUUGUGGGAUUUGAACUCGGGUCGAGUUUCGGCUACUUUGGCUCGAUGUUGGGAUCGGAUUUUGGUUUGAUAAAGUUGUUUCUCAGAGUCUUUUCUCUUUCUCUUGCACUUCUUUUUCGUGGAGACGCUUCCAUUGCUACUUGUUUACGCCGCCAGGAAAGGUCGUGGACCAUCUCCCAUGGGUCGGGUGAAAAUAUAGAUCUAGAGAAAAACCGAAAAAGUUUUGAAGUGUUGCAAGAGAACGAUUAAGAACAUGAUUGGGAUUUAGGGUUAAUAUGAUCGAGGUUUACGGUUCAAGGUAGAAUUAGUUUUAAAUCAUUGGGAUGCAUGAAAAUAUAUUCAUAUAUCAAUAAAUAUAAUAAAUUUUUUUAAAAUGAUAAUAUAAAUUAUAGAGUUUAUGAAUAAUUUAUAACUUAUAUAAUUAUUUUUUUUAAGACUUAUAUAUUUUAAUAUAAUAAAAUAAGUAAAUUAUAUAUUGAAUAUUUUUAUGUCAUUUUCAUCAAAUAAAAAAAAAACUUAACUGUAAUUUAUUGAGUCCAAAUAUUAUAAUUAUUUUUUAUUUAAAUUUAUAUAUUUUAAUAUAAUUAAUUAAUUAAUUACAUAUUAAAAUUUUUAUGCAAUUUUCAUCAAAUCUAAAAGAAAACUUAAACUAUAAUUUAUUGAGUUCAAAUAAUUUCUAAAUAGAAUAUAAUAAUAUUUUUAAUUUCAAAAAAUUAAAAAUUUUGUUAUCUUAAAAUCAAUCUCGUAUAUAAAUUUUUUUAUGAAAAAUUCUUUAAGUUAUUGUUUAAGGAAAUAUGCAGCAAUUUAUUUUUCAAUAUUUCUUUUGUGUUAAAAAAUAUAUUGUAAAUGUUGCUUUUAUGUUAAAAUUGCCCAUCUGUUUUAUCUAUUUAAUCUUGUGCUUAGACUACAUAUGUAAAUCUUAUUUAAUUAUCAAUAAGCUACAAAUAAUUUAUUAAAUAAACCAUAUAAAUUCAGCAAAAAAUAAUAUAUAUAUAUAUGUGAAAUAGAUCACGUAAAACCAAUUAUAAUUUUGCAAUAAAAAGGCAAAAUGAUUCUUAAGAAACAAUAAAAAAUAUAAAAAAAAGUUAAUAUCAUAGUUAAAAUGAUAUAAAAUAUAAGUAUAAAAAGAUAAUAAUAUUUUAGCAACAUAGACUAAGAAAUAACGUAAAGUAAAAAUUGAAGAUAGUUGAGUGGUGAUAAAAAAAUAUAAAGUUAGUGAAAGACAGUUAAAAAAGCAUUACUUGUCAACAUUAAAACCUAAAGCUAUUUAUACAAAAGGUCUGUAAGACAACUUUAAAUUAAAAAAAUUAAUAUUGAAAUAAUAAAAAUUAUGAGUGAAUAAAGACAAAUAAUUAUUUGUUGAUUGAGAAUGAAAUAUUUUAUUUCAUUAAAUUAAUUAUGGAGAAUUAAUUAAAUAUAUUUGCUUUUUAUAUUUAUAUAUGAAAUAUAUAAAAUACUCAAAUGAAUAUUAUAUUUAAUCAAAUAUAAUUGUAUCAAAUAAUUUAUUAGAGAAUCAACUCUUUUAUAAUUAUAAUUUUAAUAUUUAUUAAUUAUAUUUUUAAAAAAAUUCUUAAAUCAUUAAAUAAAAUAUUUUAUGACCAUAAUUAUAAUGUUUAUUAUUUUUUAAUCAUUUACAAAAGAAAAAUAGCGUGCAUCUAAACAGAUUGGACCACAGUUUAUUAGAAAUAUCAUAUGCCAACUAAUUUUAUUAUUGUUUAUUUUGUAACUCCAAUUGCUGUUGAAAUUAUAGUGAUUAUUAAAUUAUUUGGAUCAUUAAAAAAUGUUUAAUGACCGUAAUUAUAGUGUUUAUUAAUUCUUUUAAUCAUUAAAAACUUUUUUAAUUAUAAGUUUCAUUGAUUUAGUUUUGGUCUAUAAUUUAGGAUAAUUUAGCUUGUCCAAAAAGUUGAUUUUUACUUUAAUUUUUAAAAAAUAAAUUUACUCUUAAAAUUUUGUGCCUAUUAAUACAAUUUUUAUUAUUGGAUCCAUUUUUUUGUUCAAUUUACAACAAUAAAUGCCAACACAUAUCUAAGGUAUUUCUCAAACAUAAUAGACACCAAUUAAUGUAAAAGCCUAUGUGCUACAAUCUCAAAAUUAAUAGACACCAAUUUUGUUUUUUGGCACAUUUCUAACUCAUUUCUCAAAUUUAAUAGACAUUAGUUAAUUUAAAAUUAUAACACAUUUCACAAAAUUAACGUAUUUCUUAAAUUUAAAAGAAAAUUAUAAUCAUAAUUGAUGAAAAUUAUACGUUAAGUGAUUAAUGUAAAUUUCAAUUUCAUUUUGAAUUUUCAAAAGAAAUGAGCAAAUAAAUCAAUUAACAUAAUUCUUAUUACAUAUAUUAAUAUUUAAGAAAUUAAUAUAUUUAUAACUUAGAUAAUGAAUUAAAAUUUUAUUUUCAAGGAUAUGUAUAAGAUAAUUGAAUUUCAUUUAAUAUUGGAAUAAUUGGAAUUUAGAAAUUGUUAGUCAAUGCAAAUUAAUUAGUGUAAGACAUUCAUAUUUGUUUGUAUUUUCCCUUGUGUAUCAUAUCCUACUUUCUUCAUGACAUUAAUCUUUCACUAUAUUAUUUGAGAUCAUACAUGUUCCUGGCAACAAUUUGUUACCAAUUAAAAAAGCUGAUAAAAUUUUAUAGUCAAUAUUAAUCACAUAGCAAAUAUAUAUACAUUUAUACAUAAAAAUUAUAAAUUAUUUCAUUAAAAUAUAAACUAAAAAUCAUAUCGACAUAAUUGAACGAAAUGUCUAGAUUAAUUUCUAAAGCAUAUCAACAUAUUUAUAUAUUAUACUAAUAUUAUUUCAAAAACUAAAAGCAUACUAAUAUAUUUAUAUAUUAUGCUCAAUCUGGAUACUCAAAUAUCAUUAAAUUAAAUUAAAUUAUGAAACUUGAAAAAGAAAAUGGUAGUUCUUGUUUCCCCUUACAAUUCCCCUUAAUGAAUUGUUACCCUUGUGUCAGAACAAGACAAAUUUUUACAUGAUUGAACAUUAGGCUUACAUUGCUUCAGACAUAAGGCUAAGCUGCAAACUUCCAACCCACCUCAUAUCAGACUGCUCCAUUCCUCCAUUUUCCUUCGACGAAAGAGGAAAAAAAAAUCAGUUGAAAGCUUUAAAAAAGAGAAGAAUACAGUAGUUAAUUUCACUGACCAAGAAAGGAGCUGAAUCGAGUUAAACUCUUUCAGAAUUUAGACUGGCUCUGAGCAGCAUUUCGUCUUGCACAGCAUCCCACCAUGUAUAUCAUUGACUGGCAUUGCAAAACAAAACACAAGAGUUAGCUUUAACAUGAUAAGUGCUGGGACGAAAUCUUGUCGCCUAAAUCAAUGUAAGGUUCUUGCUUUCUUUUGUUUUCAUUGAUGUAAGAAGGGAAAAAAAAAUUUGAAGAUGGUCAGAAAUUCGUAAAAAGAAUCUUACUAAGACAACAAAUAAUGCCAAAUUAAAGAUUGCAACAACUCUCCACUCAGUUUUCAUGUAUUGUGCAACUCCGGCCCUGAAAGGCGAUUGAAAGAAAGCAAAUGGCACUGAGAAAUGUAUACAAUAGAUGAAAUGGAAAGUGGGGAAAUCAAAAUGCUUACUUGCAAGAAUCACAAUUGUAGCACUUCACAGCUCGAGAGUUUUUGUAAAGCUUGCAGUCAUUAUUGGAACUAAUUGGAUGAAAGCUCAAGUCAUAAUAUGAAGCAUUGAUAACAGGAUAACCGCAUCUGUGAUCAAGUUGAAUGUCAAGAAAAAUUAUUCAUUAAAUGAAUAAAAAGAAUGGAAUAAGCUUCAAUGUACUGCACAAACCAUGAUUAAAUAUAGGUGCAAUUGCAGAGAACCAACCCAACCCAAAAAAAUAAAAAAAGACACCUACUCAGAAGGCGGCCGGCAGCAACCAGCUUCGAUGGGCGUUAGUUUUGCCAUUUUAUACUGCUUAAGAGUCUGAAAAUCAGAGUUGAAAACAUUAGAAUCGAUGCAGAGAAACAAAUAGCACUCAGGAUUUAAAUGGUAGACCUUGUAUUGUUUUGCUAGGUUGUUGCAGUCCUCUGAUUUCACAAGACAACUCUUCAAGUGCUUCCAGUUAUUCGUAUUAUUGAGCUGACAAAAAAUGCUAAAUAUGGCUAAACAAAGUGGAAAUUACAUUGCCCAUAAAUUGAAAGCCUCACCUGCUUUAGAAACCAUGAACUAUAGUCUUUAAGUUGAUACUCCUUGUAUCUGAUAAGCAAAGAAGAUAAGAGAGACGAGGGUCAUACACCAACCUCGCCAAACUGAAUUAUGAAACAAUGAUGAUACACUUAUUUGAGACAUCUUGCACAAAAACCACCCGUGGGAUGAGAAAAACAGAUUUUGCACAUAUUACUAUUGGUAUGAAGAUGAAGUAAGCCUAGGCACCAAGUGCAUACAGAGAGAGAGAGAGAGAGAGAGGUGGAAGAUAGUUUUUCAGUUUCUUGUGGUACAAAUUGCAUAAAGACCAGAAGGAUUAAAAUACUAAAAAGUUAUAAUUACCAUCCGAAGGCGAAAGGAGAGGCAAAUUUUGCCAUUGAAGUGCAUAUUUCCUUACCUCAAGCCAGACACAUUGUGACCAGAUCCAUUAUUUGUUAUAAUGAACCUACAAGAAAAGGCAUAAAAUCAAUUUGUUUAACUUGAAAGCUCUUACAAAAGUGGGGACUCAAAAGGCCUUAAAUGAUACACACAAAGUAAGCAUGAUAAUAUCUCAUUAAAACAUAUAGCGAUAUAAGGCCUUAAAGUUCAUGUGAAUAAAAUUAAGGUACCCUUACAACUUAAAGGUUACAGAACAGGUUGAGACAAAAAAAAUAGCGGAACACAACAGUCAAACCAAUAUACCCACUUUCAACUUUCUUUUGUUGCUCUAGAAGACUAAAGUUAAGAUAAUCAAAUCACUUAAGCUAUAUGAGACACAACUAGCUGUUUCGCUGGAACACCAUCUCAUGAAACAGAAUCACCUGGUAAUCUCGCGAGUAAUCAAACUUUUAGUCAGUUUCAUCCAGAACUAUCAUUUAGUUAAUAGCACAUGAGACAUCUAUUUAAAAGCUGACCUAUAAAAUACACACUAAGAAAAUCUUAGUUUAAACCACACAUAGAAAACUCAGUUGCAACCAGAACUAGAAAUGCCACAAAGAUUAAAAAGCUCAGCAAUCCUACCACUCUCCUUGCAGGUCUUGACUGAAUAUGAACAAGAAAUUAACUUUAGUUAACCAUACUUACGCCAACACUGUGAAUACAAGGAUCGCCACCAGAAUGAUGCAUAACAUGAUCAAAUACUGCAAACCAUUGAGUCAAGGGAAGUCCAAACAAGGAAACUAAAAAGAACAGAAGCAGCAUAAAAUAUCGAUAACUCAAAGUUAUAUUAAGGAUACAAUCCAUAAUAGCAUCGUGUUCUUCUUCACUGCCCCCACGAAACCGAUUAUGGAUCUAAAAUUCAAAGACAAGAAUUGUAAUUGCAACUUUCUAUGCAAUAAUAAGAAUUAGAGUAAUCAGAAACAACAUAGUGAUCAAAACUUACAUUAUAAAAAUGAAAGCACCAAGGCCUAGGACUGGGAGAGUAAGGGAUUUUCGACAUCCAUCAUGAUGAGUGCUCAUCCAUACCCCAAAAAUUACAACAGCUAGAGCUAAAAGCUGCCCAAUGAAAGAACCUUUUUAAAAAAGGGCAUAUAUUAACUUCAAAAGGACACAAGAUUCACAUAUAAUCAUCUUCAAUUUUUCUCAUUCACUUCUACUAGAAAUUGACUACAGCAGAACCAUUUAAAUGAGCAGAGGCUUAGAACAGAUUGAAAAACAGUAUUUUGCAGCAAAUUUUUACAAUGAGGUAGCCAACCAGGUCAGUGUUCAAGAAAAUUGAAGAGAAAACACCCAACCAAAUUUAGAAAUAAAAUAACAGCAUCAAUAAGAAUUAAGAAACCAACAAAUGAGACGAACCCAACAGGAAAAGAAAAACUUCAUUCUAAGAAUGAAAGCUGGCAUUGUGACCCAUAAAAAAAAAAAAAACACAUUUAGGAUAAUCAUAGUAAGAAAAAAAUCCUAAAAGAAGAGCAUACCAUUGUAAGAAAGUUGACCCAUCUGAUCACAAAAUUGCUUGAUCCCAUACCCAUUUUCACUUUCCUUUAAAGACACAAUAUACAAACAAAAGCACAAAGAAAAAAAAAAAACCAACAAAGAAAACACUGGUGAAGUUGGGUUUCCAAAACUUUCUCAGUUAGAAGAAUGAUUUUUGGAAAUAUAUAUACAAAAGAAUAGAAGUUUAGAAGCUUCUUGAGGAACUCUGAUAUGGCACUUGCAUUGCAAGAAAAGAGAGAGGCGCAAGGCAAGUAGAAUGAGGUUGUCUAGCUGGGGACAGAGAAAUGUGAGGGCUGAAAGGCUGAAGCGAGUGUGAAAGGGUAGUUUGGUCAAUGAAUAUGCACAUGGCUCAUGUUUUUGUCGGAUAACAGAAAGCAAAGCUUAUUGUGCUUGUAUAAUCAGCCUCUAUGACAAUAUCCAACAACAACGAAAGUAUCUUAAAAAGCCUUUCACCAGCCAGAUAUUACAUCGUUGACGGUUGCAGUUACAUAGAUUCUUGCGUAGAAUAAGGUUCCACGUAUGGCUUUUGUCUCUUGUCAGGUCAAUAUAGGUAUUUUAUACCACUCCAAUAUUUUGACCUUUUUUUUCUUAAUUUACAGUUACUUUUUUCACAUCUCGUCCCUGUUCUAAUCUUUUUUUAUGGGACAUGAAACUCUCGGUUCAAUACUUUGUAUUAUUACAAAUUUGGGAAUGUGAUUGUGGCAUUUUGCUGUCGUAACCGCUAGGAUAUAGCAGUGAAGCCGGGCAGAAAAGUGGGUCUAAGGUGCUGAUAGAAAUCAGAAGCAAUUUAAAUCAUUUUAAGCUGAAACGUAGACUCAAAGGGAAAAUUUGUCCCUGCUGACUUUAUUGCCAGUAAGGACAAUCCAGCUAUGACUCGAAAGCUUCGUCACUUUGCCAUUUAUCCCAUUUCAAAAACUCAAGGAUCUCAAUAAUGUGAAGAUAAGAACUUACUGGAAAAUUGUUUAUGAACAAAAAUUAAAGAAACUAAACCAGGAAACAUUGCCAUCCCAAAAGCCAUAAAAUUACAUAACAUUACAGGUAGCUGUUUACAGUGCUAUUCUAUCGGACAUUAAUCCAAUGUUUAUGUAAGUUGAACUCUGAUGUAAAGAACAUAAAUUUUUUGAAAAGAAGAUACAUUGCUUAUGUUUUCUGUUGCAGCACGAAAGAAUGUGCCGAUAAUGAUACUUGCCAUUUUAAGGGAUGAACAAGAAAAUUCAAGCAAUCCUCCACCCCGGCUCCCCUCGCUUUCUGUUCUCUCUCUUAUCCUCCUGCCGAAAGUGCCUUUUGGAGAUCAAAGUUGGGGUUCCAAAUUAGUUAGAGUCGGAUACCAAUAGGAUGAAUAAGACUCGGGUAAACCAGAAAGCAAGAACCCUAUACCACUCUAUUUGUGCAUGAUAGAAUUGUAGAUUUCAUUUCUUCCUUAUCCAAUGAUGCUUGAACAAUGACCUGCCAAAACAGAAGAUUUGUCAUCCAUAUCUCCACUGUUUACAGCAUUUUGGAUAGAAUAAUAAGGUUGAAUUUAUUUAAAAAAAGGUUGUAUUAAGAACCAAGAUAUUUGGUGAAAUAGGAAACAGAAAGAAUUUUCACAGAAGGUCCUCAAAAGUUUAUGUACAUUAGAAUUGCAUUUUUGGAUUUAGGGUUUUGGCUUAUCCUUGUCUAACUGCCUUGUAAAAAAUGCCAGUAUGACAGAUCUAUAAUCUCGACUAGAAACAUCACACUUUACAGGUGUUGGGAAAUUUAGACCUAACAAUGCACAAGGUGCAAAAUCAUUAACGUUCAAGAGUCAAACUGAUAUAAAACCAAACAACUAAACAGUGGUUUGAAAAUUUUAAAUGAUAUAUAUAUAUAUAUAUAUAUAUAUAUUCAUAAGAGGGAAGUUUUCAAUUGGAAAGAUUAAAUCCCCCAAUUGAGAGUUACAGUGGAUAGUAGCCAAAGCUUGGAGACCAUGAAAAACUUUACCUCUUGCACUUUGUUUCCAGAUCGAGCAAGUAACUUAUAUUGAUUCUCAAACGUGGAUGCCAUAUAGACCUGAAAAAAAGAUAGAUUGGAAGCAGAUAAUUCACAAUUGAGUCUGAAAAAAGAGACUGACCAAUUUCUUGAAUAGAAAAAGUUUCAAGUGAUUUCAAUUGCAUGGUUCCGCAUCCACAAUCUCAACAAAUGCCAGGGUUUGAACAUUGAGGCUUCUAUUAUGAAGUUGAUAAUGAAGCCUAGAAUUGAAAGAUAGCAAAACUUUUGGCAACUAAAUGAUGGAACAGUUAUGAAGGGCAGCUGAUGCUGAUUAAAGGAUUGUAGAAUUAUUUAGGAAUUAUUCAGUAAUUUUGUAUUUUUUAGGGUUCAGUUGUAAUUAUGUAGAUUUAGCCAUUUAGGGUAUUUUAGAUUACUAUAUAGGCUUAUAGGCUUGAUUCUUUACCAAAUACUAGGUACUCUAUACAUACCUAUAUUAUUUUCAGCUUCAGUUAGCUCAUAAUGCUGACUGAGCUGUUACUCAUAAUUCUCUCUCCAUUAUGUUUUUCAUACCUGCUCUACAUUACACAGCUUUUCAACAGAGAUUACAACCAUUAAGUGAAAAUUCAUUUAUCCUCGUCAGCAAUUCGAGGGCUCAACUGAUCCAAAGGUUUGAAUCAACAAAGCCUUCUUUUAAAAAGUUGGUAAUAAAUUCUGGCAUUGAAAGAUUAAAAGCUUUUGGCAGCUAAAAAUCCAAUCUGGCUCUUGAGAAGAAGAUUUAAGGGUAAUGGUGGUUUUGUAAUUUGUCAAGUGAGGAGAAAGAAUAAAAAUAAAGCCAUUUUUGAAUUUACUAUCCAAAAUAUCAAGGCAAACAUGGAACAAGAAAACAACACAUUAUUAUUGGAUUGGUUGUGGUAUUAUUGAAUGUGCAGAAUGGAUAUUAGCAGGUACAUGAGCUCAUUCUUUUCUCAAGUUUCAACAAAUAUGGACAUACAUUAAAGAAAUAGCAUUCAAACAAAUGUCUACUAAGCAAAACUGAUAAUCCAGAAAUCAAUAAGAUCUCUCAAACCAGAGGCAAAAUAUGAGCAGAUACAUUUGAUGCAAAUUAUUAUAUUUAAUCCUCACCAACUUUAGCCUACUGCAUUUAGUUCAUACAAAAGCAGCCAUACCUGGAAUGUUGGAGCUAAACCAGGACUCAAGAAAAACCGGCCCUUUGAAACUAAUUGAACACCUUCAAUCUGUUGCAAUUCUUUGAUAAGUGAUUCUACAUCAGGCCACUGUCAAUAUUUAAUAUCAGUGUCUGAGGAUUAGCCAUUGCAAGCAUGUAAUAACUAAUACUAGGACAAAAAGGAUAACAUAGAAGAUAAGAAUCUACUGUCACAGGGUAUAAACAAAAACCUCAGCGUCUGCUUGUGCUUCUUGUAAUCUUCCAUCUAAGUUAUCAUGAUCACCAACCACAGACUCCAAGGCCUCAAUCAGUGGAUCUGGCUGUCAUGGGACAAUAGAAUAAAAAGGAUCACAAUAUAAUAAAAAAAGGCCUAAAACAACUUAGGAAAUUAUAAAAUUAAAAGACCUAGUAGCUUGUUGAUUACCGUUAUCUCCUUCAAUGAUAAAAAUAUACGCUCAAGUGUAAAAUCCAAUUGGUGAACUUUUGCCUCGACUAUCUGAAAUCAUGAAAAUCAUCUGAAAAUUCAAUUCCAGGCAUAGAGAGGGUAGGUAGAUAAGAGCAUGGCCUACAAGAAAUAGCUUUAUGGAGUUCAGACACAAGCAAAGCACCAGGAUGAAAUAACAGAUACGAGCACCCACACACCAAAAAAAAAAAAUCUGUGAAUGUCAACAGCUUCUAACCCUACCAGGUCUUUCUUUGCCAUGCAUUCCUUACUUAGAAGAUAGGAGACUCAAUUUGCUAUUGUUUUAAUCUGCCAGUAAACUCAAAUACCUGACCGGUUUUGAAAUAUGAUGCAGGAUCCAAGGUGGCAUCCCAUGAUACUUCAGUUUGGUGAAUCAGAGCAGGUACACCUUCAACCUAUAUUAGCAAGAUUAGAUCACAAUUUGAGUGAAAAAAUAUAUUAAAGGAUCUAGUGUAGCACAGACAUGGGUGUUGUGGCUCCAUGCCAAGUAGGCUUAAGUUCAUAAAAAAUUAAAAACAAAGCAAAGGAGCAAAAAUCCGCAUGACACUGUUCCAGGCUAUAAUUGCUUCCAGAAACUUCACUUUCUGAAAGAGCAUCUAUUAUAGUAAUUGCACAGAUAUUGUAACAUUGCUGAGAAACCUGUGGCUGAGAGAUCAUUUACCUCCACAAAUAUACCAAAAUAAGUGAUUUUCUUGAUGCAGCAUUUUACAACAUCCCCUACACGAAGUUUGGCCUGCAACAAGAAAUGGCAUAAGUGCUUGAAGAGUUUUUAUCUUGUCAAAUUAAGCACAGUCAUGUUUUUCAUUUGGAAAUAUUUUUUCAAUUUCUCAUUUAUACGAAAAGAAAAAUGUUAGACAUUAAAUAUAAUUUCCUUGAAUAGUUGUUAUUGCUGCAAAGAGUGAGAACAUUUGAAAUACACAAAAAGUAAGUAUAAACACUGAAGAUGAGCAAGAAAAACAAAGGAAAAUUAAAACACAAUGUAGCUACUCACCAUAACAUUUCUCUUUUUCUCUACUAACUCUUCCUUUUCUUUUGGCCUCAGAGAAACUAUAAGUUUUCUAAACUUUCUGUCAGCCAUUACCACAUUCACUUUGACUGUCUGCAAAAACUAAACAUAUCAAUAUACAAAAUGCAAAUAAAAAAGACAAUUUAAAAAAAUCAAUUUCUUCAAACCUGACCAACAAAUAAGGACAAGAAUUUAAGCUUCUCUCGAUCAUAAAUACUCAACAAAUCUUCCAAUUUCAUAUCUGGUGAAAGAUUUCCCUCAAAAUGUUGGUUAUUUUCUGACUCUGAGUUUGGAUCCAGAGAAGAGUUCUUGCUCAUCAUACCAGCACUUCCAAUGACUCCUAAAUUCUGCUUAUAAACAGAUGGGUCUAAGCCCUUCUGUCUCAACCAUGAUUCAAAAGCUAAGAACUUCCAAUUAACAGCUAGGUUGCGGUAAGGCAAAAAUCCAAUCAAAGAACCAAAAGAUACCUAUAAAAUUGAUGCAAUAAAGUCAAAAGUUACAAAGAAGUACAUGUUUGCAAAUAGACAUGACAAAAGGAAAAGGUUCACUUACAACAAAACCUCUCGUGCUAGAGCUUAUUAACUCCACUUCUGCCCUUCUUCCAGUCUUACACAGAUCUUCUACCCUGGUCCAAUCACUAUCCUACAAUUGUAUGAGAUACCAAAAAUGAUCACACAUUAGAAAGUGAUACUUUAAAAAUGUCCACUAAUUACUUGAGGACAAAAAGGUCCAGUAAGCUGACCUCCUGAGGUGAUACAGAAGGCAGACCACCAUAAUCUUCAGGACCGAUGGGACCAGUUUCUGCUCUAUUGGAGUUUGAUGUUUCUUUCACAGAUUGUUCUAAUCUAUAAGAGAGCAAUUUGUUAAUCACAACUUUAACAAUUGAAGAAGAAAUGUCCUAAUUUGAAGAAUGAAUUUGACACCUUUUUGGCCUCCCUUGUAGUGCAGCUUCCAUAGAGAGAUUAAAGCCAGAUUCCACAGUAGACACCCCAUUACUUAGCUCAACUGGCUGCAUUCCUUGAAAAGCCCAGAAAAAUAUAAAUUUCAAUAUUUCAGAUUGAAGGGUUUCUAAACUUCUUAGAUAAGGUAAAAGAUGGUAACUUAUAAGCGCUUUAAAAGAGAAAGAGGACUCAGGUUGUUAAUAAACCCCACCACGGUGACACUCAACACAAUCAAACAUAAACUAACUUAAAAGGAACUUCAUGAUAUAACAUGGUGCAUUACCAAUUAUGGAGGCAUCCUCUAUCUCAGGUUUCUUAGGGAUUGAGCUAUGCCCUGCUUCUAAUGAUUCUUCAAUACAACUCUCUGUUGUAUUAGCCAGCAUGUUAGCUUCCAGCUUUGCUUCCAACCUUUCUCCCUCAACUUCUAAAUCUUCAAAUUGCUCUUCUUCUUCUCCAAUCUUUAUGUUCACACUUACCAGUUCAGGCUUUUUUAAUAGCGUAAAAUCACCACUUCUAUCCACCACUUCUUUCUCUUUCUUUGGCCCAACACUAUCAUCAAUAACUUGUUUUUUAUUAAGGCUUGUAUCAACACUAUCAACACUCAUCAAUUCAGGCUUUCUCAACAAAGUCAUAUCACUAUAAUGUUCCUUUGCCGUUUCAUUCCUCAUUUUGAGGGACAAAUUUGAUUUCAUCCUAAACCUGGACGGCCUAUCUUCCACAUCAUCUUCAUUAACCACAGUUGGCUUUCUCAAGAUAACAUUUGGAAGCCUCCUCUCUUUUGGACUAUCAAUAGCCUUCUCAUCUGACAGAGUUGGACUCCUAAUCUUAGAUACAGCCGGCUUAUCAUCAGCUUUAAACUUGACUCCCUUCUUCGGAACAGGACGAACUAAAUUUAAACCAUCAAAAGAUGUGGUGGGUGAUUUCUUUUCAACAUCAAAAGGAACCUCCUCUACUUCCACUAUUUUACCCUUGUUCUUAUAAAAUGCUUUCUCAAUUUCAAUAUAAGAUGCUUCGGGAUUUGCCUUUCUACCCAUUAUCUAAAAAACCAAAACGCAAUAACAUAAAAAAAAAAAAAAAAGCUGUAAAGAAGCAAUCUUUUUUAACAAUUAGAAAAUAGGUACUUAAAAAAACAAAAAUUUUCUCUAAAUUGAGCAUAAAAAUAUAAAAAUAAAAAAGAGUGAGAAAAAGCGUGCCUUGGCAUGGGUGAGUUUGGGGUCUUCACCAAGCAAGCGGCCAAACUUGACCUCCAUUUGGUCCCAUUCGUCAAGCUUUGGCUCUUCUUUCUGCGCAGAAACCCUUUUCGCCCUUCUUCUCACUCGUACUCUUGAUACUGAUACGGAAGGAAACAGCAAAAACUUGUUGACAGAGAAGGAAUAAGCAGUUGCUGUGGUAGCGGUGAAGCAAGCUAGACCGUCCAUUUAUAAAGCGAAAGUAAAAGCAAACUGAUCAGACGGCGUUGAGAAGCAUUGUAAAACUGUUGAAUUUUGAAGCCUGAGACUGAAAAUUGAGCUUUGGUGGUGAUACAGCGGCCUCUUGGGAAUGGGGAAGUGAAGAAGAUAAGCUACAUUAUCUAUCCAUCAGGUAACGCCAACGUGGCAGUUUAAUUUAACAACCGCUAUAUUCCUCCACGUGAAUCAAUCUGCUAGUGUUUUCCUUUCUGUUUUAGCGAAAGCAAAUUUCUGACACGUGUCAUGUAGAGGCCACGUUAAUUUUUACAGUGAAAUUCCAAUUUAAUUUUCGGGCCUUAAUCCAAUGUCCCAAUCCAAAACCUAAUGUUGAAUUCGAUUCAGGGUAGACUUAUUAGAGAAAAAGGAUUGAUGAUGGAAAAAAUAUCAAAAGAUGCGAUUUUAAAAUUAAAUAAAAUUAAAUAAAAUUUAAAAAUAAAAUAUUUUUAUAUUAAAUAUUUUAAUAUAAAUUAUAAUUUAAUAAUUUAAUAUUUUAUAUGUUAAAAAAAAUAUUUAACUACAUAAAUGGUCUAAAUUGUAUUAGGCAGGGCCCUAAAUUGGGCUCAAUUCGGGCUCAAGCAAUUUGGAAUCUGUCUUCUUUUCCCGUGUUUUUUUAUUUCUGCAAUUAUAAAACGAUAAAUAUUUUAUAGAGUCAAAUUAUAGUAUUAAUAGGGGAGAAAGUAGGGAUUUGAACGAACAUUUCAAGCAAUUAAAAAGUGAUUCCUCUCAUUGCAAAGGCGAUGCAACGGUGAAAGUAUGAACUCUGAAAGGAUUGCCCAUUUACACAAACCCCCCCUAGGUCACAUUACAGUCAAAAUUUGUCUGCAUACAAGGAUGAUUUUCCAUGAAAUGUAAACCAAAAUCAUAUCAAUUAGAAUGACAUUAAUUUGAACCAACAACUUGAAUUUGCUAGCAAAUCCAAGAACUGGGAGACCCUGGAGCCACAGGAACUUUCCUCAUGAGACUAGAGCGAAAACAGAACAAGGUCAAUACCCAGUUCGGAUAAAGCCCUAUGUCCCCUGAAGGUUCAGCGAGUAUUCUAUUGCUGGUCCUGUGCAAAAGGUUUAUUAGAUUUUUCUUCCGCCUCUGCUUCUGCUUCUGGUUUUGGCUCAUCUUCUGGCUUUGAUUCUGAUUCGGAUUCAGCAUCAGAUAUUCCUUCGAGUAAAGCUCCUGUUGAAUUUUUCUUCAGAGAAGCCGCCUUGGUAAGAUAACUGUAGCUGCCCUUCUCCUUGAACAACUGAGCAAAGUGGUGCUUGCAGUAGAUGAUGCCAUCCAAUGCAGCAUAUGACGAUGGUGUAAGGAAGCAACCACCACGAGAACACUUGAAGCAGGAUUUAUGGUAGAUUUCUCCCUCCACAGUCACCUGGUAUUGUUUUAACUCAAAAUGAUCAGUUUUAUUCAUCCUGAAUUUUGUUAGCUUAUUAACAUACACAGUCUAUAUUGGGUUCAUUCAAUCAAUAAAAGGUACCACCCACUCAAAUGAGUGAUACUGGAGACCACCCUUUCUUUUUCUGUUUGUGGUAAAUAAGAUUAACUAGACUCAAAAUGAGAAACAGACAGAUCAAGAAUCUAAUAUCAGACCUUCUCUAACGGGUAUGCGGUUUUGUUACAGACUCCACAUUUAUCUUGUGUGCCAGAGAAGAAGGAUGCAAGUCUACUAGGAGCCCUUGCCUGCGAGUUAAAUAAAAUGAACAUUAAUUGUAUCAAAAUAAUCUUUGGGCAUCUACAUUGCAAAUAAAAUAAAGUUUAAUGCAAUGGUGGGAGAGAAUUUGAGUACCAAUCCAUUUGGCUUGUCGGAAUUCCCAGCUGAAAAACCAUCAAAUAAGCAAAAAAAUAAUAAUAAUUGUUAGCUAAAAUGAAAAUUGAAACAACGAACUAAUGCCCGAACAGGUGGAGAGAACUGGUUUGGAAAGGAAAGGGAUCUCACCUUGAAAUUUCUUUGUAUAACUGCCAGUCUCCUUGAAGAGUUGCUCGAAGUGAGGCUUGCAAUAUAGGACUCCUUCCAUUGAGCAAUAGCUGCUCAUCUGUAAAAAAAAAGUAUUGCGACCAAGACAUUGGAUUGAUCAAGUUUCAAUGCUCUAUAAUUCAAAGAAGAAGAAGAAAAAGACACUUUCCCCCACAUAUAUUAUCAUAGAUGUCGCUGGUUAACCUUUUUUUUAUUCAUCCAAUCUCAAUUUCAUGAAAGCAGAAAGUUCAUCAAGUUUUGACUGCCUUAUGAUCAGCAAUUAAUUUAUGAAAUUUCAAAAUUCUUGCAUAGGAAAACAACAAUCAACAUAGACAUACCACCAGAAGUCCAUUGCAAUGGCUGCAUUUGAAGCAGGUCUUAUGAUAAGAAACCCCAUCAGCUGAUAAUAAAUCAAUAAAAUGAACAGUCUUAUCACAGGCCUUGCAUUUCUCUGUUGUCCCACUGAAUGCCAUUUUCCUCUUGUAUUAUAAUUUCAAAAGCAAAUACAACAGAGCAGUUGCAAGAACAAAAGAAAGGGUUUUCUAGAGAAAAUGUUUGAAGGAAAGACAACAAGAGUUCUGAUCUCUAUCUCAGAAGAUUGGGAUAGAAAACGAACUCGGAAAAUUGUCUAUCGUCUUUCACCUUGCUUCAGCGAAUGUUAUAAGGCACAUUUCAGGGUCAAAAAUGUAAUGGAAAAACAAGUGGAGGAUAUGAAUCAACGCUUAUUAAGGAUACGCAAUCAAAGGUCCACCCCUAACUCGUUGGCAUAUAUAAAAUUCCGUGCUCUAAGAAUAGGGUCAUGCUCCGUGGAAGGGCAUAGAUGCAAGGUUUCCUGCUGACCAAGUUUUUCAAGGAUGAUAGAGAUCUGAAAGUACAGUUUACAACCUGAUCACAGAUAAUCCACUCUUUUAUACAUGGUGACAUAUGAAUAUAUAUAUAUAUAUAUAUAUAUAUAUAAAGAAGAAUGUCCCACUAGAAAUUACAACUAGAUUUAUGAAAAUAGGAUUAAGUAUCUCUCAUAUAUAUAUAUCUACACACAGAUAAAUUGAUGUACACGAGUAUUAGAUUAGAAUGCCCCACUUACAAUUACAAACCAACUGGGGGAGAGGGAAAAAGGAAAAAGGGGGAAAAAAACAAUUUUCUCUCCUUUGAAUAUCAGUAAGGAUGUUAACUGCCGAAGCAUCCAAGAAAUUUCUUCGGUGUAUAUCCAGUUGCACGAAAUAUCUCUGCUGUCUCCUCUAUCUUGAGAAAAUAUUCUCCUCUCUUGGCCUCUAUCACUGCUCUUUUUUCUUCUGCUUCCUCCUGGAUUUCAGCCACUUUGUUUUUCAUUUUCUCACCAUACUCAGCCUUCUUCUUUUCCAGUUUUUCCUAUCAAAAUAAGACCUUCGUUAAACACAGUACCCAUAAUCUCUAGAACUUGUUUUAAUACAAGCUAUUUGUGCUUAAGAGUUCAAUAUUGUACCGUUAAUUCGUAAACUAGGGACUGAUCUAGUACAGAAUUUUACCUCAUAUUUCUUUAGCUGCGCUUCUACACCGGCUUUCUUGGCAUUCUCCCAUGAUCCAAUAGCAGAUAUCUUCUUAUGUGCCCUGAUUUAACAUUUUCAGCAUUAUAAGUUGCUUAAAUCAAGUAUGAGGACUCAUAACAUAAAUGGGUAUUGAAAUCAUUAUGAAAUCAAAUAAAAUAAAUCUCAGUCCAGAAAACUCUUUCUUCUCUAUGUUUAGGGGUUAAUGUGAAUUGGCCAUGGCUAAGAACUUAUGCUGCAUAAAUCAUAACUCUAUCAGAGUUUUUUCAGCAUUUAUAUACCAAAGAUAUGAUGACUUUUUUUUUAGUACUUUUGGCUAUUUCGCAGGAUGGCAGAGACUGAAAAACAAGGAGCUGUACAAGUUUAAAAAUGGCCUCUUACUUGUUUUCUACUUUUGCCUUUUCAUUUUCCUCCCAUGCUUUAAUCAAAGCUAGUCUUUUUUCUGUCUCAACCCGUGCAAGCACAGAAUCUGAAAUAAUGAUCUGAUAAGUCAAUUAUUUUGCAAAUAAAUGUACCAUUUCCAAAGGACAGAUGGUUUCAAAUAAAUGAGCAUAUAGCCAUAUACCUCUGUCGUUUGGACCUUUCCCUAUAGCUGGUGCUGCUACAACUUCUGCCAUUUUCAACAUUUAGAGGUCAGAUAAUGUCAUAUCAUAGGGCAGCCUAUUAAACUGAAUGGCUGAAAAUUUCCCAUUCCAAUUAACCGGACUAAUUAGACCAACUGACAUUUCAAUAAACAUUAUGGAUUCUGUUUCAGGAAAUGAAACAUAUUAUUAGCUGCAAGUAAUUUGCAAGGACAUGGAAGCUAUGGCAUGUUUGUGAACAAGUUUGUCUGAGAAUGCAAAAACUUGGCACAGAAAGAAAGAACACAAGGAAAUACAAAUCAGGCUAACAUCUCUUCAGCAGAAGAGCAAAUCCAUUUAGCCACUAGUUUAUGUAUGUAGGUAGCAUAAGCACUGAUAAAACCAAAAUGAAGUUCUAAUGACAGAAGGCCCACAGAAAAACUGAAGAAAAGCAUCCUAACUUGAAUAUUACCCUGCAUAUAAUAUCAAAGGGCAAUAAGUAGGAUCUCUUUCUCUUGCUUUUUGUAAGAGUAAAAGCAGAUGUAAAAAAUAGAAAUAUGAAAACCAAAACGAAUCUUUAGCAUACCCUUUUCCUUUUCAAAAUAACUUUUGACCGCAUGCAGACAGCCUGAUAAUAUCUUGUAAAAAAUAUAUGCAUAAUUACAGUUUCAGUGUAAAAUGAAGGCCCAAAAUUGAUCAGAGCUCUAAAAACAAAAUCAACCCAAGAUAUUUUCAGGUUGCCAUGAGAUCCCUAAUGCAAAAAUCACACAAAAUAAGCAAAUUUCAAUGAAAUAAAGUUGAUAAAAACAUCACAAAAUCACAAUAGUACUUAGGAUAAAAAAAUGAAGAGUGUAAUGGGAUAAAAACAAACAAAGAAUCAGUCUUUGUAAACUCUGAGAGAAAGCAUACGUUCAGGAACCGGGAUCAGACUCUUCUCUUUAACUACGUCACUCUUUGCUGCAUCCAUCUCUUCCUUAACAGGCUGCUGCAGCUCCUUGGGUACAGAGGCUUCCAUUUUGCUGGCUUCCUCCUCUCCCAUAACGUAUUCCUUUAACUUAGCCACAGAUACUCCACCAAAAAGAACACUCAAAACAUAAAUUUCCCUCUUCUGGUAAAGACAGAUUUUAAGCAACAGCAAAAUUAGCAAAGAUACAGAAAAUAAAGAAAGAGAAACCCUUUGGAAAUGUCUGCUGGAAAUUACUUGGUGGUUGUGGUUGGUAUAAAUAGAAGUUAAGUUCUGACAGAAAAAGUGAUUGGUUUUGCAUUCUUACUUUAUAUAAAAUUUUGUACAGGUAGCUUUCUUAAAGAAAAAAUAUCAUCACACGACAGUUUAGAAGAGAAAAUAUUUGUAGCUUUUGUGUAAUCACAAACCGAAACAAGAAGCAAAAAAAACUGAGUCAAACUGUGUUAUUAUACAGAUUCCUAAUCAAGAUUGAAUUGUUCAAUUUGUUCUCAUUUUCAGCUUUGGAAGUGAUGUUUGAUUGAAAUGGAAAUGGGUUCGUGUUAUUUCGAGAAAGAACCUAAAACCUGGUACGUAAUUGGUAGGUAAUUAUGAAUUUGUGAUGGUCUGCCGCCAUAAAACUUCUUUAAGUUCUUACGGAUAUAUAUGUUUGUUUCCUUCACGAUCACGAUGUAGGUAAGAACUACAGCUACUGAAGAAGGACAGUACAUUGAAAGAUAAAUUAUUUAGGCCAACGAUACAAGGGACAGCUAGGUUCAUCAUUGAUGGUGAAAUGCCAUAAUAUUUUCCUGGAAAGACUAAUUGUGGAGGAAAAAAGGAGAAGAUCCUAAGCCACGAGAUUGUGACCAUCUCGAUCGUAUACGUACAUUAUUAAAGGAGCAAAUGUACAAUACUGGCUAUCUAAGUACUUAUGUAAAAACAACAGUUGAUUAAUACAAGUGAUUGUUUAUUAUAAUAUCGUCAAAUAAUGUGAUUUAAGUAUUUCUUGCUACCCUGAAAUGCCCAUUGAUAGUUCUUGUAUUGCUGUAGAAAAUAUAGUAUUCCCCAUAUUGUAACAAAUGCCGUCCGACCAACGUAAAAAAAUGUUGUAGCAAAUUGCAAAAAUGGAUCUGAUGAACAUUUUACAGAUGUCGAUUUGCUUCCAGCCGACCAGUCGUCAACUUCCUGUCUGUCCCCAUUUGCAUAACUCUCCAAGGUUGGUAUAUGGGAUUGUUGCACCAAAGUUUUCAAAUGUUAAUCCAUUAUGAAUAUUCCCAAAAAAAAAUUUGAGAAAUCUUGAACUCUUUUUCCCUAAAAUCUUUUAAUUUCAUUAAUUAUUUAUAAAUAUGAAACAGGAACAUUAACUCAAAACAAGUGAACGUGCAAAUUAGUUAUGAGCAUUGCCUCUCAAUUGAAGUUGUCACAUUAUUAUUGAAGCCCUACUGCACGGACCACAAUCAUGACAUGGCAAUCGUUGGACCUUGGUCUCACAUGUAACGAAGAAAGAGUUGGUGAAUUUUCUCACCAUAUUGAAGCAUCCAUCUGAAAUGGGUUUUUCUUCCAUCUUAAUUUUGGGGUGACAAUCCAUAGGAAUCCAAAUUUCUAUGUGCAUGACUGAUGGUUAAAGAAAUCAUUUUUAUUGGGGAAAAAAAAUGAUUUCCCUGUCUUGCAUUCUUGCAAGAAUAAUUACUGUCCAACAAAUGUCUCCAGAAGCAGCCCACGGCAAAGAUAUGACUCGUUGUUUAAAGCUUGAACACUAUUAAAAUUUUAAUUAGCUAUCUAAAUUAAUUAAAACCCGUUUGAUUAAUCUGAUUAAUCCUUUCUACUUUUUACAUUAUCCGAAUAUUACUCGCCUUGAAUUUGGUGAACCUUUAUAAAUUAUAUUAUCCAAAAGAAAUCAAAUAAACCGACCACGGAAGGCUUUUGACUCAUGGAGUAAUGUAUCAGAAUCAGAUCCUCGUCGUGUUCAAAUUCAUUUCACUAUUAACUUAUUUAAUUUAUUGUUCUUAAUUGCAUUCUUGAAUCAUAUGUAGAAGAAACCAAAAGAAGAAGAAAAUGCAUGUGCUAUGAACCUCAAAGACUUAGAUGUUUGACUGUGGAGACCAGACAAGUAGGGCCAAGCUAAAGUCUCAAAUUAACCUGUGCCAAUGUCUAAUGCUAAUCACACAUUUAAAAAUCAUUUUUUGUCAAAGAAACAGAAACGAAAACAGGCAACAGGGACAAGUACAUCAUAUACUUUCAGUUUGACACUUGUCCGACGGUCCCCACACAUGCCCUUGUGAUCUUGUCUUUCACUCUUUUUCCCAAGCGUUACACCAAGCUGCUUAGAGUCUAACAACUUUUUGAAAACCAUUGCGCCUUGGAAGCCUCAGAACCUGAAAAAAGGCAGCUUGUUUAAACAAAAACAUGGGACCAACGCCCAUGGUAUCCCCCAAUCUCUUCUCCUAUAAAUAUAUUUCAGGUCUCACAGCAUUUUCCGUGUGUUAAAAUUCAUUACACUUUGCGUUCUCCAAAGUUUCUGUCACCUUAUUUUUAGGAAAAAUCAUACUAUUCGGGAACAAAUCAAAUGGAUGUGUUUAUUCCCGAAGAGUAUGUUAUAAGGAGAAGAAUUGAGAAAAAAGCAGCUUCCAUUGCUGGAAAGAGGCAAAGUAUGGUGCCGGAGGGAAGCAAGAAAAUGGACAAGGAGAUGAAAAAGUCCCAGCUGCCACCGCCAUUUCGACAACUAGACAGCACUGAGUUCUUGGUCCCUGGUGGGAUUAGUGAACAUGUAGUUUUCAGUUGCUUGUCAGCCUAAUUUGAUGGCCAAAAGAUGAAAGUAAACUGAAGUUGUCUCGAAUGUGUUUAAUUAGAAUUAACGUCCUUUUUUAGUGUAUGUUAUUACAUAUCAUAAAUAUAUGUCGAUACCAAUUUAGUUCUUCCUAUUUGUUAAUCAGUUCCUUCUGCUUUUCUCUCUUUUUUUUUUUUUUUUAUUAAAGGCUGCAGUUCUGCCUUUUGUUUAAAAAACAAAAAAAGUCGUAUACACAUGUAUUUAGAUUUGAAUUAUUUGAACUUCGGAUUUGGUUGAAUUUCGAAAGUCUGCUUCUUUCCUCUUUGAUUGAUUUGACAGUGUGAGCUACAUUGUCUAGCUAGGGCGUGCAGCUUGCAUUAGCAGCUAGGUCACAAUCAAGAUUUCAGUUCGCUUAGUUGGGUUUGGAAGAUUAUUACUAUCAAAUUAAUGAUAAAAAAAACUUGUAAAAUGCAUGUACAAGCAGUAUGCGAACUAUUUAUAGAUUGUGAAGAUAGGUAUCAUAGAAUCUGUUUUUCAUUCAUUAUUAGCUGCCUGGGCUGGUUGUCGUGGUUGUGUUUGUUGAUUUGGGCCCAUUUGUUGAAUCUAUAUUGGGACUAGGGUUGAAAAAGAGGGGUGGGAUGGGCUCAUCAGUGUCGACGUAGAGGAAAAAGUACGGUUCGUUUGAAACUUAUUGACUUUUAUCUUAUGGACACAUUCUUGCCUCAGCCCAAACUACCUUUUUAGUUCUCAGGCCCUAAAAGGCUAUCUUAAAGCCUUCAUGUUUCAACCCAUUUAAUUAAAUUUUAAAUUUCAGAAUACCAAGAUUUUGGACAUGAAAUUUCAAAAUCAUGAAAUUCUGUUUCAUCAAUGAUGGUGGCUAGUACGUGUUAGAUAUGAUAAUUUGAUAUGGUAACAUAAUAUAAAAAUGAUAUGAAUAAAGAAUAUAAAAAUAACAUAAUUUAAAAUUUUAAAUAUAAAAAUUAUAUGAAUAAAAAAUACAGAGAUAACAUGAUUUAAAUUUUUAAAAAAAUCAUAAAUAAAUUCAAUAAAAUUAAAAAAUUAUAUUUUAUAUUUUUAUAUUAGUAUAAACUGUGAUAUGUGAUUUUCGUGUAAAAUACGAUAUAAAUAUAAUAUUUUAUAUAACAUGAUUAUACGAAUUAUGAUAUUUAAUACUUGCUAUUCAAGUAGUAUAAUUUGUAUUUUAAAAUAUAAUAAAAAUUCAAAAUUAAAUGCUUAAAAGAAAAAUUAAGAUUCUAAUUUUGACAUUUUUUGUAAUACUAUUGAAAAUUUAAAAUUAUUUUAAAAAUCAUAUCCGUAGAUAUCAAAAAUAAAUCUUAAAUUCUCCUAAAGUAAAUACCUCCUUAAACUUAUUUGAAUGUGCGACACGAGAGACGUGUUGUGCAUGCUGAAAACGAUUAAAAUAUGCAUUUAAAGGAACUUAACCUCCUCUUAAAUCAUGCAGUACGUAAGUAGAGAGAGAAAGACAAAAUUUCUAAUCAAUACUUAAAACAGUUAGGCAUAUAUGCACGUAGUUUUUGAAAAAUUCAAUAUGAGAUAAGUGAGAUUUUAGUCAUACGAACGAGAUGGUAAUAGGUUAAUAUUUUAAAACCUUUUAUAUAAAAAAGAAAUCAUUAUUAAUUAUAAGUGAUACCAUACAUAAUUAAUAAAUUUUUCAUAAUUGGAUAUUAGGUAUGCUAAUUAUAUAUCAUUUUUCAACCUAAUUCUAGGAGGUAUCCAUCUUUGAAAAGAUGAGAAACUGCGAGUUAAUCUUUGGAUUCUCCAAAUAAUAAUCUUUAAAGAAUACCAAAAAAUGUUAUGAGUAAGUUAAAAUUGUAUAUUCUCCCCUUUUUUUUAUUUAAAAUUGACAAUAAGUAAAAAAAAAAUUCAAUUUAAAUGUAAGAUCACAAUAAAUUUAAGAUUUAAUAAAUUUGAAAUAAUAUCAAUCAUUUUGAUAAUUUUCAAGAAACGAAGACAUAAACUAUUAUGUAAUAAUCUUAUAAGGGGUAAUAGAUGUAAGUAAUAGAUAAAAAUAACAUAAUAGAACGUGUAUUUUAAUAUCAUAUUAAAAAUUUAACUAAAAAUAAUUAAUAAUAGAUAGAAAAAUUCUUCUUAAUUCUUAAAUAUAAAACCACAAAAAAUUCAAAGCUUAACCUAUAUGUGAUAAUAUCAUGCUAAGAAGAUUUAGAUUUAUUUGGGGACUUCUUACAAAUUUGUACAGGCAUUAACGGGGAGAGGGAGAAGGAGAGAGAGACCUAUGAUGAUUUGGAAAUAUCCAUUUCCAAAGGAGCAGCUUCCACAGAGUUUCCAGUGUCCGAUACCAAGUUGAGAAGAAAAUCAAAUAUAUCAGUAGCUAUAACAGCUGAGGUAACAUCCUCUUUGUUAAGCGUUCUCCUCUUGCCUCGCAUUGUGACCAUCCAAGAUCUUUGCGUAAGCUCCUCGAUGAACAGCUCGCAAGCCUUGGAGAAAACAAUCGGAGCCUCCCCAGAUAUCAUCUUAACAUCGUCGCCAGACUUCUUCAUGAUCUUCUUGAUCCUUGCCAAGGGCAACAAAUGAGGCCCUGUUCUCCCAGAUAUUCCACCCGACAGUAUGCCCGAAUACGUUCUUGCUUGCCUCAUACUUGCAAGCCGGUGGAAGUUACUUUGACAAAGAGAUAACUUUGUGAAGUGAAUAAGAUUCCAAUGGUGUAAUUUGCUUAAUUAUAUAUAUAAGUGAGAAUCAUGUGAAGGGGAGCGUGGUAAUGGAGGCCGGCUAGCCUGCUGAGGCCGGCAAAAUCCAAUGAAAUUAGUAAUUUAAUUAUGGCUGCUGAUAAAUGACUUAGGAUCAGUUAGGAUGUCAUAUGCCUAAUUAACGGUCAAAGAGAGCCGAGGGUAAGCACAUUGGCAUGUAUAGUAUGAGUUGUUAGAAUACAUUUUCAUGGAACUGUAAGGACAAAUUGCUACUUUUAGUGUGACAAAUACAAAUAGAAUUAUAAAAUAACAAAAUCUUAAUUUUGUGAUUGGAAGUUUUUGCCUUGAAGCGAAAGGGGUUCGGUUGAAACUUGAUCUAAUAUUCAAAUAGGUCGGAUUGGGUCCACUCCAAAGCUUAAAUAUAUAAUUAUUACUGGCACUUGAAUAUGUAAAAAUCAUUCAAGUAGUAAGUGUGGAUUUUGUUUAGAAUAAUAAUAACGUGUUUCAAUGGGGAUCUUGUUUAACAUCUCAUUAGGUCGACUAUAAUCAUUUAUAUAACUAGAAAUUAUAGUCACCUCGAUUUCGUGUUUUCCUUUUUAUCUUGUCUGUAAAAAAUAAUAAUAAUAAAUAAAAAGGUACAGAUAGAUACUUAUAAAGUCAUCCAUAGAGCCGGAUUUACUGGAAUCUUUACAAUGGAACUAUAGUCUGAUUUGUCAAGGUUGCCCUUCGUUGGGAAUGAGAGAUGAUACAAGCACGAGCUUGAAAAAAUCUAAACUUUUUGUUGGCAGUUCAACAGGCUAGAGCUAGACCUGGACCCGGACCCAACCUUCUUUGAUGAUGGAGCUUCUCUCUCAUGAUGGCCCAUAUAUAAUGGUAGCAAAGAUUGGAUGCAGUCUACUUCUCUGAUCUACAACUAGACCCAUGUCUUUUAUGCGAGGAAGAAGAAGAAUAGUAAAUCUUACAUUCAUUUGAGUGAAUAGUAAGAUUAAUCUUGAUGAAAUUAAAAAUUAUAAUUAAUGUAAGGUUAAUCAUUGUAAUGAAUAUAAGAUUAAUUAUUAUAAUGACGAGAUUAAAAUUAACGAUAAAAAUAUUUGUUUAGAUUCAAACACAAUAAUAACGAUGAAAUGAGUUGCAAUAAAUAAAGAACUAAUCAUAAUUAAACAUAUUAAAUUAAAAUUUAUAUAUAAUAAUAAAUUUAUAAAUUAUUUAAUAUUAAAUUUUAAUUUAUUAUAUAAAUUUUGUUAAUAAAUAAAAAAAUUAUUUAAAUUAUUUGUUAAUAUAUUAUAUAAUAAAAUUUAAUUCAUUAUAUUAAAUUAAUAAGUUAUUUAAUAAUUUUUAAUAAAUAAUCAAAAUUUCAUUUCUUUUGGCCAAAAAAUUAAAAUAAAAAAAAUAAAGUGUUUCCUUAAGAGUGAAAAUUACAUACCUAUUUAUAAGUGUUUCCUUCCCUACAAUGGUUUUUCAUGUAAGAUAUAAAAAACUACAAACAAAAAAAUCUCUUUUAUAACUCAUUUAUUGUCCAUUUUAAGUGAUUAAAAGUUAUAUUUACAAUAAUAUUUUUAAAACAUUAUAAGAGAUUUUUAAUAUAUGUUAUGUGUACUUUUCAAUAUAUUAAUAUUAAAUUAUGAUUAAAAUAUUGUUAAAAAGAUAUUUAAUCAUAAAGUAGUCAUCUUAAAAAGAAUAAAAACAAAAUAUAACCAAAUAUUUAUUAAAUUUUUUCAUAAAUAUAAACAAAUAAAAAUUUGUAUUCGAAUAAUUUAUUAAACAAAUAUUAAAAUAUUAUUUAAAAUUAUUUGUUAAGUUUAAUAUAUAUAUAUAUAUAUAUAAAACAGAAAUCGAACAUAUUCAGAAACAAUUUAUCAAUCAUUUACACCUUUAAACCUAAGCCAUUUUUUCAUUUCAGAUAUCUGUUGAGGGUCUAUGUCUUAAGCAAGCAGAGAAUGAUCAGGUCGAGGUUCGGGGACCUCCUGUUUCGAAAGCCUUUAGGUUUUGGUUGCCUUCAAAUUUUGUUUUGCUAAAUGUUUUUCAACUAACGAAACUUUGAUGUUUUGUCCAGUGAUUCUGGUAGUUGGGCAGUACAACUCCAGUAGUAUAGAUUUUGGCAGUUCCAUAGGAGUUUGUUUGUUUCUCCCGUGUAUUUGAUUUCUACCAAUAUGAAAACUGUUAUGUACUGCUGCUAGCUAAAGCUUGAGCCCUGAGGGUUUUUGACACAAGGAGUUAAUUAUGGAAUCUCUCAAGUAAUCUCUCUCUCUGUACAUCAUGGAACAUCUCAUUGCAUAAACGCACAAAUGAAUCCUUACAUAUUUCCAUGUCUUGAUAAGGUGCUUUAAAUUCAUGGCCAAAAAUAAUAAUAAUAAAGUGUGCUUUUUGUUUGGCUCUAGUAUCUUAUAUUGGCAACUUACGGUUGUCAUAAAUCAUAACUUAGCCUUUCAAGGUACAAGUGGAAAUGCCUUUUAUUUGGUAAAUCCUUGUUGCAUAUCCUGAUAAUAGAUAACAAUAUAUAAUAAGCUUAUCCAUCAGUGGAUCCAAACAUUGUUGCGAAGGAUCAGUCUUGAUGCCAUUAAGUAUAUUUAAAGGAACCAGUAUCUGAACAUUGUUAGUGAUAUUCUAUAUUAACCUAUUACCAUAAGUGCUGGUUUAACCCACAGUAAGAAUUCUGUUAUGACAUUGUUUUGGAAACUUCUUAUACUUCUGUUCAUCCUAUUUUUUAUGACUUCGAAAAAUGUAAGGUUAAAUGGACGAGAUUAUUUAUUUGAUUGUUGAUUUCUACUAUCAGUAAAUUCUACAUUUUUUUCGAUAUGGCGAUUUUAUCUGAUGAUUGAUAUUCCAUCACCGUUGAAUUGAAGAGAUAGAAAAGGGCAUAGUAAAUUCAACAAAUAAAAAAAAAAAAAAAAAAAAACAUGGUAAUCAUGUGACAUGCACAUGUCAUGCAUGAUAAUUCAUGGGUAGAGUUUUAUUUUUGGCAUUUUUAUAUAUUUUUUUUUUCUUUCAAUCUAAUUGUUACUACUCUGAAUAACAAGUGGAUCGAUAAGCUUUAUACUUUGAUGAAUUUUAGUUUUUUUUUUUUUUUCAAUAAGAUUGUUGCGAACGUAACAAUUUAAUUAAACUAUAAAAUAUUUUUGAAAGAAUUUUAUAAUUAAUUUAAUAUCUAUAAUUGAACUUGUGAUAAAAUAGAAUAAAUAAAAUAUUAUUUUUAAAUAAUAAUUUAAUAAUUCUUAACAAAUUGAUAAUCAAUAAUCACCAAUAACUUCUAUGAAAAAUAAGUUCCAAUUGAGGUUGAAGCGCAGUGAGCCUUCAAUUGAAAGAAAGCUACGUGCCCAAUUGGGACUGUGGGGAAUUCAUACUUCAAUUGAAGGUUACGUGGUAACUGAAUAGGAAAGUAAAUGUUAAUUUGGAGUGAGGUUAUAUGCUGAGUAAACAAGUAAACAGGUGUUAUAUUCUUAUUGGAGAACUCUAAGCAAAGGUAUUUGUUAUGUUAUGCCCCUCGAUAAAUUUGAUUGUUUUACUUUUUACUCUCAAUAGUCACGCACUUCCCAAAGCAUUCCCUUUUAAAUAUCUAUACCUAUAUGAAAAAAAAUUCCAUUUCUUCUUUGACAUUCGUCCAUAAAAUUAUUAUUUUAUCUAUGAUAAAAAAUUAAUCACACACUCAUUUAUAUAAAAUAAUUAUUAUAAUUAAAAUAUAAAUAAAUAAUCUCAAAUUUUAAAUAAAAUAAAAAAACUAAUUUUUACACUUUCAACCAAAAAAGAUUAGCAAAAAAUAAAAAAAAACUCUAAAAAUAAAAUUUAAGGUUUCAUCCAAAAAUUAAAAGAAUCCAUUUAAAAACUACAAAAGAGUAUAAUUUCCCGUGGUUAAAGAACACCAAUUAAAUUUUAUGAUAGAAAAAAUAGCAAAAUCACUACAAUAAAUUUUUUAUUUCAAAAUCAAAAAUGAAAAAAUGAAAGUUGAAGAGGAAUUUUUUGGCAGGUUUAAGGAAUUUUAGGUUCUAUUUGUUUAGUAGAAAAUAAUUUUUAAAAAAUGAUUUUAGUAUUUUUAGGUGUUUAUUUGGUAAAAAUUUGAUUGAUUUUAUGAAAAAUAAUCUACUGGUCAAUGAAAAAUAAGUUGAUUUUUUUGUAAAUUAUCUUAUGAAAAAGAUGUAAAAGAGUUGUAGGAUUUUGUGAGAUAGACACCCCAUAGGAGUAUUGGGGCUCUACGUCUUAUGGGUGUGUAUGUUUGUUUGUGAAUGGACUAGAAGAGAUUGAGAGGGUCCACAUAGGUAUGAUGUAUGAGAACAUAUAGGUAUGUGUUUGAUUGUGUUGAAAAGGUGCACAAGAGUUUAGGUUUGUGUUUGUUUGGGUAGAGAAUAUUUUAUAGGACUAGAGGAGAUUGAGAGUGUCUUAUGAGUAUUGAUUGUUGAGUGUGGUUGAUGAUAUGAUGUAUGUUUGUAAUUCUCUACAACUAGUGGAUCUUGUUUCUCAUCCGUGGAUGUAGGUCAGUUGGACCGAACCACGUUAAAUUAUUGUCUCUUGUGUGUUUGAUUUAUUGUUUGAUUUCGCUUCCGUUGGUGUGAUUGGAUUGGAGGCUUUUAGCCCAACAAAUGGUAUCAGAGCUGUGGUGUUCCCCAACAAGUGAUAUCAGAGCUGAAGGUUCGAAACGUGAGAAGAGUUGAAGAUUCAAGAUGUGGAAAGAGCUGAUGGUUCGAGACAUGGGAAGAGUUGAUAGUUCGAGAUAUGGGAAGCGCAUGGUUUGAGACAUGUGAAGAAGUAAGUCAAGAGGAGUUCGAUUCAAGAAAAGAGUUCGAGUUCAAGUUUUGAGGAUUGGUUUGUAUGAAGCGUGAAGACACAAGAGAAGAGAAGAUGAUUGUGAGACUUUCAUUGCAGGUGGAGCCAAGCAUGUCUAGCAUGAAGACAGAUGAUUGAUGGAAUUUGAGUCAAGGUGGAGAUUGUUGGGAAUAUUGACUCAAAUCCUAUAAGAAAUUUGUUAGAGAUUUAUUUGAGAUUUGUUAGAUAUUGCUUGAUAAACAAGAAAACUUGCAAAAAAAAAAUUCUAAGAAAAAAAUGAUUCUUAAUAGGUAAGUUUGACUUGCAAGAGAAGAAUUUCAAAAGGGAAAUGGAUUCUUAAUAGGUAAGUUUGACUUACAGGAGAAAAAUUCUAAGAAGAGAGGGAUUCUUAAUGGGCAAGUUUGUAUGGUUAUAAAUAGGUGAAGUCUCUACAGGGUUAGGUAUGAGAAAAAUAUGUAAGAGAGUUGUAGGGUUUUGUGAGAUAGACACUCCAUAGGAAUAUUGGGGCUCUACGUCUUAUGGGUGUGUAUGUUUGUUUGUGAGUGGACUAGAGGAGACUGAGAUGGUCCACAUAGGUAUGAUGUAUGAGAACAUAUGGGUAUGUAUUUGGUUGUGUUGAAAAUGUGCACAAGAGUUUAGGUUUGUGUUUGUUUGGGUAGAGAAUAUGGAGUUCUAAAUUAUUUGAGUGUAUUUGUUAUUUUUUUUUUACACUAGGAUCUGUUUCAUCGUUAUGUAGGUUUAAACACGUUAAUUAUGUUUUGGUUUUAUUUAUAUUUUUUCGCUUCCUUUAUAUUAGAUGAGCUUUUAGCUAACAAAUGGUAUCAAGUGUUGUUCAAAUUUAUUUGUAAAAAUUAUUGAUUUUAUGAUAUAAACAGAGACUCCUUAUGCAAUAUAUUUGAGUAUAAUUUUACUCAAGUCAAAUUUUGUAUAUGAUUUUUUAAGCUUAAACUUAAUUUGACUCGACUCAAAAUAUUAUUAUAUUAAUAAAUAAUAAUUUUAUUUAAUUAAAAUAUUAACAUUAAAAUUUUUUUAUAUUUCAAUUUUGCAUUAAUUAAAAAUAAAUAUUUUAAUAUUUCAAUAAUAAAUAGUAUUAUAUUAUAUUUUAAUAAUAAAUAAUAACAUAUAUAAUAAUAUUUUUAAUAUUUUAGUAAUUCAUGUUGAAUAAUAUAAUAAUAUUAUUUUCUUAAUAUGAAAUGUUUAAUAAUUUUAUAUUAUUUUUAGUUUAAAAUAUAUAAUUUUAUAUUUAUUUAUUAAGGUAUUUAUAUUACUAUUUUAAUAAUAAAUAUAAAUAAAAAAGAUUUUUGUUAUGAUUUAAUAAUAUAUAUUUUUAAUAUAAAAUAUAAAUAUUUUAAUAAUAAAUAUUACUAUUUUAACAAUAAUAAAAAUAGUAUAUUUAAGAAUAAUAAUACUAUUUUAAAUAUUUUAAAAUAUUAAUAUAAAGAAUAAUAAAUAUUUUAUUUUAAGUACUUUUUAUAUUAACAUAAUAUUUUAAUAUUAUAUGUUAUUAUUAAAAUAUAAUUAUUCUUGAAUAUUAGUAAUUUUAAUAAUAAAUAAUAUAAUAUACUUUAAUAAUAAAUAAUUUUUAAUAGUUUAAUAGUUAUAUUAAUAUUUUUUAAAAAAACAAACUUUUCAAAAAAUAACUAAACAAUAUAAAAUAUUUUUCAUCAACUCCUUCAAAUAACAUAAAAUCUCUACUUUUUCAAAAAAUGUAAAUAUUUUUCAAAAAAAAAUGUUUUCCGAAAGUCAAUUUUCACAAUACAAACAGAGGCUUAGAUUAGCUCUAAAACACAUAAUUUUGGUAUUUAAGAAAAAGAAUUGGCUCAUUUUAACAUAAAACUGAAAGUCAAGUUCAUUCGGAGAUUGAGUUAUUGUUUAUCAUUGAUAGCUUAAGGAUUUAAAUCUAAAUUUUAUACAGAAAAAUUGAUCAAUUAUGCCCUAAUAUUCUUUUGUGUCUAUUAAUUUGAAUUUAAAGGUAUAAUUUAAUUUAUAAAAUUGCUUGAAAAUAUUAAUUAAAGAUUAAUAAAAUGAUAAAUUAAAACUAUCAAUUGAAUAAGUGAAAUAACCUCAUGCAAUUAUAAUAAAAAUAGAAUAUAGUUAUUUUCAAAUAAUUAAAAGAAUAUAACAAAAAAAUUAUUAAAUAAAUGUUAACUUCAAAUAAUUAACAAAAAAUGAAAAAUAUAAAAAUAUUAUUAAUUAAUUAUUACAUUUUUACUAAAAAUUUUUAGAUUCAAAUCAUAAAAUCAACUAGAUACAUGCACUUUCUGUAAAAAAAAAAUUAUGUGAUUUAUAUUUUAAAAAUAAAAAAUUUUUACCCGGAUAGCUGGACGUUUUUACUAGUGUAAUUGUCCAUUUUUUUUUAUGAGAGGGAUACUUAGGACAACAGAACUAGGUUAUUUAACAAUUUAGUAUAGUUUCAACUUUUAAUCAUAUUGGCAAUAAAUAAGAUCCUAUGAAAUUUUAUAGUAUCAUCUCAUUCAAUGAUUAUCCUUAUGAAAUAGGGUUAAAUUGAUUAACUAUUGUUACCAUUCAUUUUCAUAAUAAUGAAGUUAUUCUUAUAUAUGAAUUUAGGAAAGUGUUACUCAUUUAUUGAUAUUCGGUAUAAAUUUUGCUUAUAUAUGAAUUUAAGAAAGUGUUACCCAAUGCCUAACAAUAAUGGGUAACUGAUAUUUAAGAAAAACUAUAUAAUUAAUAUAUUAUUCUUAAUUAAGUAAAACUUAAGUGUUAAUUACAAAAAUUUUAAAUAAUAUUUUAUAUAUUCUUAUACAUAAUUUUAUAACCCACUCCGAUAGCAUUAAAUGACUUCAAAAUAAUUUGAGGGUUAACAUAAAAUUUUAAUAAAAAAUUUGAAAUAAUUAUGUAAAGGAUCCAAUUGGAUGUUUAUAAAAUUGUUUAAAGAUAUAAAAAUAUUAUUUACGAAAAAAUUUUACAUUUAAUAUAUUAUUUUACUAAAUUAAAAAAAUAAAACAUUAAUUAUAAUUUUUUAAAUAUGAUUUGAAUAAAUGUUACUAUCCAUUAAUUGACAUUUCAUCUUUUUAAUAGUAUGUUAAAUGUUCAAAGAAAUACACAUGCAUUUCAUACUCUUAAUUAUCUGUAAAAUUUUGACAAAUUAACCAUUAUUCAACUGUUCAUAAAACCAACGCUCUAAUUUAAAUUUUAUAAACGGUCAAAAAAUUAUUUAUGUGAGUAUUUUCUUUAGAUUCAAUGAAAUGAAAUGAAGAUUUACAACAGGAUAAAUGAGACAGAGAGUACAGAGUCAGGGAUGUGACAGCCAUCUAAUAACAAGUAGUGGGGGCAAAAAGGGUGACAAAAAACGAGCGCAGUGAGAGACAAUCCAUCAUUCAGAAUUAGAGGAAACGAGCGAGCUAGUUAACUUGGGUUGGGUUGAGGAUGAUGACUCAGUUGAGUUUGGUGGGAUAGUGAAGAGGAUAAUUAUAGUGUGAAGGUUUUAGUCGGGUUUUGCUAGGGAAAAAUGGUUUUCAGAAGCUUUUGGAGACAAAUCGCAAAUAUAUUUUUGGGUAUUUUUAUCAUUUAGACAAGUGAGGAUUGAGGGUGGAAUCAGUCUGCCACUCAUAAAACAUCUUUUCCUUUAAUUUUCUCUUCAAGUCCAUUUAUAUCAGGCUCUAAAACAGAUAAGAAUGGAUCGUAUACCAUACAAGAAAGGCCCAAUCUGAAAAAUUGUGGGCUGUAACCAUACCUCAACCUUUAGAAAUAUCAUAUAUACAACCAGUAAAUGAAAACUUGGUUAAAUUAAUAUGUUGAUUGGCCUCCAUUUGCUAAUCGAUAACUUAAGGUAGGAAUAAAAUUCAUUUCGGUGAAAUUAAAAAAAUAAAAAAUAAAAUAAUUAUUGUAAUAAUAAAAUUAAAAUUAAUAAUAAAUAUAUAUAUUUAAAUAAACUUUUUAAAAUAGAAUUGUGAACCUCUCACAUUAUUAGGGUAAGGAAAAAUUUAAGGGGCAAGUUGCUGCGAUUAAAAAAAUUUUUUAUAUUUUUGGUUGCAAUGAUCAAUUUUGAAAUGAAGUUCCCGUGUUGAGUUUAAGUCUUGGAGGGUUCAAUUUUGCGAAUAAGUUAUAAAAUGUCGUGUGUUUUCUUGGAAAAUGGAUGAAUAAUACGUAACAAUUUUUUAUUAACAUAUAUUGUAUAAAAAAGAUUUUCAUAAUUAGGUUAAAGUAGUUUAAGUUAUUAAUAGAGCUAUAAAGAUACAAUACUCUACUUUAAUUUUUUGUCUUUAGCUAUUCAUGUUGGGAUCAAGUCAAUAAUCAAAUAUAACGCAUUUAUAUGUAGUCAAAUAAGAUAAACAUCUAUGAUUUGAACAAAUGUUAGAAUAAGAUUUAAAAAAAAAUAAAAUUAUAAAAUUAUAUAUGUAAUAGACGAAAGUAAGAUAAAUAAAAAAUAAAUGGUUAUACUUUAAACAAAUGUUAAUCUAUUGUUAUCUUAAAAAAUAAAUUUGUUAGUUGCAGGCCUUAGACGGGGGGAAGGUAAUAAAAAAUUGCAGUAUUAGAGAACUCACUCUAUUUAUCUGGGAGUCAAAUAUAAAUAUUUAUGUCAUAAAUUAAUAAUAUAAAAACUAGAUUAUAAUUGUUCUAUUUCAAUGACUUUAAAACACAUAUCACAUAAUCUAAUGAUUUACUGCUUAGACAAGUAAUAUGGAUAUAAAUAAUAUAUUAGUAUUCAUAAAUUAUUCGAGUUCGAUUCGAAUAAAAUUUAAAUUCGAUUUAAUCAUUAUCGAGUCGAAUUCAACUUUAAGUAGUUUGACUCAUCAAUCGAGUCAAGUUUAAAAAUUUUUAUAUUCGGUUCGAGUAGUUCGUGAGUUUAAUCAAAUUUUUAUAUUUUAAUAAAUAAAAUAUCUUAAUCUCGAGUUCGAACACAAAUAAUCAAAUUUUUAUCGAAUAUAAUAAUCGAACUUAUUUUAUAUGUUAAUUGAAUUUAAUUAAACGAAUUCAAAUAAUUUAAUUUUUAUUUCAAAUUAAUUUUAAAUUAAAAAAAUAAAAUUUAAAUAAAUUCAAAUCAGAAUUCAAAUAAUUUAAUUUUUAUUUCAAAUUAAUUUUAAAUUAAAAAAAUAAAAUUUAAAUAAAUUCAAAUCAAAUUUUAAACGUAAAUUUUAAAUCAAAUUCAAAUUUAAAUUUAAUAUUAUAAAAUUUUAAAUUCGACUGAUUAUAUCUAUAUCAACCUUGAUAAUCGAGAAUUGUGAGGUGGUCAUGAUGCAUUAUGGGAUGCGUGCAACUAUUUUUCUAUUAAUUAAAUAAAAAACCAAGCAUUCUAACCUCAAAACUUAAAAUCCUCUUUAUUUUUUUUCUUAAAAAACAAAUAAUUUUUUUCAUCCUCUUAUAAAUAUUUUGGUACGUGGCGUGGAAUGUACAUGGUUAUGCAUAUAUUUUGUAAGCCAUUUUAAGAAUUUUAUUAUUAUUAUUAUUAUUAUUAUUAUUAUUAUUUUUCAAUCUAAUUAUAACUAUUUUGAAUAAUAAAUGGAUAAUAUGAUUGAUGCAGGUAAUAAUUUAGUUAAACUAUUAAUCGUUUUUUAAUGAAUUUUAUAAUUAAUUGAAUUUGCGAUAAAAGAUAGUAAAUAAAAAAUUAUUUUUAAAAUAAUAAUUUAAUUAAUCUUAACAAAUCAAUAAUCAAUAACUUAUUAUUAAAAGUAAGUUUCAAUUGGAUUGUAACAGGGAUACCACGUGGCCUCUCAGUGCGAAAACUUCCAAUUAUUUUAUAUUUGUACUUUUAGAAUAAUGUAUAGGGAAUGUGGGCAGCCUCAAAUGUCAAAAGCCCAAAAGAUUCAGGAAGGAAUCAGCUGCCUAACUUCAUAGAGCAAAGCCUGUAGCCCAUAUGGCCCACAUAUGUGAGUUAAAUUUAUGAAUUUAUUUCUUUCCUUUUUCAAGUCCCCUCCAAUACACAACUUUUAUGUUUGCAAACAACAUCCUUAUGAAUUUGGAGUAUUGGUUUGAUUUAUGCAAUUAUUUUUAGAUAAUAUUUAAUAAAUUUAAAAUUUUUUUUCAAAAGUUUUAAUAUUUUAUUCAAAAAGUAUCCAAAAAAAAAAAAAAUCACAUCCUUGCAUCGAUUCUCACCUCUACUUUUGCCAAACAGAAAUGAACUUCAAUGUGAUGAUGCAAAUUGCACAAAAACAAACCAUGAAAAUGUAUUUAGUUCAAUAAAAGAUCUUUGGGACCCCUUCGGCUAAGGCCUACAACAAUCGACCACCUUCACGUGAGCACCUUCUGUUGUCUCUCAUGUGUGCACUUAUGCUCAUCAUCAUUUCACCCCCUUCUCUUGCUUUCUAGUCUUCUUUUCAUCUUUUAAUUUCUUCUACAAUUUCAUCACACUUACAGCUUUAUUUUUUGCGAUGCUAUCAUAUGCUAAAGCAAAAGCUAAAGUAAAAAUUAUCUCAAAGAAGUAUUCACGUGAAUAAAAUAGAAACUAUAUGUAACCUACCAAUUUUCUGGUUCCUCUCCAUCAGUAUUAAUUCAUAAACAUAGAUGUAGGCAGCCGGCCAGCCAAGGCCAUCCUUUGUUUAGAAAAGAAAUUAUAAAAGAAAAAAAGAGUUACAUAAAAUGCAAUGUUUCACAUGACAAAAGGGAUAGGAAACUUUGAUCUUUUGGUAAAUCAUGUGCCCUACAGUUGUAGCUUAAUUUAGAAGCUUCAUCAUUCACUUUGUAUCCAAAACCAGCAUUGGCUUUGGAGUUUUAUGUUUUUUCAUCUUCGUUUUGAUUGAUAUGUUUUCUCAACUUCCAUUAGUGUUUAACUUAUUGAAAUCAAAAAGGUUGUAAUGUCCCUAACUUUCUUGUGAGAUACCAUUGAUGAUAGCUUAAUUAUAAGCCACCAAAGUCUGACCCCAUAGUUCCUAUUAUUUCAUGGACAUUGGAACUGUAAUUCAUGGCAAAGCUAAGCAAUGAUCAAACUAAUUUAGUGGAUUAAGGGUCCCUCUCAAAACCAAGUUAGAAAGGUGAGAUGAGAUUGUUUGUUGAUAAUAAUCCUCAUCUCCUCCAUCGGAAUUUACAAAAACUAUUAUCACCAACUUAAUAAGAAAAUCAAUGUUUCUAUAUGAAUUCGAAAUUUAUUUAAGUUAGUUUAUAUUUUUAAUAAAUAACAUUCAAUAAGUUUGAAAUUUAAAUUUUAACAUAUAUAAUCUUUUAUUUUAUUCUUAAAUUAUAACCUUACAAAGAGUAUCGAUUAAUUUUCAUUAUUUUUUUACUCUUUUCAUUUCAUUACCAUCAAACUAAUUCUUUCUUUAUAUUUGUUGACGAGAUAAAGACUUUAUUUUCUAUAAUUUUUAGAUUAUAGGGCUUUUCCUAAUCUCUCUUGCAGAUUAUAAAAUUAAAUGUUGAUUGAAUCUAAACGAUUACUAAAUAUGGCAUGGCCUCAUUGAUCAAUCAUUAAAACAAUUGAGGGUUUUCUCUUCCUUUCAUAUUAUAUGAAGAUACAUAUUAACUCUAAUUGAUGAAAUAAUAAUUAAAUUUUCAAUAGUAAAGCUGCAUGCAUGUGAUAUGCUUUUAUUUUUUGGUACAAAUGUUAGACAAUGUAGGAUAUAUGUAGCUUAAAAAUGAAAUAUUACAUGCAACCAAAAUUAAAUGCUAGAUCAAUGACAUUAUUAUAUAAGUUAUAACAAUGCAUGUUAGAAAUAAAUAAGAGCAAUACAUAGAUUCUAUAUGUUAUCCUUUACAAGAUAAGGGAAUUGGACAUUGAUGCAAGAAGCAGAGCACAUGAAGGACAUGGACCCUUGAAAUAACUGUUCGUGGCUGGCCAAGUUGGCCACGAAUCGAAUUACUCAAGGGCAGUUGAUUUUCUUUGUCUAAGAACAGAGCUGGCAUGAUCCUAGAAUGUGCCUUGGAUCAGUGGGUUGCACCCAGGCAAAAAAUAAGAAACUCAAUUUCAAACAAACCCUUUGUUUUUACUUGAUUUUGCUUCUAAACCUGACUUUUUUCAAGUCUAGAAUUACUAGAAAUUACAUUUUCAGUCAAAUUUUCAUCAAAGAACAUCAAUUUAUAUAUAAGCAAACGGAGCAAACGGAGCAAACGGAGCAAACAGAAGAGGAACAGGCAAGUGGCAUCCCACCAGCUGAUGGUGAAGGUGAGGCCCCACAUUCUGAAGAGCGGGGGGGGGGCAAGCAGUUAGGUCGGCAGUUGUUGUGAACGCUUGUGACUUUACAAAGACAUCAGAUUGUAACAAUAAAAAAUAAAAAAAUUCCAAUGUAUUUGUUGACAGAGGAAUCGACCGGUAGAUGGGCUGAGUCUGGCGUGGUGCGACUGCCUAUCUUGAACACGCAAGCUUUUUUACACUCAAUGUGGACUCUUUAUUGAAGGGGUGGUUUGGCUUUGGUUUCUGCUUUUGAGGGUAAGUUUAUAGAUACAUAUCUCACGCCCAACACAUGACAUGACCAGCUUUAAAGCCAAGUAAAGGACAUGAAAAUAUAAAUGUCGAAGCAACCCAACCAUAUAUGUUUGGUUUAAUUUCUCAGCUUCACCCUCUAUCUCUUUCCACGUUCCACCUUACACCAUUCAUGUAGUUAAUUCUCUACCUAAACCUUUUCCAUUUUUUCUCUAUUCUCUUCCCUUUUUUUGGAGUUUAUAAUUUUCCAUUAAAGAAGUUUAUUGCUUCGGCUUAGAUUGACAUGUUGAGUUUCGGAGUUGAUGAUCAAAAUUCUGAAAUUAUAAAAAAGAGAAUGAUUAAAAGUAAAAGUAAAUAAUAUUUUCUACAUUUACAUUAUGUACUCAAAUUACAAGUUAGAUAUAAGAAAUCAAAAAUAGAGUAAAAAAAAUAAAAAAAAUGCAUUAUAUAAUACUUAGAAGACUUUGUUUAUGAUUAGAAGAUGAGAGGUAUAUAAAAUAAAAUAAUAAUAUAAUCGAGCUAAUGUGAUAUUAUACAUAUUAGAUUGAUUUGAUGUGUCAGAUCAAUUUAAAAAUAAAAAUUUUUUUAAUUGUUUGUUAAUAGUUUUUAAUGAAAUAAAAUAUUAUUAUAUUUUUUGGAUUCAAAAAUACUUUGAACAAAACCAAAGAGUGGGUAUUUUGAAUAAAAAAAAAAAAAAAGAAGUUUGCUGUGAACAAAUCAGAGAAUUCGAUUUAUUGAGAAUAUGUGUAUUUAAUAACAUUAACAACAGUUUUCUGCCAUGGACCCAUGGUUCUCUCCUUCCAACCAAACGGUAUAUAAAUUUUGUACGUACUACUAUUAUUGUUAUGACUUCAAAAAGUUUACAAUUUUUGGUUGGCCCAAUGAAGACAAUAUAUCAUGGCCCAUUUCAUAACACAAUAUUAAAGACUAAUUUCAUUCUUGGUGAAAUUAAUUAAAAUGUUUAACUAAUUGAUUUUAUUCCAUAACGAACAAAAAUCUGAUUGAACAUCAUAAUAUUAAUUGUCAUUAAAUAAAAGCAUUAGGGAUUUAGAUAAACAAUUUGCAUAUUAAGAUUUAUAAAAUUUUUAUUUUUUAUUUUUACAUAGAAAUAGUGAUUUUUAUGCUACGAAUUUAAGAUUUUUAUGCAAAUUUCAUCCUAAUUACUUAAAUUAUUGUCAAGUAGAUAAAUUUGAAAUUUAAACUUUAAUCUAUAACUCAAAUCACGCACCUAUAGUCUAUUUUCUUGUUUUUAUAUUGUGAUAUUUUUGGUACAACAAAAUUUUGAUUAAGUAAUUUUAUUUUUAUGUUUAAAGUACUAUUUCUCUAAUAAAAUUUAAUAUUUCUCCUUUCAUUUUUUUUAUUUUUAAUGUAUUUUAAAAGGAAAAAUAGAAAAAAGGAAUGAUGUAUACAAGAAAAGACAUUAAUUUAAAUUUACGUAAAUUGAUAGUAAAAUUUAUAAGAGACUAAGGCAGAAUUUUUUCGGUUAAAAUGUCAUUUUCUAGUGAUUAGUAUAUAAUUUAGAAAAAUAAUAAGUAAUAUCAUUAAUUAACUAAUUAAUUAGUCGGAGAGGCUGACCAUCGGCAACAUGCACUAGCAAAGCUGAAAACCCAAUUAAUUACCAAAAUACCUGUCUUAUUUUCCUGAAUUGCCUAUUAUACCCCAGGACUCCAAAACUUUCUGACUACACCAAUUAUUGUGGCCAAAUUUACAGUAAUGACAUAAAUGCUAACAGACUUUGAUGAAAAUGUAAUAUCUAAAAUUAUUUUGUAUGAUCCCAUUUAUGUAAUUUUAAUGCAAAAAAAAAAAAGAAAAGGACCAUGUAAAAUUAUUUUUUUGAAAUGCAUAUGUUUCACCUUUAUUUGAACGUUUCUUCAAAUAGACUUGGAAGAAAAGGAUGUUGAAAUAUAUUUUUAUUACAUAUAUGAAUUUUAGGGAAUGUUAGGGGACUAAGGGCCCUAUAUCUUUAUCUUUGAAAAAUAAUUAAAUUACUGGUUCAAAAAAAGGGAUUAUUGAGUAAAGAAAAUAAUAUAAUCCCCCAAAUUGAAGCUCUUAGUGGGGCUUAAAAUUAUGGGUAUAAAUUAUAUAUUAAUACUCGUAAGUUAUUCGGAUUCGAUUCGAAAAAAAAAUUGAAUUUAGUUCGAUUAUUAUCGAGUCCAGCUGAAUUCGAGUAUUUUUAUAUUCGAUUCGAAUAACUCGAGAGCCUAAUCGAACUUUUAUAUUUAAAUAUAUUUUUAUUAUUUUAAUUAAUAAAAUAUUUCAAAUUCGAGUUCGAAUAUAAAUAAUCAAACUUUUAUUGAGUAUACGAAUUAAGCUUAUUUUUACAUAUUAAUCGAACUUAAUCGAGCGAAUUCGAGUUGCUCGAAUUCGAUCACAAAUCGAGUUUGAGCUUGAAACAUAAAAUUCGAUUGAGUUCGAACCGAAUAUCGAGUUACGAGUUGUGAGUUGAAUUUGAGCUCGAACUUUUCAUUGUAUCGACUCAACUCGACUUGAUUACACCUUUACUUAAAACACACAAAAAAAAAUCCACGAAAAUUAUAUAACCUAAUAUUCAAUAAUUCAAAAUAUUGAAAUCAAUUUUCGAUUUUGAGCUCAAAUCAACAUUAAAUUUCAUGAUUUCCCUCUUUGUGAUUAGUUAUAAUCCCUUUCUUUAUUAUCGAUUUUUUUAAUAUCUAUUUUUAUAAUUAGUAUUUUUAAUCAUUUAACUUAAAAAAUUAUCUUAGUUAUUAUCAAUAAAAUUUUUAAAUUUCAUGAACAAGUCAAUAAGAUGAUAUAUAUUUAAAAUAUAUUAAAAUAAUUAAUUAAAAAAAUAAAGUAUAUGUAUAAAUAUUUGAAUUUCACUUAUAAAAUUAAAAGAUUAAGAAUAUAUAAAAACAAACUCUAAAAAAUUUAAAAAAUUAAUAAAAUUAUACUCACAUUAGCAAUAUCCAUUAAAGAAAAGUACAAAACAAAUAUAUUGUAAUUUCUUGAAUUUCCAAUAUAGAACUUCCUUUUCAUCUAUCAGUUUCCGUAUUUUUUUGUAUUUUAACCGUAUUCCAACUUUUUUGGCUAUAAGGCCUCAGUAAUUAAUAUUUUUUAUUUUUUCUUACAAGCACGUGAAAUAAUGAAAGUACUACUCGAAUUUUAUAUCGUCGUUUAACAUGUAAUUUAUAAUUUUAAAUUUGGUCCUGUUAAAAAAAUAUUUUCUACCCGUUUGACCCCCGACGUUACGCUAGAAUAUUUGCCAAAAGAAAACUGGCAAGGGGCAUUAAUGUCACAUGGUGACCUCUACUUACUGUUCCCUUGACCCAAAACAAAUAAAUAAUUGUCCUCACCAAAUACUAAGCCUCGAUUAAAUUAAUUAAUCACAAAGAAGCUUCUUCUUCAAAAUUUUGAAUUUUUUAUUUUCCAUUUCUUUCUUUUUUUUUUUUAAUUUAAAAUAUGUGCAAUCUCUUUCACCAUAGACUGUUACAACUUACAAUUAGAAAGCAGAGAGAGAAGAAAGAUCUGCUCUCUUUCAACGCUUGCGUGUUUCUUGAGUUCUUGACUCGGUUCUGCUCGCAUUGAACCAGCUUGCUGCUGUUUAGCUGAAACUCUGCGUGUAGACUGGUGCAAUAGGCUUGGUUUUCCCAUGCGGGUUUGCGUUUUGAUUGAAAUUAAGGCAUUGGAUCCAGCGAUCGAAUAAAUGGCGGUUUUCCGGUGAGCGUCGCCGGAGCUCCGGUAAGAGUCCGGGAAUUCCGGUGGAUUUUGCUGCGGAGAUGUUUAAGUCGGCGAGAUGGAGGGGCGACAAGAACAGGAUCAAAGCUGUCUUCAAGUUGCAGUUCCAUGCUACUCAAGUACUCUCAUUCUUUCAAAUUCUUCUUUGUUUUACAAAAAAUCAUAUUAAUUCAAUAUUUUCUUGCAAUUCUAUUUAUUUAUCUUUGUUUGUUAGCUUCAUUUCUGAGAAAAUGCAGCUCAAACGGAAAAAAGAGUUUGAUUCAAUUGUUCUCUAACGCUGCUUGAGCUAUUUUGUUUGGGUUAUAUUUUUUUUUCAAAAAAAUUAAUUAUUAAUAAUUACUUUAUUUUUGUAAGAAAAUUUAACAAAUACAUAUUAAUUAUUUUCUAUGUGAUUGAAUAAUUUAAAAAAUGUUUUAUUUUCUUUGUAAUUUAGGUGACGCAGUUAAAUGUGCAAGCAUUGAUGAUAUCAAUAAUUCCUGGCGAUGAAGGAAAAUCGACAACAAAAUUAGAAAAGGCGACGGUUCAGGACGGUAACUGUCGAUGGGAAAAUCCAGUCUACGAGACUGUUAAAUUUGUUCGGGACCCAAAAACUGGGAAGAUCAAUGAAAGAAUCUAUCAUUUUAUUUUAUCAUCAGUACGAUUUUUCCUUUUUGAUGAAUUUAUAUUAUUUGUGUUUUUGUGAUGUAAAUUGUAUGUAAUAUUUUAUAUGUCUGUUGUAGGGAUUGGGAAAAGGAGGUUUGAUUGGGGAAGCUUCAACUGAUUUUGCUGCUUAUGCUGAGGCAAUUAAAACUUCCACCAUUUCUCUUCCAUUGAAGAAUUCAAACUCUAAAGCAAUUUUGCAUGUUAGUUUACUCUCUCUGUUUCUCUCUCAUAUUUAUAUGUGUCACGGAUUACUUCUGGCAGGCUUUUUCUAAAAUCGUUCCUCAUAUUUUAAUGUUGAUUGAUGUUUAAAAAUUGAAUUCAAGUUGUUGGUUUUGAACAGGUCUCAAUACAGAGGUUGCAGGAAAAUGAUGAUCAAAGGUAAAAGCUUGUCACUUUCUAUUGAAUUCUCAGAGCUAUUGGAGGUUGUUUCUGGAAUCUGGAGUGUUUGUUUGCGAGCUUGACUUUGAUAAUUUUUGCAGAGAGUUGGAAAAAAUUGAAGUUGCAAAUAUUAAAUCGCAAGAUAGGAGCUUGAACGCCCGCUUGAGCAAUGGUGAUACGGUUGAAAGCACUAAGAAUGAUCCCAUUGAAGUAAGUCUCCUAUCCCAUUUAGUGAAGCCGUUGAUUUUGGGUUUCUUUUUGCUGUUGUUAUUUAGACCAUUUUCUUCUCCUCAACUUUUUGUCUCUUGAUAUGCGCUUGGUAUCAAAGCUAUUUGAAAAUGGGUUUGCUUGUUUUACUUAUUUGUUUAUUUAUUAUCUUUUCAACAGGAUGUGCCUUGCAGCAAAACUACCCACAAUGUUGAAUUGCGUGGGAACCAUAGGGGAUCUAAUGGAUCUGAUAUUACCGUUUCAAGUUCUGAUAGUAGCUCUGGACUUAAUACUCCACGAGAACUUGGAAUGAGGAAUGGCAACAUCAAUCUGGAUCCUCCUUAUCUGUCAUCUAUGAAUAACGCCUCAGUUACUCCUAAACCAACACCAAUUGCCUCAACAACAAUCUAUGAGGAGUGGUCGGCAGGUUCUGAUCAGGGAAUGAGUACUGAUGACUCUAACAGUUCUCAGGACACGUUUCCACGAGAAAACUCCCAACUUGGUUCAGAUAAAGAGAUUGAAAAGCUCAAGAAUGAGCUCCUUGCUUUGUCCAGGCAAGUGGAUGUGUCAGAUUUGGAGUUGCAGACUCUCAGAAAGCAAAUUAUAAAGGAGAGCAAAAGGGGACAGGAUCUCUCACGGGAAGUUGUUAUUUUGAAAGAAGAGAGAGAUGCGCUCAAAUUAGAGUGUGAGAAACUGAAGGCCUUUCAGAAGCGAAUGGAUGAUGCAAAAGUUAAAAGCAGGCUGCAGUUUCAGAGUGGGGACCCCUGGUUUCUUGUUGAAGAAAUCAGACAAGAGCUAAAUUACGAGAAGGACCUGAAUUCCAAUCUUCGGUUACAACUACAGAAGACACAGGAAUCAAAUGCUGAGUUAAUCCUAGCUGUACAAGACCUUGAAGAAAUGUUGGAUGCAAAGAAUACGAAGGUAACCAAUCCUCCCAACAAAUCAGGAUCCCAUGGCGAUGCUGAAGAAUUGAGUGGAGCCAUCUCAAGAAGUGACACAGAUGAGGAUGAAGAGCAGAGGGCAUUGGAACAGCUUGUUAAAGAACACAGAGACACCAAGGAAACCUCUCUCCUGGAACGAAAAAUCAUGGACCUCUACAGUGAGAUAGAGAUCUAUAAGAGAGAUAAAGAUGAGCUUGAGGUACAUAUGGAGCAGCUAGCACUUGAUUAUGAGAUACUGAAGCAGGAAAAUCACGACAUGUCAUACAAAUUGGAGCAAAGCCAGCUGCAAGAACAACUGAAGAUGCAGUAUGAGUGCCCAUCUUCUUUUGCUAACAUAAAUGAACUUGAGACCCAAAUUGAGUUCUUGGAAAGCGAACUCGACAAGCAAUCAAAAGAAUUCUCUGACUCUUUAGUCACCAUAAAUGAACUAGAAACCCACGUCAAAAGCUUGGAGAAAGAGUUAGAGAAACAGGCACAACUAUUUGAAAUGGAUCUAGAAUCUAUUACACGAGUCAAAAUUGAACAGGAGCAAAGAGCUAUCCGGGCUGAGGAAGCCUUGCGAAUGACAAGAUGGAAGAAUGCAAAUACAGCUGAAAGGCUACAGGAAGAAUUUAAAAGGCUUUCCAUGCAGAUGGCCUCUAUGUUUGAUGCAAAUGAGAAGGUGACUACAAAAGCUCUGACUGAAGCUAGUGAACUACGCUUGCUGAAAAAUCAGCUGGAGGAACUGCUCAAAAAAGCUAAAGAAGAGUUCCAAUCAGUUAGAGAGGAUUACGAGGCAAAACUCCGUAACCUUUCCAAUCUAGUAAAUUUAAAAUCAAAUCAGAUAGAACAGAUGUUGAAGGAAAUAGAUGAUAUAUCUAAGCAGCUUGAACAUCAAAAGAAGCAUGAGGAAGAAGUUAGUGGGGCUUUUUCCCAGGAGAUCUGCAGCCUAAAAGCUGAGAUUGACAAGCUGACUAUGGAAAAGGAAUGCCUCCGUGAACAAGCUGAAGAGGCAGAAAAAUUCAGACUUGAGUUGGAACAGACAAAAGCAUUUGCUAAAGAAACUGAAGUGCUGGUGCAAAGAGGAAAUUUAGAAAGAAAUGAGCUGGUAAGUGCAAUUGCUUUGAUGAAAAAGGAAUCAGCUAAGUCACUGGACGAAUUGCAAAGAAUGAGGCAUUUGAGGGAUGAAAAAGAAGCUGCAGUUGAAUCCUUCCAAUCAGAGUUGAACACCCUCAAAAGUCAGUGCAAUAAAUUGAAACAUUCUUUGUUCGAGGAUGAAGUAGAGAAAGAAAAACUCAGGAAGCAAGUAGUUCAAUUAAAGGGUGACCUUAAGAAGAAGGAAGAUGCACUUACUGGCAUGGAAAAGAAGCUGAAAGAGAGCAACGGAAGAGCAGCAGUUUCUGACGGAACAAGAACACCAUUAAGAAACAAUAAAUCUGCCACGGUUCCUCGCAUUCCUAAAGAGGUUGCAAGCCUGAGGGAGAAAAUAAAGUUGCUCGAGGUAAAUUUACACACAUCCAAGUUCUAUAUAAAAUCAAGUUCCUCUUUGAAACUGUUUGUUGGAAAUGGUCUACAAUCUCUGCUUUUCCAGUAACAGCAAUAUGGAGAUUCAUUAUCAUGCAGCAAUUUUCAUCCACAAAGGGAAAUUUGUAUUCAUAACGAUUUUUUUUCUCAUGGCAGGGACAAAUAAAGUUAAAGGAAACUGCCUUAGAAACAUCCACAAAUGUCUUUUUGGAAAAGGAAAAGGAUCUUCAGAAGAAAAUUGAUGAGUUAGAAAGCAGAGUAGAAGAACUCAAUGAGCAUAGCACCAGUUUCUGCGCGUACCAACUUCAAAAUGUGAGAGAUAUUAUAACUUGAUAAAAAAGAAAAAAAAAACAAAAUUUAAGGGAAACUCUGUUGUAUUAAUGAACAAUAUUUUGUAGUGUCAUUGCUGAAGUUAUGCAUUCUUCAUGGCAUCUAGAACUAAUGAUCUUGCUAUAUUAUUAAUUUAUGACCGUAUUCUUUGACCCUAACCAUUGUUUGGUUAUGGCUAGAAUGGCUUAAUGGAGUGUUACUUACAACUGUAUUUCUUGCUUUGACUUAUAUUUUCUUUAAAAUGGAUAAAAAAUGCAGAUAUUUAAAGAUUCCAAGGAGGUUAUAUCAGAUGGCGUGAUAUCCGAUGGGAAAGCAUGCAUAUCCAAAGAGAAUGGAAAUACGGUGCCUUCUGUGGAAAGGUAAGACUUGAAGAAAUAGAACUUUAGUUUCUGAGUCAGUUUUUCAAACUUGCUAAUUUUCUUCUUGGUAAUAGUUGGUUGAGGAGAAUAAAAAUACUAAGAAGAUUGUUGAAGAAACCCAAGAAAAGGGUAGGUAACUAAUAAUUACUUCCAUUGAUUUCUUAUCUACAGCACUGAUGACAAUAUGUCAGCGAAAGAAGAGAAAGCCUCUAUUGUCAAUAAAGACGGUAACCAGGGAGAAUUGAUAGCUGAACUGGCAUCAUUGAAGGAAAGAAACAAAUCUAUGGAAAACGAAUUGAAGGAUAUGCAAGAGCGAUAUUCCGAGAUAAGCCUCAAAUUCGCAGAGGUCGAAGGUGAACGACAACAACUUGUGAUGACUGUGCGUAACCUCAAGAAUGCCAAGAAGAGCUGAAAGCAUUGAAAUUCUUCAUAUACAAAAAUAGAAUGUAAAGAUGAAGUAACAGCUGGGUGUGCCCAUACGGAAAAUUUAGGUGUGACAGUUCCCUUUUAGAGUGAAAAUAAAUUAAGUUGUACAAAAUUUUAGUACGGAUAUCACCUCACCAGGUAGUUUCCAAAUGUAGGUAAGUUUUUUCUUUUAUUAUUCAUGUUUGAUUCUUGUCCUCCCCAUAAUUUUUCUUUUUUAUUGUCGUGGUGACAUUUUCCAGUAAUAUAAUUAUUUCAUUUUUUGAUAAAAUUGUUGAUAGAAUUUAAGAUUUGUUGUCUUAAUUCAAGAACACGUUCACAUCAUUGGGUUUUUUUUGUAUUUAUCUUUCAUUAGCCAGUACUUGUCUUUAAAAUCUGGAAAGAGGUCUGCCAGACCCUGAAUUGUUCUCAACCGAAUCCUUUUUUGUCUUUGAUAUUGUGCCAACAGCUCAAAUUGCGAUGCCUGUCCUAGCAACCCGGUUUCAGUUUUUUGGAUUUGUGGGAAUUUUGAGUUUUUCGAGUAAGAUCCUGGUGGUGGGUAAUCAUUUUUUUUAUUAUCUUCUGCAAAUCACAAGUUUUCUGACAAUGGGCAAAUCUUUCAGAUCUGAGUUUGGUUUCAUUUCAGUUUGAUUGGUUGUUGAAUGUUGGGCCUCGGAGUAUCCAAGCUGGGACAGGGAAUUUUGGCAGAUCAAACAUAACCAACACUUGGACAAAAAAGGUGGGCUCGUCCGGUCCAGGAAAGCAAUGUCGGGGCAAUUUCAGAUUUCAGUUUUCAGUUGUUGAGAAAUCAAAAGUGGAAAUAUAUAAUGCAUGUACUAUGUACUGUAUUUUGAUAAGAUAGGAGAACAAUGAUCUGAUCUUUUUCAUGCCAUGGACAACAAUAAUAACUUGGACAAAUUCUGACACUCACUCUAUGUUACAAACAUUGCCUUUGGGAAAACUAUGGAGAUUUUGUCUUUGUAUACAACUCUUUAAUUUUGUUUUUUUCUGUAGUUUUGGCAUUCCCUGUAUAUAACUGAAGAAUUGGGAACUGAAGUCAAUUCAGGCAGUCAGAAAUGGAUUUUAGAUUGGGUAGAGGAGAGCUGCUGACAAUUCCUUACUAAUGGUUUUUGAACCUGAUACUUUUCAAACACUUGUUCACAAUCUAUGAUGAAUUAGUCCAUAAACAGUGACCAAAGCCAUGAGAAGACAAUGAUCUACAUGUGGCUCAACUUCCGAGGUUAAUACAUCCUCUCCUAAUAGAACCCCUGAAGAUGACAGUUUCCUCUUUGCCUACACAAAAAUCAAAUUCAGAGCAAGCAAAACUUUGAGUAAUAAUAGAAUUAAAAACAAAAAUUUCAGGCCCAAAAAGACUCACCUCAGCAGCCACUUUUCCAUUGUCAUCUGUUAUUUUAAAAGCUGAUUUACCAGCUUCCAAGCCUUUUAUUCUAUAGCAGCUGCUUGCUUGGCCAAUAUUAUCAAAACAAAUCAUGAUUACUUGACAGGAUAAAUCUCCUUUAAGAAUAUUUCUCAAGUUUUUUCUUACUUGAAACUGCAGCUUCUCAUCAGUAUUCAGAUUUAAAUCAUUACAUCUAUCGCCCACCCAUCUUCUGAAAAACCAUUGUUUCUGCAAAAUGAAUUGUAACUACUUAGAACAUAUUUGGGCUCCAAUAUUUCAUUAUAAGUUUCGAACAAACUUUCAAAUACCUUUCUUAAUAUGGUGAAGAGAACUUUGCCUUGAAGAUCCAUGAGGUAAACUUCAUUGCUGCAUUUUUUAUCAUAAUUAUCAAUUCGAUAAACAAUCUCACCAUUUUCAUUAUAAACAGUGCAUCCAUUUCCUUGCAUCACAAGGGAUUUCAUCCAUACGGUGAAUGUUUCUCUCCUUGAAGUGACAUAAGAAGAAGAAGAAGAAGAAGAAGAGGAAGGAGGCGCAGUAGCAGCUGCAAUAUGAUGAACCUUGAUCAUUUUGAGAAAUAAAAUAAUUUUCUUUUCCAUGCCAAAAAAGCACUAUCUAGCUCUUUUUAAAAGAUCGAAGGAACUCUAGUCAACGUGUUUAAUAAUACCAUAGGAAAAAGUGCAAGAAUGUGAAGCCCGAAGAAUGAGAAAAAGGGCACUCAAAUAAUUGAAUCGGCAGGUUCUAUUAGUCCUUUAAACUUAUCACGUUCAUGUAUAGGAAGAGAUUCCAUUUCCCCUUUUUAACCGUUUUUGACUGCCUCUAUAACUAUUAGAUAAGCACUACGAUAAAACAAGAAUAAUAAGAAGAAACAAAUCCUAGAAUACAGUUUAAUAUUGGGUAAAUUUCAUCCAGGUCCUUAGAUUUUAACCUUAAUUCAGCUCAAGUCCAAAAUUAUGAAUUCAUCUUGCCGUUAACCCACCGUUAUUAUGACCGUUAAAGACACCCAUUUGACCAAAAACAUCAAACGAUUCUACCCUUCAGCAGCAAUUAGCGUUGGGUUUCUAUUUUUUAGAGAAAUUCAUUAUGGAAAAAAAAAAAAAAAAGGAAAUGUGAGAAAUAAGUUGAAAAUGAGAAUAUAUAUCUCUCUGUAUGUUCUAAAUAUUGCAUAUAAUGAAUAAAGUAAAUCUACAAUUUAUACAAUACAAAACAACUUUCUUACCAACAUAUUGCUUGAUUUGAUUUGGAGAUCAUAAUAAUUAAGGCAUUUUUUAUGGUUGGAGCUUGAUCUAUAUAGAUAUCAACAAAUUGUACAUAUAUAUAUAACUUGUUUUCUAAAUUGUAGAAGACUAGUAAUAAAAUAAAAAAAUUAAUUGAAGAAAAAACCCGAAAAAACAAAAUAUUAAAGAUGUUGUUCACACUAGUCAAAAAGCUUGAUAAAUCUAAUAUAUAUUAUAUAAUAAUAUACAUAAAUAAAUUUGCCACGUAGGCACUUAUGUGGACAACUCUUUUAAAUGAUACAUAGGAUAAUUUUUUUUAAAAAUAAGAUAGUGUCUUUUAAUUACGAAUUAGAUAAUCUUAAUUUUAUUCAAAUAUCAAAUUAUUCAAAUUAUAAUUAAAAAUCAAAUCAAUUUAGAGAUAUUUUUUAAAAAAUUAAAAAUAUAAAAUAUGAAUUUUAUUUUUUAAAAAAAUAUUUUUAGUUGUUUACCGAAUAACCUUAUUUAAAAAAUUAUUUAAUUAUUAAAAUCUUUGAAACAUAUUUAAAAAUUACAAAGAUUAAGUUUAUCCAAAUCUUUCAAUAAUCUUUUUCAUCUUUAUUUAAAAAAUUUACAUAUGACAUUAAAAAUUCAAGUAACUUUAUGUAGGAUUUUGACAAUUAAAAAAAUUUUCAUCUUAAAAUUUUAAAUCAUAAGAUCAUCAAAACGAUUAUAUCAAUUUGAACUCUAAUUAUCAAAUUUAUAUUUCAAAUAAAUACAAAAAAUUAAUUUUAUCUUUAUCACUUAUUAUAUCCAUUUUAAAAUUUAAAAAAAUGAAUUUAAAAAUUAUCUAUUUAAUCUUAAUUGUCACUAAAGAAUUCUUCUACAAAUUUAAAACUACAAAUGUAAUGUGUUAUACAUAAUUUUUUAUUUUUUCAGUAAUUUUUAAAAAUAUAUUGUAUUACUAUUACAAUUUUUUUUUGUUUAUAACUUUUUUUCAAGAUAUAUUUUAUUGUUAUUAUAGUUUCAUUCUUAUGAAAAAUAAUAUUUUUUUAAUUUAUUUUUUCUUCUUUCACAUAUUUUCUAAUAUUUUUCAUAUUUUACAUAAUAAUUUAGUUAAGAUUACUAAAGUAAAAGUAUGUUAAUACUUUUUUAUUAUUUAAUUUAUCAUUCAGUAAUAUAUAUUUUUAUUUUUUUAAAAAUACAUAAUUUAUUUUUAUUUGAUAUAAUCUGACAAGUGUAUAAAUAUUAUUGUAAACAAAAUAUAAAAAAGAAAGACAAUUUUUUUUUGUUGUUUUCAUAAAGUUUAUUUUUUAAUGACAAGUUAAUAUAUAUAAAUUUUAUAUGCUAUGAAUAUUAAAGAUUUUAAUAUAAUUUUUUAAAAAAAAACAAAUAUAUAUUUAUAUUAAAUAAAUAAAAUUAUUUUAUACAUCGCACGAAUUAUAAUCUAAUUUUAAUUAUAAACAAAUCCAAUUAACGGUUGAAGUGUGAAAGAAACGAUGGCCUUCAGUAUGUGAUUGCAGUUUGUAGCCUUAUUUUUUUUUUUGGCCCUGCCACAAUUCUACCUAAGUUCAAGGCUGGAGAGUCUGAUUACUACACUAAAUCCUACAUCUACACAUAAUAUAAUAUAGGGGCAACUGUAUUUUUUUUUAUACAUAAAAGAUCACAAUUUAAAAAUAAAAAAAUAUAUUACAGAUGUUAAAAUUUAAAUUUUAUUAAAUUUUAUUUCUUAAGAAUAACCGCAUAAUUCACAUUUUUUCCUCACAUUUUCACUUUAUUGAUCAAUAAAAUAGUCUAAAUUCCUCGAUCACAGACAUCAGAUGAGCAUAUAAAUGUAUACGGCUAGCUUUAUCUGAUCAGUGAAUGAAAAAUGAAUUAGUUGUUUUUUGAAUUUCUUUGCCUUAAUUUUAAUCCCUCCCAAGGCAACGACCAAAGCCAAGACAUUUCUCAUCGUAUGAGGGGAAAAUGUGAAUUAUUUUAACCAAAAAAAAAAAAAGAAAAAAAAUCAGAAACCAAAUUCAGAUGACAGUGUUUUGAUAUGAAUACAAUGAAGUAUGUCAUCAGCUUGUUCAGAGUGGUUGUGCUUGAUCAUGUCUUAAUAAUUAUUGAUAUAUUUCUUGUAUUGCACAUUUUUUUUAAUCUGUUGCAUCAACCAUGCAUUAUUUCCCCUUGAUUCUUGGAUAUAUUCUUGAAGAUCAUCAGUGAUCCAUUAUAUCUUGUUCUUUUUAUAUAUUUAUAUACCUUAUUAUAAUCUGAAAUGUGAAAUUUUAAUAAUUCUUCUUGAUAUUUUGUGUCAAAAACUUAUUAUAAUCUGAAGGUCUAUGUUCUAAUUUAUCAUUCUUUUCUAUACCUUCUCUUCCUAUCUAAUUAUUUUCUUCUGUCAAUUACAAUGACAUAACUAGCAUUGGUUUUCCACCACAAGGAAAUACCAAUCCUGAAAAAAAAAAAAAAUAUAUAUAUAUAUAUAUAUAUAUAUAUAGAGAGAGAGAGAGAGAGAGAUAAAAACUGAAAUAAAAAAAAUGAAAUUAUAUGUAAUAACUACACUUCUAUAUAUAUGGAAGAAGCCUUGUAUAUAUGCUAGCUUCACUUGCUUAGUUGCUUUCUCAUGCUGGGAAUUAUCUACAAUCUCCUAUUUAUCAAUCCAUAUACGGUAACGGGAGCAACGAUCAGGGAAUGAUCAAUAUAGGGCUCUACCUCCAGAGUUAAUACAUCAACUCCCAACACCGUACCAGAUGAUAAUUGCUUUUGCUUCACCUGCAAUAUUAACCCUUGAGAAGAAAUAUUAAAACUAAUAUAAUAAUUACUUAUAACACAGUAAUUUAUAUAGUUCUUGGUGUUUACCUCUGCUACAGUAUCUCCAUCUAAGUCUACUAUCUUAAAUCCCUUUUUCUUGUGACCUAAGCUAACUAUCCCGUACUUGUUCAAGCCCACAGUAACUUGACAAGCCGAAUCUCUCCGCAGAAUGCUGCAGUAUUUUUUAACUUGAAAGCAUGGCUUUUCCUUCUUUGUGCCAGUAAAGCUCCCUUUAUAUCCAUUCCAACAUCCAAAAAUUUGUAGUUUCUACAAAAACAGCCAAAGGAGAAAAAACCCAAAUUUCAGUUAAGAGUCUUCUCUCUAAAAAUUUAGCUAUGGUCUAGUACCCUUUUUAGUAUUGUAAACAGAAUUUUGCCGCGCAGGCCCAUCAGAUGAACUUCACUGCUACCUUUGCUGUCAUAAUUUUCGACACGGUACAAAAUGUCCCCUUUUGAAUCAAAGACAGUGCAACCAUUGGUGUGGCAUACAAGAGAUUUCAUCCAUAUAGUGAAUGUUUCUCUUCCUGCAGAACUCAUAUUGCAGGAGUCAGAAACUGGUGCCUCAGCGGCAGGAUGAACCUUAGCCAUCGAAAUUUGAAGGGAAAGUCAGAAAGUUGAGGUAAUUUGAAAAUGAGAAAGGCCGGCCAGAGGCUAUUUAUAUGCUCCUAGGAACCGAGCUGUUACUUAAAUUAUUACAAAAAAACAAUGCAACGUAACGGUCAUGGAGUUCCAUAAAAUAAUUGGAAAAGAAAAUAUUAAGCUUCUCAGUCAACUUUAAUAUUGAUCUUUUAUGUAGUUAAGGCUCCAAAAGAGUACGUUUCUAAAACCAUGUCAACAUGUGGAAGGCCAGAAAGAGAAUAUAUUUCUGCAGAGCUGAUUAAAUGCACGUUUUUCUGAACAAAAUAGAGUAGUUUAAUCACUCAGGAAAGAUCAACUCUUUUGAGCCUAUCUCUAUAUAAAAAUUCUACUUGUAGUUCUAAAAUUUUUCAGUAUAUUAUUGAUUAAUAUAUUGGAUUAGAGUUUGUUGAUGUCAUAAGGAAAAGGGACAGGAAAAUAUUUUUGUUUCAAGUUUCUAUCUGUGGUCAUAUCCUUAUCCGUUCAAUGAUGUUGCUUUAUGCUUUUCUAAUAUUUCUGAUGAGAUGCAAGCAACCAAACUCUAAGAUUAUCUUUAUAUAUAAACAAAUAAUAAUAAUAAACAAUAAACUAAUCUUCUACAAAUGUUUUACCAAACAAAUUACUGAUUCAUAUUCCACUAUAACAUGGCAAGGUACUGUCAUGUUGUUUUGAAAUUCCUUGUGGGAUUUCAGGAAAAAACAGAAGUUUAUAAAUAAAUAAUUAUAGGUUGAGUUUGGAGAUUAAUUUUUUUUUAGUAUUAGUAAUUGGUUGAUUGUUUUAGUUAAAGCUGUAGAAUUUGAGUUUAGUCACCAUUGACCAUUGUGUAAGUUAAAGAUGGAUUUUAUAAAACUCAAAAGCAAUACUUUUAUAAUUUUUGAAGAUCUAUCAUAAUUAGUGAGCUUAUCAAGUAACUCAGAUUAACGAAUUAAGUCAACAGACAUAAUUAAAUAAAAUAUCAUCACAUUAUUAAAUUCAAGGGAAAAUAUGUAAAUAAAAGAAUAAAAUAAAUUGUAUUCUCUACUCUCUAAUACAAUAACGCUAUCAGCUGAAGACGUUCCAUUAUUUUAUGUGUAAAAAACUUUAAAACUUUAUCCUAAAUUAUAGUAAUUUAAAAUUACACAUUCCAUUAAAAAAUCCAGCCUCCUUUUCCAUUUUUUUUUUCAACUUCCGAGUAAUUGUUUCUAUAGGCUUUAAUUUUGUCGUCUCAAAAUAGCUAACUUAAAUGUUGUACGAGUCCCACCUCGCCGCCUGAAAUGGCUAAUGCAUGAAGCAGCUAAACCACAACAAAUGGGCCUACUUAACCGGAAAGUUUCUUCAAUUGGGCUUUAGACCUUUAAUCAUUAAGAUGGCUACAUCAGCAGUUCGGUACCUUUCUUACCUAUCAACUAAACUUAGCCCAAAGUCUAAUAAUUGGCUCAAUUUUAUAGGAUUUGAUUAAUUUAACGAAAUUGCAUUUUAUAUACCGUCCGCUGGAAUUUAAACACAUUAAAGAUAUUAUUAUAUUUAUCCAUUGGGCAUUAAUUUAAAUGGCAUGCAUGCUAUUGAGAUUCUGAAAUUGUGGAUUGAAGAGGAUUUAAACACGUAAUUGAUAUUUUCGAAUAAUUUCAUUGACGAAAUUUUUUAAAAUAAUCUUUUAAUAUUAAUUCAUUUUAUGUGUGGGAUUAGAGUUUUAGAUUUGAGGUUUUCAUAAACCCUAAAAUGUAAAAAUAAAUCAAAGGUUAGAUCAAUUCUUAUUAGGUACAAGAUAUCCCCGAAUAAUUUCUCAAAAAUAGCCUUGCCUGUGAAUUUCAAUAUAUUCUGCUUCUUCUUCUUCUUUUUUUUUUUUUAAUUCUUUUGUGCUGAUGAGAAGCUUUGUCAUGUCAUGUAUUCCAACAAGAAUGUCACCUAAGGGAAAUGGUUGAUAGUGGCAAUCACAUUGUUCUCUUUAUUUAAUGCUUCUCUAAAUAAAUUGGGUUUCUUUAUUGGCAGACCAAAAGUAAACUUCAUUUGGUGUCAAAGUAGAUGGAAAAAACGCAUAACAAUUUUAUAAAAAUAAAAAAUAAAAACAUGACACUGAUUUAUUUCUUAAUAUUUCCCAACUAGAAAUCGAUGUAGAUGAACUUUAUUAGCAUAUAGUUUUGUUAGAUUUUUUUAUACAAAAAAAGUCAUAAUACGAAGAUAUGAAAAAGAUAUUAUAAAUAAUAAAUAAUAAAUUUUAAUUUUUAAAUUUAUUGAAUAUUACUUGAUUGCACGAAUCAAUUGAAUUAAAUUUCGGAUUAAAAUCUUAUUUAACUUUUAUAUUAACAUAAAGUGACAGAUUACAAUGAACUAUUUUUUGGGGUGAUUAGUCAAAGCAUUUUUUCCCCUUCUUUUUUUAGUAUUCAUUAGCUUGAAAGAAUGAAAUCUUUAAAAAGUUGAUGAUCAAUUUAAUGCUUCUUUUCUGAAACAAUCAAACAAAUGUUAGUGGAAUUUCUAGCAAUCCAAUGGAUUCCAGGCAAUAUAGCAUCAUUUAAAAUUUGUUUCCCGAAAUUUUGAACCGUAUAUUUGUAUGAUCAAUUUCUAUAAGCUGAUGCCAAACAUUUUGUCUGGAACUGAACUUUUGCAGCCUGGCUGACUAGGAAAUUUAAACUAAGUUGGCUUAUGAUGAUGAAAUUCAAUUUUAUAUUAUGAUUUGAAUGUUUUCUAUUGACAAGUUGUGAGCUUUCGAAUAAUCAUUUUAAUGUAAUUGCGAUGUAUGAUUAAUGCUACCGUAUUCAAGUUUUCUAGUUGCUACCGCAAGCUUAGUGGCCAAAUAAGACUGCUCUAAGCGUCAUCUCUGCACUUAGAGAAAGAAAAUGGGGAAGCAUGGGUUUUAGAUUUAUUAAUGGUGAACAAUAUUGUCGUUGCAUUCACCAUACUGGCAAAUGGGAUUUUGCUAUGCAUUUCCCUGAAAUGUAGGGACAAAAUCUUGAGCUACUAAAAUUUAUUCUUUCACAUACAAACAUACAAGGACAAGAUUUGACCUCUUUGAGUGUGGUCUAUUCUGAUGAGAAACUAUUUCCAAAUUGUUCAUGGAAUGAAACGCAAAUCCUUGUUAGGCUGUGAUUAUCAAACUUCAGGCAAGGAAGAAAGGGCUUGACUCUCCAGAGUCCAAACUAUCUUAACGCAUGCGUGAUACAAAAUGUUACCUUCAGCCUCAGGUGAGACAUUCAAAUGUGACAGUCAUUGAUUUCCUACGGUUUUACAAUUACUUCCAUUUGUGAAGAUGUUUGGACCGGAACCGUGUCGAUCAAUCGCCCACAGUUGAGUGACAGUAAAUGCAAAUAUUAAUGUAAAUUGACUUGCAAUUCACCACCAUGGAAACAAUCCAAUGCUGCGGGGUUUUUUCCAAUUUUCUGGCAGUUGACCUGAAAAGCUCUUUCCUCCUUUAAUGAAAUUGGUUUUAACUUUGAAUUGCAGUGAUUAAGUCCAAACAGUAAAAUACUAUUAGUAUAUGACAAUACUUGUAUGAAUUUUUCAAAACGAAACCGAGCAGAAAAACAAUGUGGAUUCAUGCAAAUCCAAAGCUAAUAUAAAUAAUUGAGUACGUAUAAUUAUAUGCAGACACUGCAAACCUUAAUUUCUAUAGACAUACAGAAAAAGGAACUAAAUUUUGUCAUUUCUUUUCAUCUUUCUUUUCUUCCUUAGCUGGUCCAACAGUAACAAUGUCUACUUUCCCUAUUUUCUUCAGUUUUUUGGCUAUUACAACCGUGUCCAUCUCUCCAAUGAUAGUCAGCUUUUGCUCCUUUAAGUCCGCCGCAAUUGAAUCAACGCCUGUUCAUCAAAUUAAUUCCCGAUUACACUGACCAACUAGUAGAAAUUAAGUACCUGUAGUACUAGUAUCAUAUUGCAAGCCAUGUUUCAGGAAUAAAAUUAGAACAAAAAUAGUCUGCUGAUUACCAUAAAUGUCGGCAACAGCCUCUAUGGCUUUUUUCUUUGUCUUCUCAUCAUUCAUGGUCAUGAUUUUCAACACUACCUUCUGCAAUGCGGGAUUAAAAAUUAGUAUUAUAUAUCCUAGAAAAAAAAAAUAAUUACAUUUCUGAUGAGGACAAGGAAAUGAAAGUACCUGAGUCAUGUAGGAUAUUGAUCAGGAAUUCAGGAUACAAGAAAUGGAUGCAACAGAAAUAAGUUACAAGAGCUAGACCAGAACUCAGUUGAAUAGGCCUUAAGAGGGGGAGGGUCCAGGGAAGUUGCACAUUUUUAUGUACAGCUACGACAAUGGCUUAGAUCAGCAAGAGCUAUAUAUUAUCAAAGUUGUUGCCCACUAUGAAUAAUGAGCGCCCAUUUUCUUUUGUUUUUUAUGGAUCCCAUUCAUUCAGUGAUGAAUGAAUUAAAAACUUGCCACUUUUUCACGCACUGGCUUACGUUCAAAAUCUGAGUUUACAAGCAACAUCAUUUUUUUUUUAUUUUAUAAUUACUGCAGUGAUAUUCAUAUUCUACUCUAUUUUGUUGCUGCUGAACUAUUGUAUGCUAAUAUCAAACUAAUUAUUGGAAAUAAUUCUCGUUAAUUUAUUGGCUCCUGCAGGUACCCUAAAUCAUUUUCUUAUAGCACUUCAAUCAUCAUUUUCUGGACAAAUUCUCUUUGCUAGCUGUAACCUUAUUUGCGGUCCAACCGACAACAAUUGGAGUCAUGAUUGGAAGAUUAGGUUACCCCAUGAAACACUCAACUCCUAACAAAAAAAAUCAGAGAAUUAACAAGAUUGCACUAAUAAAACAAGUAUUCUGCUGUCUUUUGCCGACUCUUUGGAGUCAGGAGCCAAAUAAUACACUAAUUUAAUACAUUGAGCUCCAGAAGUUUUCAGACUGAAUCGAGAAGUAGUAGAAGAAGAAUGAAGUGUUUUUGCAUUAAUCUGAGUGGAAAUGUUUAUUCGUAGCAAUUUUAUUGAGAUUUAUCAGACUGCAUUAUAUCUCUGCUGUGGACCCUGCAGACAUUUCCUUUCCUCCCUUCUUACAUUAUAAAAGCUGGGCCACCCUGUGUCUUUCAAUUGUUGACACAUGACAGCAUUAAUCUUUCAUCCACCUUAGCCUCGUCUAUCCUUCAAGACCAACCUUUUGGCAACCAAAUGCACUAUGUCUUGAAGAGGCCUAGCUUCUUCAUUUGCAAAGAUUAAUACUAGUAAAUAGUGUUUGAGGUAUUUACGGUGAUUUUAGAUUCGACAAAAAUGACAUCGUACAAAAAUUAUAAAAAAAUACAAUAGUAUAAUUUAAAAUUUUAAUAAAAAUUAUAUUUAAAUUUUAAAAAAUAUUUACAAUAAUUUUCACAUCUCCCCGUUUACUUUCUGCCGUCUGGUAUUGUCUACUGGAAGCCAAUUAUUAUGAUUGUAGCGGUCAAUCUGUUACUCAGACCGUCCCUAGAAAAUACCAAUGCUUUUUACGGAGAGAUGGGUUCUGGUCUCAGACUCUAAGUUAUCUCCUGACGCAACUCUUUUGGCCAUUAGCUAACCACGUAUAUCUCACCAUUCUUUACUGCUCAAGAAAUUUACUUGGAGCUUGUUCACUUGCCUUUCUCUUUGCCUUCAUCAACAAGAAAAUAGUGUAGUACUAAAAACAAUAAUUGGUGAGAGAAGCAGGCGUUAUCAACCGGAGAAUUGAAGCUGCAUUUUUUAAAAAAUUUUCAACAGUUUGGUGAAACAAGAAUAAAUGGAAGGAUUCUGAUGUAAAAGCUGCAAUUCAGUGAAGAAUUCAUGUUGCACGGAUCUGGGCUGGCUAGACAUUUCUUGGAGAUACCUCUUUGGCGACCUCCAUUGAAAAGAAAACCUGUAACAACUGCAACUCUUCUCGUCUUAACUGUUUUUCUGGUGGCCGCCUUUACAUCUUCCUUAUGGAUUGACACUGUAAGUACUGAAAUUCCCACAAUUACUUGAAUCUUGCACUAACAUCUUUCUAUUGGCCGGAUUGGCUGAAAACCAAUUUUCAGAAUCUUUAUGGUAGAUAGUGCAAUUUUUAAUUCAUGUUUAGUUUAGUUGAGCCCUUUUUUUUUUUUUUUGCAGUCUAGGUUUUUUAUUGAGAAUUUAACAAACAAGACCAUAAUAAUAUCAGAAAAGCCGAAAAUUCCCAUAAAGAAAAUUGAAAUCCCACUCAUCUGCACCAGCGAAAACCAGACACAAACCUGUCCAACAAAUUACCCCAAGACAUUCCAAACAGAAGACCUUGACCCUUCAUCCAACCCUGUUUGCCCUGAUUAUUUUAGAUGGAUCCACGAAGAUUUACUUCCCUGGAAAAGCUCAGGAAUCACCAGGGACAUGGUGGAAAGAGCUAAUAGAACAGCAACAUUUCGCCUGAUAAUCAUUGGGGGCAAAGCCUACGUCGAAAACUACAGAAAAGCCAUUCAGACAAGAGAUGUUUUCACCAUCUGGGGCA